UAAGCUGGGUCAGGGAGGCUAUGGCUCCGUGUACAAGGGUGUGCUGCUCCCAGGCAAUGUCCAUGUCGGGGUCAAGAUGCUAGAGGGUAACUCCAACUGCAAUGGAGAAGAUUUCAUUAGUGAGGUUUCAACCAUUGGCAGGAUCCACCAUGUCAAUGUGGUGCGUUUAGUUGGCUUCUGCUCGGAGGAAAUGAGAAGGGCGCUUGUCUACGAGUACAUGCCUCGAGGUUCUCUGGACAAAUACAUCUUCUCGGCUGAGAAGACUUUCUCCUGGGACAAGCUCAACGAGAUCGCUUUGGGCAUUGCGAGGGGUAUCGACUACCUGCACCAGGGUUGCGAGAUGCAGAUUCUCCACUUUGACAUCAAGCCGCACAACAUCUUGCUAGACAGCAAUUUCAUCCCUAAAGUUGCUGAUUUCGGUCUCGCUAAACUAUACCCAAGGGACAAAAGUUUUGUGCCAUCGAGAGCCCUACGGGGAACAAUUGGGUACAUAGCUCCUGAGAUGAUAUCUCGUAGCUUUGGUGUCAUAUCGAGCAAGUCUGAUGUUUAUAGCUUUGGGAUGCUCCUGCUAGAGAUGGCCGGAGGAAGAAGGAAUGCUGAUCCAAAUGCGGCAAACACGAGCCAAGCGUACUAUCCGUCGUGGGUGUAUGACAAACUAACUGCUCCAGUGGUGGAUGCGAUAUGUCCAGUUGCUAGCAUGCAUGAAUUAGAGAGGAAGCUGUGCAUCGUUGGAUUAUGGUGCAUUCAGAUGAAGUCACAUGACAGGCCAACGAUGAGCGAGGUCAUAGACAUGUUGGAAGGUGGCUUUGAUGGCCUGCAGAUGCCUUCCAGGCCAUUCUUCUGCGACGACGAUCACACCGCUGUCCCGGAUUCUUACCCUUUGUUGUCCGAGCUGACAGAGAUCUCAGAGGAGGANNNNNNNNNNNNNNNNNNNNNNNNNNNNNNNNNNNNNNNNNNNNNNNNNNNNNNNNNNNNNNNNNNNNNNNNNNNNNNNNNNNNNNNNNNNNNNNNNNNNGUGUCAGUAACUUAUCAAUUACACUUAUAAGUGAAUGGACACAACAGAGUAAAGACCCUCACCUGAAGUUGUAUGGAAACAGUAUGUGGUCACAGAAAUUUUGAUCUAUUAGAAACCUUAGAAGGUUUUCCUCCGUCUCCUUGGGUUUAUCAGUUAGCGUCGCUAUAUGUAUUUUAUCUGGGUCAAUAAACCCAAUAUUUAGGAUGGUCUUACUUUUACAAUCCAGAAUCUCCAUUCUGCAUAAUAGAAUACAAGUUAUAUAUAGACAAUGAAUUGAAAUAACUAAACAAGUUAUAUGUAGACGACGAAUUGAAAAACUUACACACAAUAGCAACUCAUAAGCGAUUUGUCGAGGGCGUCGCCAUUGUACAUCUGGAAGAGUUCAUCAAAGUUGAUAUGGAUUUCUUCGGAGCGGCCGUAGUACUCCCGUGGGACACUCAGCACGAUCAUCGUUCUCCCAUUCUUUGAUUCACUUAAGUACCAUUUAUGCAAGUAACGCAUAUUUGUUGGGAGAUUAUCUUUGCUGACCAAAGGCUCUCCCAUGACAAACUAUGGCUUAGGGGCUACCACAGCCUUGGGUAUCCUGUCGUCUUGGGAAGCCAGCAAAUCUUCAACUGAGAUACCACAUUCAGCCGCCAACUCCUUUGCUCUUUCAAAAGCUUGCCCCUGCACCGGAGGGGGAACAUUCUCGGUUAACACCUUGAGGGGUGGGAUCGACUGUUUGGCCUGUUGUCCAAGCUGAGGAACGUCUGAUUUUUUCUUGCUUGUAGUUGAACUUGAUUUGCUCCCACUUGCACUUGCACGUGAGCUGCUCUUUUUCACUUCCUUCUGCAAUGUGCGUGUAUAGUCAUCAGGCUUAUAGUGUAAGUCAUACUGUGAUGGAAGGGUUAUGAAGUCUUUUGCCCAUGCUAUUUGUUUCUCGGUGUAUUCCGGGCGGGGCUCGGGUUCCUUCUUUUUCAUCUGCGCAUCAUGUUGUUCCUUUGCUAUCCUGGCGUUUUCCUCGGGGGUACGAUCAUAAGGUUUGAUAGGAAGAUUAGCAUGAGGUACCUUUGGGAGUGGCGACAGUUUGCGCUUUGGGGAGCUCCGUCGCUUAAAAAUCAUCGACGGAGCGUUCUUGCUGGCACACUUCCGCUUAGUAUCCUGUGCGGGCGGCGGCGGAGACGGACGACCCAAGUCCGGCGGCGGUGAUCGAGAUGGACUCGUGUUGUGCUGGCCGACGUCAUGUGGAGGGCUUGGAGGUAAUGGAGGUGUAGGUGACCUGCGACGACUCGGAGGCGGUGUUGUCCUUGGGGUCGAGCCUGGAAGCUUGAUGUAGUUCUUGUGCAUCGUCGGGCGGGGCCUCAGAUUCAGCCACGCCGCUUUUCCCUUAGAUGGGGCGCUGGUAAUAUCAAGUGCAGGAUCUUCCUGGCGCGGUACUCCUCUAAGCUCAUCAAUCUGCUUUUGUUGCUCGUUAAUCCUGGCAAGCAACUGGUUGAACUUGUCAUUCUCCUCAUCCUGCUGCCGCUUCUUUGCUCUCUCUCGGCUUCUGUAAGUGUCUUGGUCUCUGGCAAACCCAAGCCACCACGGGUAAGAAGGACCGAAGUCUCGCGUUCGUCCUCCAUGUUCGUCAUUGCCGAGGACCAGUGUGAGCAAAUAUUUAUCUCUAUCUGCAGUGAACUUUCUUUUUCCCUCCUUAAUUUCUUUCACUAUCCUUUUCCAAUUCUCCCUGGGUAUCCUAAGACCGUCAUUGCAGAUGAGCUCCCCUGUUUUUUCGUCGUACGACCCACCAUGCGCAAGGAAUCAAUUUCUUGCUCUUAAUUCCCACUCAUCACGGAGUGGUUCAGGUAAGAUGCCUUUAUCUAGCAGAUCUUGCUCUUUCUUAUCCCACUUUGGGAUGGCAGUCUCAUAGCCCCCUGGCCCCAGCUUGUGGUGAUAUUUCUUCUUGUCGGCAUUUAUCUUGUUCUUUUCUGAUAAUGUCUGGGCAUCUUCUGACUCCUUGUACUCUUGAAAUGCCUUCCAGUGAUUCGCCUGCUUGGCUAGAUACCCCUCGAAUACUGGCACUUUCUUUGUCUUCAGAUAGUUUUCCAUAGCUUCUUCUUCCAGCUACGGAACAGUUCGGCCAUCUUCUUCAGAGUCCAUUGCUUGACUUUGGCCCUCAGUUUGUCUGCGGCGUCUUCAUUCUCACAUUCUGGCAGGUUGAAAUGUGACAUGAGAUCAUUCCAAAGAUUAUCUUUGUACCUUUCGGCGACAUAGUCACUAUCGGCUGCCCUUUUGCGCUUGUUCCACUCCCGAACGCUGAUCGGGACGUGAUCCCUAACGAGAACUCCGCAUUGCUUCUUGAAUGUGUCAGCAACAUUCUUAGGAAGCUUGGGUUCGCCCGUAGGAAAUAUCACCUCAAAGGUGUAAUGCGUCCGUGCAUCCAACUUUCUAGUCGGGCCUCGUUUCGUAGUUUUGCUCGAUGUGGAGGCCUAAGAGGGAGAAACAUUCAUCAAAUGAAUGUAUAUGUAUACAAUAUAGAGCUAUCUCCAAUAUUUUUCACAUAUUACAAGUGAUUGUCGAACUUCAUAUGUAUCCCUCGCCGGACUUUAUUAUUUCUUCACCGGCUUCUCCAUCAGUGGAGCUAUCACCUUCUCCGUCAUUGGACCUAUCUCCUGCCCCAUCGGCUUCAUCUUCGUGUCGCUCGACCUCCAUUCCAACGUCCUGCUUUAGAUAUGACGACGGAGAUUCAGCUGGUUCAACGUCGGGGCCGUCUUUGAUUAUAUCUUCGAGAAGUUCUUCCUCUUCGAGGUUUUUGAUAUGUGGAUCCAUAGUUCUGCAAAAAACGGAUUCUCUUAACCUUUGUACCAAAAAAGAAUUAUUCUAUCAGGAACUCCGUUCGAAAACAACUUAAGUCCCGGGUCGUGGCUCCACCCGGGACUCCUAGAUUUUUGCAUAGUAUUCAAAGUAGGAGUACUUUUCCAAUUUGAGCAUUCAAUAAGCAAAACCAAAUCGUAAAAUAAAGUAGUAUUCAAAUUAGCAUGCAUUCAAUUAUAAGCUAAUACAUCAUCACUUUUGUCCGUACACCGUCGAAUAUUAUCACUAAUACUCCUCGAAUACUAUCAUACAUAUAGCAUCACUGAUACAUCUAGAACCGUAGCGCCCGACGUGUAUCGGCGCGGGCGGUGGACACCCAAAGAGAAGGAACCAUCACAGGAUCAUAGCUCCAGUGAGAUCCCCGAAGAACCUGCCAGGUAUGCUCGAACCUGCCCUCCAAUGCAACCAUGUAGCGACGGACGUGCUCAUCCUCCUCGCUGACACGGUGACGUACCACCUCCGCGGUGUCCGGAAGCCUCGGCACCCUCACUGGCCCACGCGACCGCCACCAAACAAGGAUCGUGUCAACGACGGGCUGGCUCCUCACCAACCUACGCCCCCCGGAAGGUAGCACCUUCCAAUACCAGCCGGGCGGAGCCCAGUCCCAGACAGGGCCCCUCUGAUCAAGCAGGUGUCCUCCGCCGAGUCGACGACGAGGAUGCGGGAUGCAUCGUAAAAUGAACUAAAAAAAUAAACUAGUUCUAUUAAUUUUCUUGCUAAAAAUAAACUAUUAACACUUAAGCAUAUACAAUAGCAAAAUUAAACUAUUAACACUUAAGCAUAUACAAUAGCAAAAUUAAGCAAUAAUCUAAGAAACACUAUUAACACUUAAGCAUAUACACUAUACAAUAGCAAAAUUAAGCAUAUACACUAUACAAUAGCAAAACUAAAUGACACUAUACAAUAUGUCUCCUCUUCUUCUACUUCUUCUUCUACUUCUACUUCUCCUCUUCUUGUAGUACUUCUCCUCUUCUCUUCUUCUACUUCUCCUCUCCUCCUCUUCUAAUUUUUUCUCUUCUUCUACUUCUCCUCUUCUUCUAUUUUUCCUCUUCUUCUCCUCUCCUCCUCUUCUUAUUCUCCUUUUUCUUCUUUUCUUCUCCUCCUCUUCUUAUUUUCAUUUUUCCUAAUCUUAUUUUCUUAUUUUUAUUCAUAUUUCUUCUUCUUGUAACCCUAACCUAAUUCUAAAUAUUACUAACCCUAAUAAUCUAGCACAAACCUAAUAACAAUUGGAAUUAAAUGACAUUUUUUUUCUUUUUCUUCCUUUCUUCUCCUUUUUCUUCCUUUCUUCUCCUUUUUCUUCCUUUCUUCCCUUUUUCUUUUUUUCUUCUCAUUUUUCUUAUUUUCUUCUCCUUUUUCUUCUUUUCUUCUCCUUUUUCUUCUUUUCUUCUUCUAUUUUUCCUCUUCUUGUCCUCUCCUCCUCUUCUUUUCUUCUCCUUUUUCUUAUUUUCUUCUCCUUUUCCUUCUUUUCUUCUACUGGCCGGAGUGUUGGGGAGGAGGGGGCGGGGGGCUUACCGGCCGGAGGUGUCGACGGCGCGCGGCGAGGAGGACGGCGCGCGCGAGGACGACGGCGGCGGCGAGGAGGACGGCAGGCGGCGGCGAGCAGGACGUCGGGCAGCCUGACGGCGUCGUCGAGUUCGUCGCUGUGCCGCACCGGGCAGGAGAACGAGAGGAAGAAGAAGAGAAAUGGACGAUUUGGGUUGGAAUUUUUCGAAGUCCCGCUUAUAUAGGUGGAUCUUUAGUCCCGGUGCGUGGCUCAAACCGGGACUAAAGACACCCUUUAGUCCCGGGUGGAGCCACGGCCCGGGACUAAAGCCCCUCGUUUCCCGCCUCCUCGCCUGCCGAAAAGGGGUCUUUAGUCCCGGGGCGUGGCUCCAACGGGGACUAAAGGGGGUCUUUAGUCCCGGGGCGUGGCUCCACCCGGGACUAAAGCCCCUCCUCGGCUGCACGAUAAGUUUAGUCCCACCUCGCCCAGCGAGGGGGACUAACACUUGUUUAUAAGCCCCGUCGUAGCUUCUCCAUCGAGCUCCUCUCUAAAGCAGGCUUACGGGCCUAAACUCACUGAAAAUUGAAACUAUAUUAGAAAUUAUAGAGAAAAUUCAAUCUAAAUUCAAAUGAGAAUUUAGAUUGAAUUUUCUCNNNNNNNNNNNNNNNNNNNNNNNNNNNNNNNNNNNNNNNNNNNNNNNNNNNNNNNNNNNNNNNNNNNNNNNNNNNNNNNNNNNNNNNNNNNNNNNNNNNNGUUCUUCUUCUCCUCUUCCGUCUCCUUCUCCUCCUCCUCCUACUCCUCCUUCUUUUACUUCUUCUUCUCUUUCUCUUAUUCUACAUAGCUUAAUUAGACUCAUCCAACAAAGCCUAAAUUGGCUAAUUAUCCAUCUAAAUGACAUAAGUAGCUUAGUUAGCUCCUAAAUGGUCUAUUUAAUAAAAAUGACCUAUACUUAGCUAAUUAUCCUCGAAAUGACAGAAUUAGCUCCAAAAAGGCAUUCUUAGCCAAUUUAGCCCCGAAGAAGGAGACGAGAGGAGAAGAAAGAGGAAAAAUGAAAGGAAGGAAGAAGAAGAAGCGGAGAAGAAGGAGAAGGAGAGGGAGGAGGAUAAGAAGAAGGAGGAGAAGGAGGAGAAGAAGGAGAAGAAGCUCCUCCUUCUCCUUCUUCCUCCUUCUUCCUCCUUCUCCUUCUCCUUCUUCUUUUGUUCUUCUUCUCCUCUUCCGUCUCCUUCUCCUCCUCCUCCUACUCCUCCUUCUUUACUUCUUCUUCUCUUCUCUUAUUCUACAUAGCUUAAUUAGACUACAUACCAACAAAGCCUAAAUUGGACUAAUUAUCCAUCUAAAUGACAUAAGUAGCUUAGUUAGCUNNNNNNNNNNNNNNNNNNNNNNNNNNNNNNNNNNNNNNNNNNNNNNNNNNNNNNNNNNNNNNNNNNNNNNNNNNNNNNNNNNNNNNNNNNNNNNNNNNNNCUACGUAGCUUAAUUAGACUCAUCCAACAAAGCCUAAAUUGGCUAAUUAUCCAUCUAAAUGACAUAAUUAGCUUAGUUAGCUCCUAAAUGGUCUAUUUAAUAAAAAAUGACCUAUACUUAGCUAAUUAUCCUCGAAAUGAUAUAAUUAGCUCCAAAAAGGCAUUCCUAGCCAAUUUAGCCCGAAGAAGGAGACGAGAGGAGAAGAAAGAGGAAAAAUGAAAGGAAGGAAGAAGAAGAAGAGGAGAAGAAGAAGAAGGAGAGGGAGCAGGAUAAGAAGAAGGAGGAGGAGAAGGAGGAGCUACCUUCUCCUUCUUCCUCCUUCUUCCUCCUUCUCCUUCUCCUUCUUCUUUUCUUCUUCUUCUCCUCUUCCGUCUCCUUCUCCUCCUCCUUCUUUUACUUCUUCUUCUCUUUCUCUUAUUCUACGUAGCUUAAUUAGACUCAUCCAACAAAGCCUAAAUUGGAUAAUUAUCCAUCUGAAUGACAUAAUUAGCUUAGUUAGCUCCUAAAUGGUCUAUUUAAUAAAAAUGACCUAUACUUAGCUAAUUAUCCUCGAAAUGAGAGAAUUAGCUUCAAAAANNNNNNNNNNNNNNNNNNNNNNNNNNNNNNNNNNNNNNNNNNNNNNNNNNNNNNNNNNNNNNNNNNNNNNNNNNNNNNNNNNNNNNNNNNNNNNNNNNNNAGUUGCGGGAUCUUGUAUUACGGAACGAGUAAAGAGACUUGCCGGUAAACGAGAUUGAAAUAGGUAUGCGGAUACUGACGAUCGAAUCUCGGGCAAGUAACAUACCGAAGGACAAAGGGAAUGACAUACGGGAUUAUAUGAAUCCUUGGCACUGAGGUUCAAACGAUAAGAUCUUCGUAGAAUAUGUAGGAUCCAAUAUGGGCAUCCAGGUCCCGCUAUUGGAUAUUGACCGAGGAGUCUCUCGGGUCAUGUCUACAUAGUUCUCGAACCCGCAGGGUCUGCACACUUAAGGUUCGACGUUGUUUUAUGCGUAUUUGAGUUAUAUGGUUGGUUACCGAAUGUUGUUCGGAGUCCCGGAUGAGAUCACGGACGUCACGAGGGUUUCCGGAAUGGUCCGGAAACGAAGAUUGAUAUAUAGGAUGACCUCAUUUGAUUACCGGAAGGUUUUCGGAGUUACCGGGAAUGUACCGGGAAUGACGAAUGGUUCCGGGGGUUCACCGGGGGGGGGGGGUCAACCCACCCCGGGGAAGCCCAUAGGCCUUGGGGAGACACACCAGCUUUUAGUGGGCUGGCGGGACAGCCCACAAGUGGUCUAUGCGCCAAGAAAACAAAAAUCAAGAGGAAAAGAAAAAAAAGGAGGAGGUGGGAAGGGAGGAGGACUCCCUCCCACCAAACCUAGUCCAACUCGGUUUGGGGGGGGGGGGAGAGUCCUGCCCCUUGGCUCGGCCGACCCCCUUGAGGGUCCUUGGACCCCAAGGCAAGGCCCCCUCCCUCCCACCUAUAUAUACGGAGGUUUUAGGGCUGAUUUGAGAUGACUUUUCCACGGCAGCCCGACGACAUACCUCCACGGUUUUUCCUCUAGAUCGCGUUUCUGCGGAGCUCGGGCGGAGCCCUGCUGAGACAAGGUCAUCACCAACCUCCGAAGCGCCGUCACGCUGCCGGAGAACUCUUCUACCUCUCCGUCUCUCUUGCUGGAUCAAGAAGGCCGAGAUCAUCGUCGAGCUGUACGUGUGCUGAACGCGGAGGUGCCGUCCAUUCGGUACUAGAUCGUGGGACUGAUCGCGGGAUUGUUCGCGGGGUGGAUCGAGGGACGUGAGGACGUUCCACUACAUCAACCGUGUUCUCUAACGCUUCUGCUGUACGGUCUACAAGGGUACAUAGAUCACUCAUCCCCUCUCGUAGAUGGACAUCACCAUGAUAGGUCUUCGUGCGAGUAGGAAAAUUUUUGUUUCCCAUGCGACGUUCCCCAACAGUGGCAUCAUGAGCUAGGUUCAUGCGUAGAUGUCUUCUCGAGUAGAACACAAAAGUUUUUGUGGGCGGUGAUGUGCGUUUUGCUGCCCUCCUUAGUCUUUUCUUGAUUCCGUGGUAUUGUUGGAUUGAAGCGGCUUGGACCGAUAUUACUCGUACGCUUACGAGAGACUGGUUUCAUCGUUACGAGUAACCCCCUUUGCUCAAAGAUGAAUGGAAAGUGUCGGUUUCUCCAACUUUAGUUGAAUCGGAUUUGACCGAGGAGGUCCUUGGAUGAGGUUAAAUAGCAACUCAUAUAUCUCCGUUGUGGUGUUUGCGUAAGUAGGAUGCGAUCCUACUAGAUACCCUUGGUCACCACGUAAAACAUGCAACAACAAAAUUAGAGGACGUCUAACUUGUUUUUGCAGGGUAUGAUUGUGAUGUGAUAUGGCCAACGAUGUGAUGUGAUAUAUUGGAUGUAUGAGAUGAUCAUGUUGUAAUAGAAAUAUCGACUUGCACGUCGAUGGUACGGCAACCGGCAGGAGCCAUAGGGUUGUCUUUAUACUAACGUUUGUGCUUGCAGAUGCGUUUACUAUUUUGCUAGGAUGUAGCUUUAGUAGUAAUAGCAUAAGUAGCACGACAACCCCGAUGGCAACACGUUGAUGGAUGAUCAUGGUGUGGCGCCGGUGACAAGAAGAUCGUGCUGGUGCUUUGGUGAUGGAGAUCAAAAAGCACGUGAUGAUGGCCAUAUCAUGUCACUUAUGAAUUGCAUGUGAUGUUAAUCCUUUUAUGCACCUUAUUUUGCUUAGAACGACGGUAGCAUUAUGAGAUGAUCUCUCACUAAAAUUUCAAGAGGAAAUUGUGUUCUCCCCGACUGUGCACCGUUGCUACAGUUCGUCGUUUCGAGACACCACGUGAUGAUCGGGUGUGAUAGACUCAACGUUCACAUACAACGGGUGCAAAACAGUUGCGCACGCGGAACACUCGGGUUAAGCUUGACGAGCCUAGCAUGUGCAGACAUGGCCUCGGAACACAUGAGACCGAAAGGUCGAUCAUGAAUCAUAUAGUUGAUAUGAUUAGCAUAGGGAUGCUUACCACUGAAACUAUACUCAACUCACGUGAUGAUCGGACUUGGGAUAGUGUAAGUGGAUCAUGAACCACUCAAAUGACUAGAGAGAUGUACUUUUUGAGUGGGAGUUUAGCAUGUAAUUUGAUUAAGUUGAACUCUAAUUAUCUUGAACAUAGUCUAAGUCCACUUUGAAAAUAUUUGUGUUGUAGAUCAUGGCUCACGCGACAGUCAUCCUGAAUUUUAAUACGUUCCUAGAGAAAGCUAAGUUGAAAGAUGAUGGAAGCAACUUUGUAGACUGGGCUCGUAAUCUUAAGCUAAUCUUACAAGCUGGGAAGAAGGAUUAUGUCCUUAAUGCUGCGCUAGGAGAUGAACCACCCGCUACGGCUGAUCAGGAUGUUAAGAACGCUUGGUUAGCACGUAAGGAGGACUACUCAAUAGUUCAAUGUGCAGUCUUGUAUGGCUUAGAACCGAGACUUCAACGUCGCUUUGAGCGUCAUGGAGCAUUUGAGAUGUUCCAAGAGUUGGAGUUUAUCUUUCAGAAGAACGCCCGGAUCGAGAGGUAUGAGACCUCCGAUAAAUUCUAUGCUUGCAAGAUGGAGGAAAACUCGUCUGUCAGUGAACAUGUGCUCAAAAUGUCUGGGUACUCAAACCGUCUAGCUGAGCUGGGGAUUGAACUCCCGCAAGAAGCUAUCACUGACAGAAUCCUUCAAUCACUGCCGCCAAGCUAUAAAGGGUUUGUGUUGAACUACAACAUGCAAGGGAUGAACAAGUCUCCCGGCGAGUUGUUUGCGAUGCUGAAAGUCGCAGAGUCUGAACUCCGUAAAGAGCAUCAAGUGUUGAUGGUGAGCAAGACCACUAGUUUCAAGAGAAAUGGCAAAGGCAAGAAGGGCAAUUCGAAGAAGAGCGGCAAGCCCGUUGCCAAUCCGCCGAAGAAACCCAAGGCUGGACCUAAGCCUGAAACAGAGUGCUUCUAUUGCAAGGGUAUGGGUCACUGGAAGCGCAAUUGCCCCAAGUAUCUGGCAGAUAAGAAGGCGGGCAAAGAAAAAUCAGGUAUAUUUGAUAUACAUGUUAUUGAUGUGUACUUAACCGGCUCUCGUAGUAGUGCCUGGGUAUUUGAUACCGGUUCUGUUGCUCAUAUUUGCAACUCGAAACAGGAACUGCGGAAUAGGCGAAGGCUGGCGAAAGAUGAAGUGACGAUGCGCGUAGGAAAUGAUUCCAAGGUUGAUGCAAUCGCCGUCGGCACAGUGUCACUUCAGCUUCCAUCGGGAUUAGUGAUGAACUUAAAUCAUUGUUAUUUAGUGCCUGCGUUGAGCAUGAACAUUAUAUCUGGAUCUUGUUUAUUGCGAGACGGAUACUCUUUUAAGUCUGAGAAUAAUGGUUGUUCUAUUUCUAUGAGUAACAUCUUUUAUGGUCAUGCACCGAAUGUGAGAGGAUUGUUGAUAUUGAAUCUUGAUAGCGAUACACAUAUACAUAGCAUUGGGACCAAAAGAGUUAGAGUUAACAAUGAUAGCGCCAUAUUUUUGUGGCACUGCCGCUUAGGUCAUAUUGGUGUAAAGCGCAUGAAGAAACUCCAUGCUGAUGGACUUUUGGAGUCACUUGACUUUGAUUCACUUGACACGUGCGAACCAUGCCUCAUGGGCAAGAUGACUAAGACUCCGUUCUCCGGAACAAUGGAGCGUGCAAGUGACUUGUUGGAAAUCAUACAUACCGAUGUGUGUGGUCCGAUGAGCGUGGAGGCACGCGGCGGAUAUCGUUAUUUUCUCACCUUCACUGACGAUUUGAGUAGAUAUGGUUAUGUCUACUUGAUGAAGCACAAGUCUGAAACAUUUGAAAGGUUCAAGCAAUUUCAGAGUGAAGUUGAAAAUCAUCGUAACAAGAAGAUCAAGUUCCUACGGUCUGAUCGUGGGGGUGACUAUCUGAGUUUCGAGUUUGGUGCUCACUUAAGACAAUGUGGAAUUGUUUCACAGUUAACACCGCCUGGAACACCACAGCGUAAUGGUGUGUCCGAACGUCGUAAUCGUACUUUAUUAGAGAUGGUGCGAUCUAUGAUGUCUCUUACCGAUUUGCCGUUAUCGUUUUGGGGUUAUGCAUUAGAAACAGCUGCAUUCACUUUAAAUAGGGCACCAUCAAAAUCCGUUGAGACGACACCAUACGAACUGUGGUAUGGCAAAAGGCCAAAGUUGUCGUUUCUUAAAGUUUGGGGAUGUGAUGCUUAUGUCAAAAAGCUUCAGCCUGAAAAGCUGGAACCCAAAGCGGAAAAGUGCGUCUUCAUAGGUUACCCAAAAGAGACAGUUGGGUACACCUUCUAUCUCAAAUCCGAGGGCAAAGUGUUUGUUGCUAAAAACGGAGCUUUUCUCGAGAAGGAGUUUCUCUCGAGAGAAUUGAGUGGGAGGAAGAUAGAACUUGACGAGGUUGUCGAACCUCUCAUCCCUCUGGAUGGUGGCGCAGGGCAAGGGGAAACCUCUGUCGUUGCGACGCCGGUUGAAGAGGAAGUUAAUGAUGAUGAUCAUGAAACUCCGGUUCAAGUUUCUGUCAAACCACGCAGGUCGACGAGACCACGUGCUGCUCCAGAGUGGUACGGUAAUCCUGUCUUAUCAAUCAUGUUGUUAGACAACAAUGAACCUGCAAAUUAUGAAGAAGCAAUGGUGGGCCCAGAUUCCAACAAAUGGCUAGAAGCCAUGAAGUCCGAGAUAGGAUCCAUGUAUGAGAACAAAGUGUGGACUUUGGAGGUACUACCUGAGGGCCGCAAGGCUAUUCAGAACAAAUGGAUUUUUAAGAGGAAGACGGACGCUGACGGCAAUGUGACCGUUUAUAAAGCUCGACUUGUGGCAAAGGGUUUUUCACAAGUUCAAGGAGUUGACUACGAUGAGACAUUCUCACCCGUAGCGAUGCUUAAGUCCGUCAGAAUCAUGUUAGCAAUAGCUGCAUUUUUCGAUUAUGAAAUCUGGCAGAUGGAUGUCAAAACGGCGUUCCUUAACGGUUUCCUUAAGGAAGAGUUGUAUAUGAUACAACCCGAAGGUUUUGUCGAUCAUAAGAAUGCUAACAAGGUGUGCAAGCUCCAGCGAUCCAUUUAUGGACUGGUGCAAGCAUCUCGGAGUUGGAACAAACGCUUUGAUGAGGUGAUCAAAGCAUUUGGGUUUAUACAAGUGGUUGGAGAAUCUUGUAUUUACAAGAAAGUGAGUGGGAGCUCUGUGGCGUUUCUAAUAUUAUAUGUGGAUGACAUAUUGCUGAUUGGAAACAACGUGGAGUUUUUAGAGAGCAUAAAGGAUUACUUGAAUAUGAGUUUCUCUAUGAAGGACCUAGGAGAAGCUGCUUACAUUCUAGGCAUUAAGAUCUAUAGGGAUAGAUCAAAACGCCUGAUAGGACUUUCACAAAGCACAUACCUUGAUAAAGUUUUGAAGAGGUUCAAAGUGGAACAGUCCAAGAAAGGGUUCUUGCCAGUUUUACAAGGUACGAGAUUGAGUAAGACUCAGUGCCCAGCAACUGAUGAAGAUAGAGAGCAUAUGCGCUCCGUCCCCUAUGCUUCAGCCAUAGGUUCUAUCAUGUAUGCAAUGUUGUGCACAAGACCGGAUGUUAGCCUGGCCAUAAGUAUGGCAGGUAGGUUCUAGAGUAAUCCAGGAGUGGAUCACUGGACAGCGGUCAAGAAUAUCCUGAAGUACCUGAAAAGGACUAAGGAUAUGUUUCUCGUGUAUGGAGGUGACGAAGAGCUCGCCGUAAAAGGUUACGUCGAUGCAAGCUUUGACACAGAUCCGGACGACUCUAAGUCGCAAACCGGAUACGUAUUUAUUUUUAAUGGGGGUGCGGUAAGCUGGUGCAGUUCCAAGCAAAGCGUCGUAGCAGAUUCUACAUGUGAAGCGGAGUACAUGGCUGCCUCGGAGGCGGCUAAGGAGGGUGUCUGGAUGAAGCAGUUCAUGAGGAUCUUGGAGUGGUACCAAGCGCACUGAAUCCAAUAACCUUGUUCUGUGACAACACGGGUGCCAUUGCCUUAGCAAAGGAACCACGGUUUCACAAGAAGACCAGACACAUCAAACGACGCUUCAACCUCAUCCGCGACUACGUCGAGGGAGAAGACGUAAAUAUAUGCAAAGUGCACACGGAUCUGAAUGUAGCAGACCCGCUGACUAAACCUCUUCCACGGCCAAAGCAUGAUCAACACCAGAACUGUAUGGGUGUUAGAUUUAUUACAAUGUAAUUCACAUGAUGAUGUGAGGGCUAGAUUAUUGACUCUAGUGCAAGUGGGAGACUGUUGGAGUUAUGCCCUAGAGGCAAUAAUAAAUAUAGUUAUUAUUAUAAUUCCUGUAUCAAGAUAAUCGUUUAUUAUCCAUGCUAUAAUUGUAUUGAAUGAAGACUCAUUUACAUGUGUGGAUACAUAGACAAAACACCGUCCCUAGCAAGCCUCUAGUUGGCUAGCGAGUUGAUCAAAGAUAGUCAGUGUCUUCUGAUUAUGAACAAAGUGUUGUUGCUUGAUAACUGGAUCACGUCAUUAGGAGAAUCACGUGAUGGACUAGACCCAAACUAAUAGACGUAGCAUGUUGAUCGUGUCAUUUUGUUGCUACUGUUUUCUGCGUGUCAAGUAUUUAUUCCUAUGACCAUGAGAUCAUAUAACUCACUGACACCGGAGGAAUGCUUUGCGUGCAUCAAACGUCGCAACGUAACUGGGUGACUAUAAAGAUGCUCUACAGGUAUCUCCGAAGGUGUUCGUUGAGUUAGUAUGGAUCAAGACUGGGAUUUGUCACUCCGUGUGACGGAGAGGUAUCUCGGGGCCCACUCGGUAAUACAACAUCACACUCAAGCCUUGCAAGCAAUGUAACUUAGUGUAAGUUGGGGGAUCUUGUAUUGCGGAACGAGUAAAGAGACUUGCCGGUAAACGAGAUUGAAAUAGGUAUGCGGAUACUGACGAUCGAAUCUCGGGCAAGUAACAUACCGAAGGACAAAGGGAAUGACAUACGGGAUUAUAUGAAUCCUUGCCACUGAGGUUCAAACGAUAAGAUCUUCGUAGAAUAUGUAGGAUCCAAUAUGGGCAUCCAGGUCCCGCUAUUGGAUAUUGACCGAGGAGUCUCUCGGGUCAUGUCUACAUAGUUCUCGAACCCGCAGGGUCUGCACACUUAAGGUUCGACGUUGUUUUAUGCGUAUUUGAGUUAUAUGGUUGGUUACCGAAUGUUGUUCGGAGUCCCGGAUGAGAUCACGGACGUCACGAGGGUUUCCGAAAUGGUCCGGAAACGAAGAUUGAUAUAUAGGAUGACCUCAUUUGAUUACCGGAAGGUUUUCGGAGUUACCGGGAAUGUACCGGGAAUGACGAAUGGGUUCCGGGAGUUCACCGAGGGGGACAACCCACCCUGGGGAAGCCCAUAGACCUUGAGGGUGGCACACCAUCCCUUAGUGGGCUGGUGGGACAGCCCAAAAGGGCCCUAUGCGCCUAGGAAAGAAAAUCAAAGAGAAAAGAAAAGAAAAAAGGAGGUGGGAAGGGAAGGAAGGACUCCCACCCACCAAACCAAGUCCAACUCGGUUUGGGGGGGAGCCUUCCCCCUUGGACUCGGCCGACCCCCUUGGGGCUCCUUGAGCCCGAAGGCAAGGUCCCCUCCCUCCCACCUAUAUAUACGGAGGUUUUAGGGCUUAUUUGGGACGACUUUUCCACGGCAGCCCGACCACAUACCUCCACGGUUUUUCCUCUAGAUCGCGUUUCUGCAGAGCUCGGGCGGAGCCCUGCUGAGACAAGGUCAUCACCAACCUCCGGAGCGCCGUCACGCUGCCGGAGAACUCUUCUACCUCUCCGUCUCUCUUGCUGGAUCAAGAAGGCCGAGAUCAUCGUCGAGCUGUACGUGUGCUGAACGCGGAGGUGCCGUCCGUUCGGUACUAGAUCGUGGGACUGAUCGCGGGAUUGUUCGCGGGGCGGAUCGAGGGACGUGAGGACGUUCCACUACAUCAACCGCGUUCACUAACGCUUCUGCUGUACGAUCUACAAGGGUACGUAGAUCAGUCAUCCCCUCUCGUAGAUGGACAUCACCAUGAUAGGUCUUCGUGCGCGUAGGAAAAUUUUUGUUUCCCAUGCGACGUUCCCCAACAAUUUUAACAUCAAUUCACCGUAAUUUUACGUUUCAUAAUUUUUGUCUUAUUUUAUACGUAAAAAGAGACCAUAAAAUAAUAUAAUCAAUGUAAAAAAAAUUAUGUCACAUAAAACUACGUACAUACAAAACUAGUGCAAAAAAUACAAUAAAUUCAAUUUUUUCUGGUCUUGUGAUCUAUAUUUUUGUUUUCCUUUUAUCAAAUUUUACGUAGUGAUUCAAUAUAAAUGUAACUAUUUGUAUUUAAAAUUUAAUUUAUUUGUAAAUUGAUCGUAAGAUUAUCUCGGGUGAAGAAUAAACUAUUCUGCGUCCUGGGUGAUGAAUAGAGUUUCUAUAUAUAUAUAUAUAUAUAUAUAUAUAUGACAAAUUAUAUCUGNNNNNNNNNNNNNNNNNNNNNNNNNNNNNNNNNNNNNNNNNNNNNNNNNNNNNNNNNNNNNNNNNNNNNNNNNNNNNNNNNNNNNNNNNNNNNNNNNNNNAACAAAAUAGAUAAUAGUUUGGAUAGUCAAAAUUAUUAAUUAUGAAAAUAAGAAGUAGUUUUGCAUUAUUUAUUCAAUUUGAAACACUUUUCAUUAUCAUAGUUUUGUCAAAUUCUCAAAUAUGCAAAAAGAAUUUUUAAUAAACAUAGUUUUUAAUUGAAAAUAACAAAAUAGAUAAUAGUUUGGAUAGUCAAAAUUAUUAAUUAUGAAAAUAAAAAAUAGUUUGAACUAUUUAUUCAAUUUGAAACACUUUUCAUUAUCAUAGUUUUGUCAAAUUCUCAAAUAUGCAAAAAGAAUUUUUAAUAAACAUAGUUUUUAAUUGAAAAUAACAAAAUAGAUAAUAGUUUGGAUAGUAAAAAUUAUUAAUUAUGAAAAUAAAAAAUAUUUUUGCAUUAUUUAUUCAAUUUGAAACACUUUUCAUUAUCAUAGUUUUGUCAAAUUCUCAAAUAUGCAAAAAGAAGUUUUAAUAAACAUAGUUUUUAAUUGAAAAUGAAAAAAUAAGUUAAUAGUUUGGAUAGUCAAAAUUAUUAAUUUGGAAAAUAUAAAAUAGUUUUGAAUUAUUUAUUCAAUUUCAAACACUUUUCACUAUCAUAGUUUUGUCAAAUUCUCAAAUAUGCAAAAAUAAUUUUUAAUAAACAUAGUUUUUAAUUGAAAAUAACAAAAUAAGUUAAUAGUUUGGAUAGUCAAAAUAAUUAAUUUUGAAAACAGAAAAAAAUUGAAACUAUAUGAGAAAUCAUGGACAAAAUUCGACCUGAAUUCACUUUGAAUUCAGAUUGAAUUUUAUCCACAAUUUCGAAUUUAGUUUCAAUUUUCAGUAAGUUUAGGCUUGUAAGCCUGCUUUAAGGAGGGGCUCGAUGGACAAGCUGCGACGGGGCUUAUAAACAAGUGUUAGUCCCCCUCGCUGGGCGAGGUGGGACUAAACUUAUCGUGCAGCCGAGGANNNNNNNNNNNNNNNNNNNNNNNNNNNNNNNNNNNNNNNNNNNNNNNNNNNNNNNNNNNNNNNNNNNNNNNNNNNNNNNNNNNNNNNNNNNNNNNNNNNNAGAAAAUUCAAUCUAAAUUCAAAUGAGAAUUUAGAUUGAAUUUUCUCUAUGAUUUCGAAUAUAGUUUCAAUUUUAUUCUAUUUUCAUAAUUAAUAAUUUUGACUAUCCAAACUAUUAUCUAUUUUGUUAUUUUCAAUUAAAAACUAUGUUUAUUAAAAAUUCUUUUUGCAUAUUUGAGAAUUUGACAAAACUAUGAUAAUGAAAAGUGUUUGAAAUUGAAUAAAUAAUGCAAAACUAUUUUUUAUUUUCAUAAUUAAUUAUUUUGACUAUCCAAACUAUUAUCUAUUUUGUUAUUUUCAAUUAAAAACUAUGUUUAUUAAAAAUUCUUUUUGCAUAUUUGAGAAUUUGACAAAACUAUGAUAAUGAAAAGUGUUUGAAAUUGAAUAAAUAAUGCAAAACUAUUUUCUAUUUUCAAAAGUAAUUAUUUUGACUUCGUGUACAAAACGGACAAUCUCUCUCGAAGUAGGAGCGUUUCGAACGAGAACUCAUCUCUUACAAAGGGAUUUCAUUUUUUUGAACUAGUUGACCCUGAAAUUGAAAAGCACUACAAAUGAACUCUGAAAAUGUUGAAAGUUGGCAUGCUAUCAUCAUUUCACCCACAUAGCAUGUGUUAAAAAGUUGAGAGGGCUACGACAAAAACUGGAUGCACUUCGUAUACAAAACGGACAAUCUCUCUCGAAGUAUCAGGGUUUCGAACGAGAACUCAUCUCUUACAAAAGGAUUUCAUUUUUUUGAACUUAUUUGAACUCCAUACUUUUUGUGUGUUCAAAAUGCACCAUUCUAAGGCACAUCACAAAAUUUCAACANNNNNNNNNNNNNNNNNNNNNNNNNNNNNNNNNNNNNNNNNNNNNNNNNNNNNNNNNNNNNNNNNNNNNNNNNNNNNNNNNNNNNNNNNNNNNNNNNNNNUAAUGAGUAGCAUAUGUGUGUGUGUGUGUGUGAUUAAUGUCUCAAGUCUUACGAAAUAACCUACUAUUAUGUUUUCCCAGACAUGUGAAGUUUUAUGUGGAAAGAUGUAAUAAUAUUUAGCAGUUAGAGGAUGUAGAUCUCCAACUGUUAAUUGAAACGUAUUUAUCUUCUUGAAAGACACACACAAAAAGCAUGAUGUAAAAAACUGCAGAGUACUCUGUUUUCUUCAGCUGCUGAUGAUGCUCGAAAUUUUUGGAGUGGGUAUGAACAGACCCAGCCUGUCCUGUAUGAAGUAUGAACCCUUGUGAUUGAUAAAGCUUGGGCUUAGUGUAUGGAGAUGAUGAUGAUUGCAGAGGAAUUCAUGUCGACGAUGGUGUUCACACUUUUAUCUAUUUUUCCUAAGGCUAAAUUCUUGUAACCAUGAAUGUGAGUGUGUACCUGCAGUCUAGUGUUGCAUAUUUUUUUUUGAUAAAGGGCUUUUAUUGUUGAGUUGUUACGUUCCUUGUGCAUUACGCUGCCUUGUACUUAUCCACUGUAACCACCAUACCUGGUCCUGGGGAUGACCGCGGCACCACCUCCUCCAUAUCCCUGCAUGUAGGGAUCGGUGGUGACCCUUGGCGUAUAUAUGUGUAAUCACUUGAUGAGUAAAGUGUGUGCAUUGUUUCACAAUUCUUCUUGGUAAUCAGAGCUACCGAUCUAUGUCUUCUCACCCCAACUCUCCACCUCCUGGCACUGCUGCCGCCGUAGCAGCCUCUGCCUCCCCGGAACGCCCCCACGCGACUCUCUCUCCCGAUCUCACCUCUGCCCCACCCGUCCCCGGUGCCUUCUCCCUCUCUACUGCCCCGGCUGAGACCCUCCCUGCUCCACCACCCUCUCGCCUCCCUUCCAGCAUCUCCGACGUCGUUGAUUUCAAGCUGGCCCUUGAUGGCACGAACUUCAUCCGGUGGCGCAACUUCCUCAACCUCAUCCUCGCCUGCUACCACGCCGAAAACCAUGUCUAGGACGGUGCGGUCGACCGCCUCUCCAACCCACAGUGGCGCGACGACGACAACACAAUCGUGCUGUGGUUCUUUGCCACAGUGGACGGGGCUCUCCUCGACAUCGUCGCCCCGGCCGACUCCACCGCCUACACCAUCUGGAAGCGCCUCUACGAGUUCUUCCUCGCGAACGAGGCGGAACUCGCGAUGCAUCUUGGAUAGGAGUUCCGGGCGUGCGUUCGCGGCGACCUCUCCGUCAACGACUACUGUCGUCGUCUGCAGAACAUCGCCGCCGCCCUCGCCGACGUCCGCGAACCCGUCUCUGAUCGUACCUUGACGCUGCAGAUGCUCGAUGGCAUCGGGAAAAAGUUCGAGCUUCAGGCCGCCAUCAUCCAGUCCACUGUGCCUCUUCCCUCCUUCGCCCAGGCCCGCUCGCGCCUCGCCCUUUUGGAGCUCACCCUAGACAAGCGGGCGCGCGCUGAGGGCGCGCACGUGAUGGCUGUCCAUGAUGAGCGCGGCGGCGGAUGCGGCGACCGCGGGGAUCGUGGCGAUCGUGGUCGUGGCGGUGGCAACCCUCCUGGCGGUGGGCGCGGCGGCGACAACCAAGGCGGCGCUCCCUACGCCGGUCGCGGUGGCGGCAACCGUGCUGGUGGUGGACGCGGGCGCGGCCGUGGCCGCGGCCGCGGUGAUGCCCCUCCAGUGGCGGUCGCGGCUCCCACCAGCAGCCCUGGCUGGGGUACUUUGCCCCUGUCGGGAUGCCGUUCCCACCGCCCCGCGCGCCGUGGAUCCCGCCCAACUUGGCCGGCAUCCUUGGUCCUCGUCCCGGCGCUCCGACGCAUGCCUACCCGGUGGUCCAGUCGACCGCGCCGCCUGUCCCCUACUCCGGCUCACCUCCCACUUGGGACGCGACGACCAUGUACCACGCUGCACCGAGAUAUGGGCCUACUUUUUCCCCUCAUGCCGAGUGGAUCAUGGACACAGGGGCUUCUUCCCACAUGACCGGGGACCCAGGUAUUCUGAUCAAGUCUCAUCCUUUAUUAGCGUCUCAUUCUCGCCACAUUAUUGUCGGUAAUGGGGCUCGCCUCCCGGUCGUCGCCAUUGGUAACGCCCGUCUUUCUUCUCGACCCUUCUACCUCACUCACAUUCUCCUCUCCCCCAACAUUGUCCAAAACCUCAUUUUCGUGCGUCAAUUCACUCGUGACAAUUUAUGUUCUGUGGAGUUUGACCCUUUUGGUUUUUCCAUGAAGGAUCUUCGCACCAAGGUGGUCCUUGUGAGGUGCAAUAGCUCCGGUGACCUCUACCGCGUCUCCCACGUCUCAGGCACUCCUGGUAGCGCUACACCGGUGGCCCUCGCUGCUACCUCAUCGGAUCUUUGGCAUAAGAGGCUCGGGCACCCGAGCUCCUCCACCCUAGUUUAUUUUCCCUUUGAUGUUCCUUCAAGAUUUAAUAAAACCCCCUUGUCACCCCUUUGUACUGCCUGCCAUUUAGGCAAGCACACACACCUUCCCUUCCCCACCUCUACUUCCUACACCACCGCGCCAUUUCAGCUCUUACAUUGUGACUUGUGGACCUCUCCCAUUGUUAGUUUUUCCGGCUAUAAAUACUAUCUUGUUAUUUUGGAUGAUUACACGCAAUACUCUUGGACUUUCCCCCCUUCAUGCCAAAUCCGAUACUUGUGCCACUUUGCAGCGCUUCUUCGCUUACGUUCUCACUCAGUAUCACGUCACUAUCCGCUGUUUGCAGUGCGACAAUGGCGGUGAGUUCCUCACCACGGUGCUCCGCGACUUCUUCUCCUCCCAUGGCAUCACGUUUCGUCUUACCUGCCCCCAUACAUCCCCACAAAAUGGCAAAGAGGAACGCCAUAUACGCACUACUAACGAUGUUAUCCGGACUCUCCUCUUCCAAGCACACCUCCCUCCGCCAUUUUGGGUCGAAGCCCUCCAUACCGCCACCACCCUCCUUAACAUCCGCCCAUCCCGUGCCAUCCACCACUUCACCCCCACUUCCUUCUCUAUGGCGAACAUCCCACCUACGAUCACUUGCGCACCUUCGGAUGUCUUUGCUUUCCAAACCUCUCAGCCACUGCGCCACACAAACUUUCUCCACGAUCCACACGCUGCGUCUUCCUUGGCUACCCACGCGAACAGAAGGGCUGUCGCUGCUUCGACCUCUCAUCUUGCAAAGUUAUUACCUCUCGCCAUGUCGUCUUUGACGAACACAACUUUCCUUAUAUCUCCUCUUCGCCUGCCACAGAAGAUCUGGCCACUAUCCACCCUGUUCCCCCCGCUCCAACCGGAUCUCUGGCGCCUGCCCAACCAGCUUCGCUCCCGCCUACCGCGCCUCGCCCGCCGCGCCCUCUGGGCCCCGCUGCCCAUGCACCACAUGCAACCUCCCCACCUGCAUGUCCGCGUCCCCUGCCUCCCCAUGCACCACAUGCCCUGCCUCCCCCCAUGCGCGCACUAGGCCCUGCCUCGCCUGCCGCUUCCCCACCUACUCCACCUCGUGACCCGCGCGUGUCGGUUACGCCCGCGCACACACCGCGUCCUCACCCCACGUCCUGUAGCUCCUCGAGCCCCACCACCCAUGCACGCCAUGCAGCUUCCCGCGCUGCCCGCCCGCCCGACUUGGCCUCCUCCACCACCCCACUACGCCCUACGUCUCCCUCGGCGCCUCCCAUCACACCAGCUUCCCCGCCCAGCUUUCCUGCUGCUGUACCGCCUUCCUCGCUACCACCUGCUGUUGUGCCCAUCUCUCCGCGCCACCACCCUCAUCCCAUGAUCACUCGGGGCAAACGCGGGUUUACCAUGCCUAAGCAACAUUUCGACCUGUCCGUUACCACCGCCCCUUCGCCCCUUCCCUCCUCCUACCACCCCGCCCUCCGUGAUCCCCAUUGGCACGACGCGAUGUUGGAUGAGUAUAAUGUGCUAAUACAGAAUGACACUUGGUCUUUGGUGCCUUGUCCUGCAGGUGUUAACGUGGUGACGGCAAAUGGAUCUUCUGUCAAAAACUCCGUCCCGAUGUGUCGGGGGAUAACUCCGGGGUAGGCUCAUCGAGCCUAUUCCUUCAUUCCUGGCCCAAUGGGCAUGAAGGCGCAGAGAUUCUCAAGGCCCAAGUCUUCUAACCGGCUAGGCAUCCCCUGCCGGCUGGAAGACGAGGCGACCACCUUUCUGGCCGGCCAGGCAACCCCUGCCGGCUAGAAUCCAGGCGGCCUCCCCUUCGGACCCGGCCUGGUCCCGCCAGCCGGGCUAAGGAGGAGGCGGCCACCCUCAAGCUGUCUGACCAAGCAGGCUAGCCGACCGAGGAUCACCAGUCACAUCAGAUCGUAGGUCAGGAAAGGACCUCACGAUUAAAGGUAGCUACGCGUCAGCAAAGGUACUGAAUCAGGGCGCCCGGCUGGUACGAGCGUCGGUGGCCACGCCGCUGACCUACCCCGGCUCUGAUCCAUCACCUAGCCUGAUGUCGGACCGUCACACUCCCACUCCAUUACUGCACUCGGCGUGGGGAACAGUGGAGGCGGUCGUACUGCCUGCCCAUGAAGAAUCUCGCGGGGCGACGCUCGACGUACAGCGUGUGCUCAGCGUCAACCUUACGCGGGAGCCCCAUUGGCCAGCUGGCGGGUCCCACAGCAAUCGAGACCAUGCAGCCGGCGGGCCCCUCAUCGACAAGACAAGACCCUUGUGGGCCCCUGGCCAGCCGGCGAAGCAGCCAGCCGAGUCCCACGCAUGUACCCUUUAUCCAUAUUGUAGGCCGGCGGGUUCGUCUAUAAAACCCCCCGGCCGCCCCCGAUGCAAGGAGGCCGAUCACUUACCAGUCAUUCAACACUACACACUCACCAACCAACAGAGAGCGAGGUAGAGACGAGUCGGCUGCUCCCCUCUUCCUCCUCCCAACACAGCUCCAGGAGCAACAUUGUACUAUGUUCCCAUACAUCAAACACACAAGCAGGAUUAGGGGUAUUAUCUCUACGGAGAGCCCUGAACCUGGGUACAUCGUGCGUCCCAUGCGUGUACCAACCUCGUUCCCAGCGCCCACCUUUGUCCCUUCGGUUCUCAUCGACUUUAGCCUACCUAUGUCAUAUGUUGUGAGUAUUCACCAACAUUUGGCGCCCACCGUGGGAACGAUCGCGGCAUCGGCUGGCUUCACGCGCUGGGCGGGGGCCCGCACCUACACCACCGGAUGCAUCGCGUCCGGAUCAGUUUGCAUGCCCGUGGAGCUCGCUUUCGACGAGGCGACGCUCAUGAUGAUCGACGUCCCCGUCCGCCAUGCGGAUUCGGACGAAGAUUCAGAUGACGAGGCGCUCCCUAGCGUCGCCGUCGCUGCUAUGGAGAACCUCAGCGUUCUCUUCAGCGAUCUUCGCCUCAACGACGGCCCAUGCUACUUCGGCGAGGACUACGACGUUGAGGCGCUCUGCGCCAGCUUCAGCAUGCUCUCUAUCGCUGAGACGCCUGCCCACUACGUUUACCCCAGUAACGUCCUCAUCUUCGAUGGCCCUUCACCGUCGGUGGGGUUCUUCACCCCAUACCACGUCGCUGCCGUCUCCAACGCCGCGGAGGUGAUGGUUAUCGGCGCCGGCACCGGCACGUCUCCCCGCAAGGCCUCCGCGGGCGCUAGCGAGCCCGCUGUGGCCGCCGCAGACACUCUUCGGGAUGCCAUCGUCGGCCUGAAGACACCGGUCACUGCUUCCGCCGACCCUGCAGACGCUCGGGCCUCACUGGAGGAGGCUCGCAAGCGUAUCUUGGAGGAGGGCAUCGCCGUGGCCUCGGCAAAACGUCGGCUGGAGGCUACACAUCGUGAGUAUAACUCCGCAUAUGGUCUUACUCCGAUUUCCGAGGCCCCCAGCCGGCUUGGAUCGGUCCGCAGUCGCGGACGAUUCGUCGCCGAGGUUCUAGGCGGGGACCUGCCCACCUACGAGACUCCUGCGGCCAACAUGCGGGCGGGACAGGCGGCCAUGGAGGAGAUGGCAAGCUUCGAAGGCGAGGAGUGCCCCUUCCAGGAGAUGCGUGUCAAGGAUCUCCUUGACGCUGCUACCCAGCAGUACGCUCGGUUCGACCCUGGCCAGGCUCAUUCAGAGUCCCCGGGACCAAACUCGGGAGCUCGCCGCAACCCUAGCGGCCAGCACCACGCCGAAGGAUCUUCCUCGCAUCGCCCUUCCGGCUGGAGGGGCGAGGGAAGCCAAGGCCGGCGCUCGCAGCACCAGAGCGAGCACACUUCAGGCCUACGUCGCGGAGGCAACGAGGGCGACUCGGAGUACGGGGAUCUUCCCCCGCGAAGAACUCACGCAUCCGGCUCCCGAGGAGCCUCCCCUCUCGCCACCAGGGCUGGCGCCCCCGCCUCCUAGAACGAGCGGGACGCCCGCCGCCGUAUCAUCGCCCUGGCCCAUUCGGCCCUCCUAGAGGAAGACGGACCCGUCGGUCCGGCUUGCUUCGGCCCCCGGAUCCGAGGGGAGCCGUUCCCCCGAGGUUUCACCCUACCUCGGGAUACGCUGAAAUACAACGGCACGGCCAAGCCAGAAGAUUGGCUGAUCGACUACACCACGGCCAUAGGCAUCGCCAGGGGCAACAAGCGUGUAGCGGUUCGCUACGUGCCACUCGUGCUGGCCGGCUCGGCUCGGACCUGGCUUAACAGCCUCCUGGCCGGCAGCAUCAACUCCUGGGUGGACUUCGAGGAGGCGUUCGUCCGCAACUUCACCGACACCUACAAGCGCCCUGGUCGGCCUCGCGAGCUGGCCAUGUGCGUCUAGAAGGCCGACGAACCCCUCGGCGACUACGUCACCUGGUCGACCGAGCUCCGCAACUCCUGUGAGGGGGUGCAUGAGGUACAAGCCAUACAGUAAUUCAUUGACGGAUGCCGAGACGGCACCCUCCUCAAGCACAAGCUCAUGUGCGCCGAGCCCACCUCCUUGGCGGUGCUCAUGGCCAAGGCGGACAAGUACGCCACGGCGGACUCCGCAAUGUGCAUCAAGGUGACCGCCUCGGAAAAGGUUGUGCCUGCGCCGGCUACUCCCAAGCCGGCUGGGGACAACCGAGGCGGACAGAACAACUACAAGCGCAAGGCGGAUCAGAUGGCUAACAACAAGCUAGUGGCCAACAUGGAGGGAGAGGCAUCGGCUUCCCAAGCCAGCCCUCCACGAAAGUGUCGCAAUCAGGGCGACCCCAACUGGCUGCCCAAGCAGUCUCUCGAGCAGCUGCUCGACGCCCCCUGCAAGAUACAUUCGGGGGCGGCGCCGUCUACCCAUACCCUUGGAUAGUGCAGCGUUGCACGCUGGCUGUCGCAAGGGGAGGGCCUGCCGGCUCCUCCGGGUGCGCAGGCGGCGCCCCGUGCACCGGCUCCCCAUCACGCUCCUCUUCCGCCGCCGCCGCCUCGCGACGACGGCCCACACCAUGACGACUACCCGCAUCAAGAUAGAGCGUUCGUCAUCUUCACCAGUGAAGGCGACGACAAGCACAACCUGCGCCAAAGGUGGCACGAGGUAAACGCCACUGUCCCCCCGGUUCCCCAGUACAUGCAUUCGUCUAACAAACCAAUUACAUGGAGCCGGGUGGACCACCCUGCCGUGAUGCCCAACCCGGGGUCAUACGCACUCGUCGUCGACCCCACCUUCGCCUCGAAGAGGCUCACCUGCUGAUUCUCCCGGGUGCUGGUCGACGGUGGCAGCAGCAUCAACAUCCUCUACCUCGACACUCUCCGCAAGCUUGGGCUCAAGGAGACGGACGUCCUUCCAACCAGCACUGUCUUCCAUGGCAUCGUGCAUGGGCGGUCGUGCUCGCCCAUCGGCAAGAUCCAGCUGGACGUCCUCUUCAGCGACAAGGCCCACUUCCGUCGCGAGUUCAUAUGGUUCGAGGUGGUGGACCUCAGCAGCCCGUAUCACGCGCUGCUGGGGAGACCGGCUCUGGCCAAAUUCAUGGCUAUCCCGCACUACGCCUACCUGAAAAUGAAGAUGUCGGGUCCCAAGGGCAUCAUCGCUGUUGUUGGCGACUACAAGAAGUCGCUCGAGUGUGCCCAAGAUAGCAGCCGCCUCGCCGACGCCUUGGUGAUUGCCGAGGAGAAGCGGUAGAUUGACCGGCUCGUGGCCCAGGCUACCGAGCAGCCGGCGAUUCCUUCUCCUCUGUCCCAAUCGGCCGGCGAGGGCUCUUUCAAGCCGGCUAAAGAGACCAAGCAGGUCCCACUCUACCCUGCCAACCCAAAGCAGUGCAUCACCAUCGGGGCUGGCCUCAGCCCCAAAUAGAAAGGCGAGCUCGUCGACUUCCUCCGUGAGAAUCGGGACAUCUUUGCAUGGUCCCUCAAGGACAUGCUGGGUGUUCCGAGGAAGUACGCCGAGCAAAAACUUCACGUGCGACCGGAUGCAAAUCCGGUGAAACAACCUUUGCGCCGCUUCGCCGAGGGGAAGCGGCGCACAAUCGGAGAAGAGAUCACCCGGCUCCUUGCAGCUGGCUUCAUCAUGGAGGUUUUACACCCGGACUGGCUGGCGAACCCAGUCGUGGUGCUGAAGAAGAACAACACAUGGCGAAUGUGCAUCGACUACACUAGCCUGAAUAAGGCCUGUCCGAAAGACCCUUUCGCGUUGCCUAGGAUAGAUCAAGUAAUCGACUCCACUGCAGGCUGUGAACUACUGUCAUUUCUUGAUGCUUAUUCAGGCUACCAUCAAAUCAAGGUGGAUCCAGCUAAUUGCCAGAUGACCUCCUUCAUCACGCCCUUCGGGGCCUACUGCUACACCAACAUGAUGUUCGGUCUGAAGAACGCAGGUGCGACGUUCCAACGCUGCAUGCAACAGUGCCUACUUCCACAGAUUGGCAGAAACAUCCACGUCUAUGUAAAUGACAUCGUCGUCAAGACGAAGCAGCACUUCAGCCUCCUCGACGACCUGCGAGAGACAUUUGCCAAUCUGCGCGAAUACAAGAUCCGGCUCAAUCCUGAGAAGUGCGUCUUCGGGUCCCAGGCGGCAAACUCUUGGGGUUCUUCGUAUCCGCCCGCGACAUCGAAGCGAACCCUGAGAAGAUCAGCACCAUCGAGCGGAUGGUGCGGUCGGCUCGGAUGCUCGAUGUCCAGAAGUUUGCCGGCUUCUUGGCAUCCCUCAGCCGGUUCGUCAGCCGGCUUGGCGAGAAGGCCCUUCCACUCUACCAGCUCAUGACGAAGACGGCGAAGUUCGAGUGGAACGACCAGGCGGACGAAGCCUUCCGCGACCUCAAGCGGGUAAUCUCGAGCCUGCCAAUCUUGGCAGCCCCAUGUGAAAGGGAAACCAUACUCAUAUAUAUCGCGGCGACCACUCGCGUGGUCAGCGUAGUGUUGGUAGUUCAGCAUAAAGAGGAAGGCAAGGCCCUGCCAGUACAGCGCCAUGUCUACUACCUUAGCGAGGUCUUGUCCGCCUCUAAGCAGAACUACCCUCAUUAUCAGAAAAUGUGUUAUGGUGUUUACCUUGCUGCAAAGAAAUUAAAAUAAUACUUCCAAGAGCAUGCCAUCACUGUGGUGAGCACGGCUCCACUAUCAGAGAUCAUGGGCAACCGUGAUGCCACGGGCAGAAUUGCCAAAUGGUCCAUCGCCAUGGCGGACCAGGACAUUCAGUACGAGCCUCGCACCGUCUCCAGACUCCACGCAUUGGCGGAUGCACUUCGACGGCUCGAAGAUGCGGACGGGACUGGGAGCCGGCAUCAUCUUGACGUCUCCGAAAGGGGACCAGCUUAAGUACGCUCUCCAGAUCCACUUCGCCGCCUCCAACAACGUCGCCGAGUACGAAGCACUGGCCCACGGCCACCGGCUUGCCAAGGAGAUUGGCAUCCGGCGGCUCAUAUGCUUCGGCGAUUCGGACUUGGUGGUGCAGCAGGUCUCUGGCGAGUGGGACGCCAGGGACGCCAACAUGGCAAGCUACCGCUUCCUCAUCCAGCAGCUCAACGGCCCCUUCGAGGGUUGUGAGUUCCACCAUGUUCCCAGGGCAGACAAUGAGGUGGCAGAUACGCUAGCAAAGAUCGGCUCCACAAGGGAGGCCAUCCCGGCCGUCGUCUCCCUCGAGCAACUCCACAAGCCGUCUAUCAAGCCGUCUCUGGAGUCGGCAUCAAUCUUCGUACCAGCCGACUCCAUGAUACAAGCGCCGCCGGCUCCGCCAGUUAUGUCGGCUGCGGACCCCAUGCCGGUUGCACUGACGGCUCCGACUCCAAAUGCGGCACCGACUAAGUCUAUGGUGCAAGCGCCGUCGGCUCCACCAACUACGUAGGCUUCAGAUCCUAAUCCGGCUCCAUUGGUCCACCCGACUCCAACAACGACAACCCCGGCUCUGCCCGGGUUCGAAUCCUCCCAGUGGGUGGACGUCAUGGAGAUAGACGAGGAGCCGGCUGCAGCAAUAGCACCAAAGACGCCAUCAAGCUCGGGGGCUGCAGAAGCCCCCAACAGUCAAGACGAAGCGGAGGCGACCCUUGUGUCGGCUCCAUUAUGGGCUCAGGCCAUUCUGGCCUUCCUUCUUCGCGGCGAACUUCCUCAAAAUGAGGCGGAGGCGAGACAGACCCAGCGCAGGUCCACCGCGUACGCCAUCAACAAUCGCGAGCUGGUGCGACGCAACACGACCGACGUGUUCCAACGUUGCGUCGAAUCAGAAAAAGGGCAGGAGAUCCUUAGAGACAUCCACCAGGGGGAGUGUGGGCAUCAUGCCGCCUCCAGAACCCUGGUGGCCAAAGCAUUCCGCCAUGGAUUCUACUGGCCCACGACCCUCGAGGAGGCUGUGGAUCUGGUGGACAAAUGUGAAGGCUGCCAACGCUUCAGUGCACAGAGCCAUAUGCCGCCUUCAACACUGAAAACCAUCCCCUUAUCUUGGCCAUUCGCCGUCUGGGGACUGGACAUGGUUGGGCCCUUCAAGAGGGCUCGCGGAGGGAUGACACAUCUUUUGGUAGCCGUCGACAAGUUCACCAAGUGGAUCGAAGCCAGGCCUAUCAAGAAGCUUGACGGCCCCACUCCUGUCAGGUUUAUCUCGGACAUCUCUGUCCGAUAUGGCGUUCCCCACAACAUCAUCACCGACAACGGCACCAACUUCGCCAAGGGCGCCCUGGCGUUCUACUAUUCCAAGGUAGGCAUCCGGCUCGACCUGGCCUCGAUGGCACACCCCCAGUCAAACGGCCAAGGGGAGAGGCCCAACGGCCUGAUCCUAGCCGGCAUCAAGCCAAGGCUGGUGGCACCACUGGUCAGGUCAGCCGGUUGCUGGAUCGAAGAACUGCCGGCUGUGCUAUGGAACCUCCGCACCACGCCCAACCGGUCGACCGGCUUCACUCCAUUCUUCCUGGUAUACGGGUCUAAGGCUAUCAUCCCCACGGAUAUCGAAUUCGACUCGCCUUGGGUCACCCUAUACACAGAAACGGAGGCGAAGGAGGCCAGAGAGGACGGUGUGGAUCUCCUCGAGGAAGCAAGGGACUUGGCUUUGAGCCGGACGGACAUGUACCAACAGAAGCUGAGAUACUACCAAAACAAAAGGAUCAGGCCUCUCUCUUUCAGAGAGGGAGACUUGGUCCUCAGAAGAAUCCAGCGCACUGUCGGCCGGCACAAGCUCUCACCCCCUUGGGAGGGACCCUUCAUCAUCAGUAGGGCGUUACACAACAACGCUUACUACCUGAUUGAUGCCUAGAAGCCAAGGAAGCGCAAGAGGGACGACUCUGGCCAAGAAACGGAGCGCCCAUGGUACGCGGCGUUGCUUCGCCCGUUCUAUUGCUAAAAGGCAGAAGACAAGAAAAGGAAAGAGCAUGCACAUGUAUCUUCCUCCCUCUUCAGGGAACAAAGAAGGCAAUAAAAAGGACAUGCUCCAUGUUUCUUUUUGUCAAGAGUUCUCACUCACGUGUACGGGCUACACAACGUACCACCUCUUGCUGGCUUGCUCAAGCUCGGAGGCUACGCGGCGCGGCCCCUUGCUAGCUUUAAACAAGCUCGGGGGCUCGCCAGCUGCCUGAACGGUCAAACCCUUAUAACGGACACAUAGUGUAUCGGCUAACCCCUGGUCCGUCGCUUGAACCUGCGGGCUGACUCUGGUCGCUCGGUUCGCGAUAUGACGCCAGGUAAGGUCAAAUACAUGCAAAGUCCGGCUAUACUUGGGACGUCCGGCUCGGGCCGGCUCGAUCGUAUAUACGAUCUCCUUCAAGACUCAAGACGGCCUCUGAUUGCCGAGACUCAAGACGGCCUCUGACUCCCGAGAACCACAAAUAUGGUGAAAAAAGCAGGCUCCAUGCUUUCUCUUGCUAAAAGAGUUUUCACUCAGUGUACGGGCUACACCGCGUACCACCUCUUGCUGGCUUGCUCAAGCUCGGAGGCUACGCAACGCGGCCCCUUGCUAGCUUUAAACAAGCUCGGGGGCUCGCCAGCCGCUCGGACAGUCAAUCCUUGUAGUCGGGCACAUAGUGUACCGGCUGAUUCCCGGUCCAUCGCUUGAACCUGCGGGCAGGCUCCGGUCGCUCGGUUCGCGAUGUGACGCCGGGUCAGGUCGAAUACAUGCACAGUCCGGCUAUACUAGUGACGACCGGCUCGAGUUGGUUCAUUCAAGUCGGCCUCUGAUUGGCUUAUGUCUUGUUCUUUAUGUCUUGAUGGCUUCGGAUAAGAGAAGUCAACCAGGAAUCAAAAGACGGGAUCAUAAGACAACACGCUUGGUGACGAAUAUAAUGCUGAAUAUAUACAUUCAUAAAAAGCAUUGGCCCACGGCCCACGUUCGUUACAUCCCUCCGGGGGUAGAACCAAAAACACAAAAGGACACGAGUAACGGGAAAGCGGCCUCAGUGGUCGUCUCGGCUGCUGCUCCUGAUGUGGUAACAUCGCCGCCUCAGGCUUCUCCCGAGGUGGAUGCGUCGUCUCCCUCAUUGCGGCCCCCGGCUCCGCUGAUCCCGGAGUCGGCAUACGCCCCACCGCUGGAGGCGGCUGCAGAUUCCGCAGCCCGGGCCACCUUGUCGGAGCAGCCAUCGGCGUCGUAGGGCUGAAGGCCGUGCAGAUCCUCAGCGAUCACACCGCCGUCUUCACCCAGCUCCAAGACGAAGUCGUCCCAGGCUGCGUACUCAGCCACGACGUUGGCCCUCACCGGGAGCUCCUCCUCCAGGCCUUGCAACUCCGCCUCUGAGCCAUCGCGCUGGGCAGCCAGCUUGCCCAAGUUCAGGUUGCGAUACCAUGACUUGGCCAAGCGCAGGUCCAUAUAAGCCCCAGACCACGCUGCGGAGGCUCGCCAGGCGUCCAGGCGCUCUUCACCCGCCGCGAGCCAACGGGCAAGACGGCUUAUGGUCAUCGGCUCCACGCCCACCUGCCACAGGGCCGUCACCAUCGACGAACCCGCAACUUGGAGCUGAGUCACAGACUCGCCCAGGACGUGUAAGCGGGCCCGAAGCCCCACACCAAUCUCCUCGAUGCUCCAGCCGGAGGUAGUAUCUACCACCUGCCCGGCCGCGCGGCGCUCCUCGCGGCACACCUCAACGGCGGUGUCGGCUGCGACCUGGGUCUCGGAGAAGAGAUCUGGGGUAAAGACAACCAGGACGUAAGAACACAGCAAGAGGAGGAGACAGCCAAAAAAACCAAACGCAAAACAAGGAAAGGAAACCUACGCUGGUAGGCACCGUCGGUCUCAUGAAAGACCUCGAGGACCUCACGCUCCCGCACCUCACUCGCAUGAGUGAGGCGGGCGAUUUCCUCCUGGAGGGUCGCGGCGGACUCCAGCGCCUUACCCAGAUGCACUUGCUUCUGGGUAAGGGCUUCAUCCUUCGCCCUCAACGCGGCGUCCUUGAGGUUCGCCUCCUCAAGAUGGAGCGACGCGAGGCGGUCCAUGUCAGGAGAGUAAGAGGCCUCCUUCUCCUGCAGCAUGGCCCGCAGCCGCUCCAGCUCGACCCGACUGGCCGCCUCGAGCUCCUUCUUCUCCGGCUGAAGAAGGUCCAGCUGCUCUUGGAGCUGGCCGCCGGCUUCGCGAAGGGCAUCACGCUCCGCGGCGGCCUCGCCUAGCCGGACUUCAAGCUCGGCGAUCCGGCGAUCAGCCCCCAGGUGCUGGUCCCGAAGCUCGUUGUACGCCUGUACCUGAGCAUCGUAUAGCGCCUGUCAAAGGGGAGAGAAAGGGAACAUGAUUACGAUUCGAGUGGGUUAAAAGGAUAACCAGCCCGAUUCUCGGGGGCUACACCCAGUGGGUGCGCUUGCGCGCCCCCACUGAAGAAAAAUAUGCAGAAGAAAAGGCCUCCAAGAGAUUCAAACCGGUUGGCAAUCGACCCGCCCGAUUCUCGGGGGCUACACCCAGUGGGUGCGCUGUCGCGCCCCCACUGACGUCAAGAGAAGAGAAAAAAGUGCAAAGAAAAACCAAAAAAGGCAAGGCCUACCUGGGUACAGGCUUCCAGGUGCUCCAUGUCGCCGCAUACCACGCGGGCCGCCUGCUCCACCUUCGACCGGCCGCUGCCAAACAGAGUCACCAGCUCCGGCAUGCCGGAAAGAACGGUGCCGGCGGGCAUUCGCAGGCGGGCCGCAUUCGCCGCCCACCAUGACUUCAUGGGCCGGCUCGCAGGCCGGCCCCCUGCCCUUGGCGCGACAGGGCCCUGCUGGGGGACGACGAUGGCGCCGGCUCCUGGUGCCGGCUCAACGGCCGGCUCGGGCGCCGCCCCAGCCGGCGCUACCUCCUCCACACGAGGCGGAUGAGCCACGUCCGACGCAUCCAUGGUUGCCCCUGGGGCGUCAGGGGCUGCGUUUGGCGCGGCCAGAUCCAGCACCGGCUCCAGGUCCACCUGCUCUGGGGAGAAACCGGGAUCGUCUCCAGGUCCACCUGCUCCGGCGCUGCUGGCUCAGGCGGCUGGGUCCCUUCAGUCCUCGGGGUCGGCCUCGAAGCGGCCUCGCUAGCUGCCUCCUCCACACGAGCGUGUGCGGAUGGGUCCUGUCUAGCCUUCGCACGCUUCUCCGCCUGCCUCUCGACCCGGCUGGGGCAAGUCUGAUCCACGGCAGCCUUCCCCACAGCUGUGUGCCACCGGCGCUUGGACUCUAUCUCCAGCUCCCUAUCGGCAGCAUCAGCUGUUGCCCAGCCGGCCCGCUCGGCCGCGGAGGCGGUGUCUUCAUCCGCAUCCUCCGCCUCCCUGUCAAGCCAAGCUUCUCAGGAACAAAGUUCAUCUCAAGAUAUGGAAGGGAGAAGAGGAGGAAACCAUACCCGACAACUACCGGGACCUGCCUCCGGCAACCGCCACGGCGCCUCUUGGUGCCGCCUGCUCGCUGCCCGGCUAGGGGACCCGGCGCCGGUCGCUUAGAGGCCGGCCGGGAAGUUGUGUCACCAUUGCCCUUCUUCCCGGCUGCCUCGUCAGCAGCGGUUGCUCCGCCACCUUGACACCGGUCGCGCGACGGUAGUGGGCCGGUGACCUCCUCCACCUCGUCGGAGUCUCCCUCGAACGCUGCAUCAGAGAAGAAUGAGGCUUCCUCAUCGUCGUCCGUCCAGUCUGCCACGGCGUGCCGCGGGUACUCACUAGACGGCUCGGUCCCUUCUGACUCCAGGGAAUCUCCCGAGCUGGCGGAGGAGUCUGAGCGGGGCUCCAUCGCAUCCUCGUCCUCCAUCUCGGAGGCGCCGUGCGCCUCCACAUCAGGAGCAGGCGGACGGAGGGACCCCUGCAUGGUUUGGAACAUCUACUAGAAAGGAAUUCAAGUAGGCUCAGCAAACGCCACCGGCUUCAGAACAAAACGACAGAAAAGAAGGGAGAAAGGCUACCACCAGAGGCGGAUGAGACCGGUUGAACAGGGCCAUCCCCAUGUCCAUUCCCCGCCCUCAUCCAUGCGGGUGGUGGAGAUCAGGUUCACCCUUCGCGCCACAGCACCCGGGGUGAACCUAUUGAUGGACAGCCGGCAUGGAUCAAGCCGGCCGCUCAUCUGGCAGACCAGAUGCGGCCGCCUUUGCAGAGGCAGAAUCCGGCGGACCACCAUGGUGGCAAGAAGGUCGCGGCCGAGGAGGCCGCUCUCCCUCAAGACAUCAAGGUAGGCGCGAAUAGGCGCCACCUCAGGAUGCGGCUUGGGAGUCUUCGCGUCCCAAUUUUUCCACGUCGGAGGGGCGAUGGUGAACGGGGGCAUGUUGAGAGCGUCCUGGGACGGGUCGGUGCUCCUCACGUAGAAGAACCCCUUCUGCCAAUGCUUGACGGAGUCUUGCAAAGGCAUCUGGGGAAAGCCGAACUUCGGGCGGUGAUGCACCAACGCAGCCCCGCACGGCGUCAUGGGGUGCGGCCCCUUGAGCUUCUCCACCUCAGAUUUUUCCAUGUCGAUGGAUUGCUGCUUAAAAAAGAACAGGUUGCGCCACAGAUCGACGCGAGACUCGAUUCCCACGAAGCCCUUGCACAGGACCACGAAGGCGGCCAGCUGCAGUAUGGCGUUCGGCGCCAAAUGAUGCGGUUGCAGGCCGAAGAACUGGAGCCACUCGGUGAAGAAUGAGCUAGCCAGGAGCCCGAAACCCCGGUAGAAGUGCUCGGCGAAGACCACAACCUCUCCCACGAGAGGCGCGGGAGAGACCUCGGAGCCAGGAAGGCGCACCGACACUUGGGAGACCGGGGGCAGCAGACGAUGAUGAUGGAGCGCAUCAAUGAGCUCCUCGUCGACAUCGCUGCCCAGCCAGGCCCCGUGCAAGGACGCCUGCUGCGCUGUCGACUUCCUCCAUGAAGAUCUACCGGCCAUGGCUGCGGGUGGCGAGAGCUCGGAGCGGUCGGCGGAGGUCUCGGCGGCGAAGAAGAAGGAGACAAAGGGCGCGAGCUCUUCCUCUUAGGACGCAAGGAGGAAGAAAGCAUGGAGCAGGGCAAGAAGAGGGGGCGAAUGGCCUCCUUGAAGCCCUCGCGUCCCAUUUAAACGCCACGAAGCGUCGUGGGGAGGGGAUCCAGUGCGCGCCGGCCCCAUUCAUUCCGUGUAUUACGGGCGGUAACGCCCCCAAAGCCCAACCAUCGCGGAGUAAAUCCGCAGAGGAUCUCCCGUGCGGAGGCCGAGGGGGCAUCGUGGCGGGACCCAGGGCCCAGGCCCGGUCCCGUCAGCAGUAAUUGCCAUCAUUACGCGCCUGGCACGUGGCGCUCUCCGCGCCAGUUACGACUAGACCGAAGCAUCACUUCGAAGCUACCCGGCUCCAAAGCCGGUGUCCUGUUGGGGAACGUCGCAUGGGAAACAAAAAAUUUCCUACGCGCACGAAGACCUAUCAUGGUGAUGUCCAUCUACGAGAGGGGAUGAGUGAUCUACGUACCCUUGUAGAUUGUACUGCAGAAGUGUUAGUGAACGCGGUUGAUGUAGUGGAACGUCGUCACGUCCCUCGAUCCGCCCCGCGAACUAUCCCGCGAACAGUCCCACGAUCUAGUGCCGAACGGACGGCACCUCCGCGUUCAGCACACGUACAGCUCGACGAUGAUCUCGGCCUUCUUGAUCCAGCAAGAGAGACGAAGAGGUAGAAGAGUUCUCCGGCAGCGUGACGGUGCUCCGGAGGUUGGUGAUGAUCUUGUCUCAGUAGGGCUCCGCCCGAGCUCCGCAGAAACUCGAUCUAGAUGUGAAACCGUGGAGAUAUGUGGUCGGGCUGCCGUGGCAAAGUUGUGUCAAAUCAGCCCUAAAACCCCACUAUAUAUAGGAGGAGGAGGGGGGAGACUUGCCUUGGGGUCCAAGGACUCCCAAGGGGGUCGGCCGAGCCAAGGGGGAAGGCCUACCCUUCCCAAACCGAAUUCUACUUGGUUUGGAAGGUGGAGUCCUUCUUCCCUUUCCCACCUCCUUCUUUUUUUUCCUUUCCUCUUUGAUUUUCUUCCCAAUGCGCAUAUGGCCUUCUUGGGCUGUCCCACCAGCCCACUAAGGGCUGGUGCGCCACCCCCAAGGCCUAUGGGCUUCCCCGGGGUGGGUUGACCCCCCCCCCGGUGAACUCCCGGAACCCAUUCGUCAUUCCCGGUACAUUCCCGGUAAUUCCGAAAACCUUCCGGUAAUCAAAUGAGGUCAUCCUAUAUAUCAGUCUUUGUUUCCGGACCAUUCCGGAAACCCUCGUGACGUCCGUGAUCUCAUCCGGGACUCCGAACAACAUUCGGUAACCAACCUUAUAACUCAAAUACGCAUAAAAUAACGUCAAACCUUAAGUGUGCAGACCCUACGGGUUCGAGAACUAUGUAGACAUGACCCGAGAGACUCCUCGGUCAAUAUCCAAUAGUGGGACCUGGAUGCCCAUAUUGGAUCCUACAUAUUCUAUGAAGUUCUUAUCGUUUGAACCUCAGUGUCAAGGAUUCAUAUAAUCCCGUAUGUCAUUCCCUUUGUCCUUCGGUAUGUUACUUGCCCGAGAUUCGAUCGUCAGUAUCCGUAUACCUAUUUCAAUCUCGUUUACCGGCAAGUCUCUUUACUCGUUCCGUAAUACAAGAUCCCGCAACUUACAUUAAGUCACAUUGCUUGCAAGGCUUGUGUGUGAUGUUGUAUUAUCGAGUGGGCCCCGAGAUACCUCUCUGUCACACGGAGUGACAAAUCCCAGUCUCGAUCCAUACUAACUCAACGAACACCUUCGGAGAUACCUGUAGAGCAUCUUUAUAGUCACCCAGUUACGUUGCGACGUUUGAUACACACGAAGCAUUCCUCCGGUGUCCGUGAGUUAUAUGAUCUCAUGGUCAUAGGAAGAAAUACUUGACACGCAGAAAACAGUAGCAACAAAAUGACACGAUCAACAUGCUACGUCUAUUAGUUUGGGUCUAGUCCAUCACAUGAUUCUCCUAAUGAUGUGAUCCCGUUAUCAAGUGAAAACACUUGCCUAUGGUUAGGAAACCUUGACCAUCUUUGAUCAACGAGCUAGUCAACUAGAGGCUUACUAGGGACAGUGUUUUGUCUAUAUAUCCACACAUGCACUGUGUUUCCAAUCAAUACAAUUAUAGCAUGGAUAAUAAACGAUUAUCAUGAACUAAGAAAUAUAAUAAUAACUAAUUUAUUAUUGCCUCUACGGCAUAUUUCCAACAGUCUCCCACUUGCACUAGAGUCAAUAAUCUAGUUCACAUCACCAUGUGAUUCCAACGAAUCCAACACCCAUAUAGUUAUGGGGUCUGAUCACGUCUUUGCUCGUGAGAGAGGUUUUAGUCAACGGUUCUGAAACUGUCAGAUCCGUGCGUUCUUUACAAAUCUUUAUGUCAUCUUAUAGAUGCUGCUACUACGUGCUAUUCGGAAAUGCUCCAAAUAUCUACUCUACUAUACGAAUCCGUUUCACUACACAUAGUUAUUCGGAUUAGUGUCAAAGCUUGCAUCGACGUAACCCUUUACGACGAACUCUUUAACCACCUCCAUAAUCGAGAAAAAUUCCUUAGUCCAUUAGUUACUAAGGAUAAAUUUUGACCGCUGCUAGUGAUUCAAUCAUGGAUCACUCUCUGUACCUCUCAACAGACUUUGAGUCAAGGCACACAUCAGGUGCGGUACACAGCAUGGCAUACUUUAGAUUCUACGGCUAAGGCAUAGAAGACGACCUUCGUCUAUUCUCUUUAUUCUGCCGUGGUUGGGUUUUGAGUCUUACUCAAAUUCACACCUUACAAUGCAACUAAGAACUCCUUAUUUGCUGAUCUAUUUUGAACUCCUUCAAACACUUGUCAAGGCAUGCAUCUUGUUGAAACUUCCAUUAAGCGCUUUCAAUCUAUCUCCAUAGAUCUUUGAUGUUCAACGUUCAAGUAGCUCAAUCCAGGUAUUCCUUUGAAAACUCCUUUCAAACAACCUUGUAUGCUUUACAGAAAUUCUACAUUACUUCUGAUCCACAAUAUGUCAACCACAUAUACUUAUUGUAAAUUCUAUAGUGCUCCCACUCACUUCUUUGGAAAUACAAGUUUCUCAUAAACCUUGUACAAACCCAAAAUCUUUGAUCAGCUCAUCAAAGUGUAUAUUCCAACUCCGAGAUGCUUGCACCAGUCCAUUGAAGGAUCACUGGAGCUUGCAUACUUGCUAGUAUCUUUAGGAUCGACAAAACCUCCUGGUUGUAUCACAUACAAUGUUUGCUCAAGGAAACCGUCGAGGAAACAAUGUUUUGACAUCCUACAUGCAAUAUUUCAUAAAUAAUGCAGCAACUACUAACAUAAUUCUAACAGACUUCUAGCAUCGCUACGAGUGAGAAAGUCUCAUCAUAGUCAAAUGUUUGAUCUUGUCGGAAACAUCUUUGCGACAAGUCGAGCUUUUCAUAAUAGUGACUUAUCACCAUCAUCGUCUGUCUUCCUUUUAAAGAUCCAUCUUUACUCAAUAGUCCUCUGACCAUCAAGUAGUUCUUCCAAAGUCUACACUUUGUUUUCAUACAUGGAUCCUCUCUCGGAUUUCAUGGCUUUCAGCCAUUUGUCGGAAUCCGGGCCCACCAUUUCUUUCUUCAUAACUCGUAAGUUCAUUGUUGCUCAACAACAUGACCUCCAAGACAGGGUUACCGUACCACUCUGCAGUAGUACGCGACCUUGUCAACCUACGAGGCUUGUAGUAACUUGAACCGAUGCUCGAUGAUCACCAUCAUCAGCUUCCACUUCAAUUGGUGUAGGCGCCACAGGAACAACUUCCUGCGCCCUACUACACACUGGUUGAAGUGAUGGUUCAAUAACCUCAUCAAGUUCUACUACCCUCUCACUCAAUUCUUUCAAGAGAAACCUUUCCUCGAGAAAGGAUCCGUUUCUAGAAACAAACACUUUGCUUUCGGAUCUGAGAUAGGAGAUGUACCCAACUGUUUUGGAUAUCCUAUGAAGAUGCAUUUAUCCGCUUUGGGUUCGAGCUUAUCAGACUGAAACAUUUUCACAUAAGUGUCGAAGCCCCAAACUUUCAAGAAACGACAGUUUAGAUUUCUGUAAACCUCAGUCUAUACUGUGUCAUCUCAACGGAAAUAUGCGGUGCCCUAUUUAAAGUGAAUGCAGUUGUCUCUAAUGCAUAACCCAUAAACGAUAGUGGUAAUUCGAUAAGAGACAUCACAGCAUGCACCAUACCAAAUAGUGUGUUUCUAUGACGUUCAGACACAUCAUCACACUAUGAUGUUCUAGGUGGCAUAAACUGUGAAACAAUUUCCACAUUGUCUUAACUGCGUACCAAAACUCGUAACUCAGAUAUUCAUUUCUAUGAUCAUAUCGUAGACAGUUUAUCCUCUUGUUACGACGAACUUCACUCCGAAACAGAAUUGAACUUUUCAAUAUUUCAGACUUGUGACUCAUUAAGUAAAUAUUCUAGUAUCUACUCAAAUCGUCAUUGAAGUAAGAACAUAAUGAUAUCCACUGCGUGCCUCAGCACCCAUUGGACUGCAUACAUCAAAAUGUAUCACUUCCAACAAGUUACUAUCUUAUUUCAUCUCAAUGAAAACAAUGCCUUGCUCAUGUGGUAUGAUUUGCAUGUCACUAGUGAUUUGAAAUCAGGUGAGUACAAAGAUCCAUCAGCAUGGAGCCUCUUCAUGCAAUUUAUACCAACAUGACUCAAGCGGCAGUGCCACAAGUAAGUGGUACUAUCAUCAUUAACUCGUAUCUUUUGGUACCAAUAUCAUGAACAUGUGUAACACUACGAUCGAGAUUCAAUAAACCAUUGAAGGUGAUUAUUCAAAAAAAUAGAGUAACCAUUAUUCUCUUUAAAUGAAUAAUCGUAUUGCAAUAAACACGAUCCAAUCAUGUUCAUGCUUAACGCAAGCACCAAAUAACAAUUAUUUAGGUUUAACACCAAUCCCGAUGGUAGAGGGAGCGUGCGACGUUUUGAUCAUAUCAACCUUGGAAACACUUCCAACACGUAUCGUCACCUCGCCUUUAGCUAGUCUCCAUUUAUGCCGUAGCUUUCAUUUCGUGUUACUAAUCACUUAGCAACCGAACCGGUAUCCAAUACCCUCAUGCUACUAGGAGUACUAGUAAAGUACACAUCAACAUCAUGUAUAUCAAAUAUACUUCUCUCGACUUUUGCCAGCCUUCUUAUCUACCAAGUAUCUAGAGUUGCUCCGCCUCAGUUACUGUUCCCCUCAUUACAGAAGCACUUAGUCUCGGGUUUGGGUUUAAUCUUGGGUCUCUUCAUUAGUGCAGCAAAGGUUUUGCCGUUUCACGAAGUAUCCCUUCUAGCCCUUGCCUUUCUUGAAACUUAGUGGUUUUACUAACCAUCAACUAUUGAUGCUCCUUCUUGAUUUCCACUUUCGCAGUGUCAAACAUCGCGAACGCUCAAGGAUCAUUGUAUCUAUCCUUGAUAUGUUAUAGUUCAUCACGAAGCUCUCACAGCUUGGUUGCAGUGACUUUGGAGAACCAUCACUAUCUCAUCUGGAAGAUUAACUCCGACUUGAUUCAAGCGAUUGUCGUACUCAGACAAUCUGAGCACACGCUCAACGAUUGAGCUUUUCUCCUUUAAUUUGUGGACAAAGAAUCUUGUCGGAGGUCUUGUACCUCUUAACAAGGGCACAAGCAUGAAAUCACAAUUUCAUCUCUUUAGAACAUCACUUAUGUUCCGCGACGUUUUAAAACGUUUUCGGCGCCUUGCUUCUAAGCCAUUAAAUAUUUUGCACUGAACUAUCGUGUAGUCAUCAGAAACGUGUAUUUCAGAUGUUCACAGCAUCCACAGACGACGCUUGAGGUGCAGCACACCGAGUGGUGCAUAAAAUACAUAAGCCUUCUGCGCAGCAACGAGGACAAUCCUCGGUUUUACAAACUUAGUCUGCAAAGUUUGCUACUAUCAACUUUCAACUAAAUUUUCUCUAGGAACAUAUAAAAACAGUAGAGCUAUAGCGCAAGCUACAUUGUAAUUCGCAAAGACCAUUAGACUAUGUUCAUGACAAUUAGUUCAAUUAAUCAUAUUACUUAAGAACUCCCACUCAAAAAGUACAUCUCUCUAGUCAUUUGAGUGGUACCUGAUCCAAAUCCACUAUCUCAAGUCCGAUCAUCACGUGAGUCGAGAAUAGUUUCAUUGGUAAGCAUCUCUAUGCUAAUCAUAUCAACUAUACGAUUCAUGCUCGACCUUUCGGUCUCAUGUGUUCCGAGGCCAUGUCUACACAUGCUAGGCUCGUCAAGCUUAACCCGAGUGUUCCGCGUGUGCAACUGUUUUGCACCCGUUGUAUGUGAACGUUGAGUCUAUCACACCCGAUCAUCACGUGGUGUCUCGAAACGAAGAACUGUCGCAACGGUGCACAGUCGGGGAGAACACAAUUUCGUCUUGAAAUUUUAGUGAGAGAUCACCUCAUAAUGCUACCGUCGUUCUAAGCAAAAUAAGGUGCAUAAAAGGAUUAACAUCACAUGCAAUUCAUAAGUGACAUGAUAUGGCCAUCAUCAUGUGCUUCUUGAUCUCCAUCACCAAAGCACCGGCACGAUCUUCUUGUCACCGGCGUCACACCAUGAUCUCCAUCAUCAUGAUCUCCAUCAACGUGUCGCCAUCGGGGUUGUCGUGCUACUCAUGGUAUUACUACUAAAGCUACAUCCUAGCAAAAUAGUAAACGCAUCUGCAAGCACAAACGUUAGUUUAAAGACAACCCUAUGGCUCCUGCCGGUUGCCGUACCAUCGACGUGCAAGUCGAUAUUAACUAUUACAACAUGAUCAUCUCAUACAUCCAAUAUAUCACAUCACAUCGUUGGCCAUAUCACAUCACAAGCAUACCCUGCAAAAACAAGUUAGACGUCCUGUAAUUUUGUUGUUGCAUGUUUUACGUGGUGACCAUGGGUAUCUAGUAGGAUCGCAUCUUACUUACGCAAACACCACAACGGAGAUAUAUGAGUUGCUAUUUAACCUCAUCCAAGGACCUCCACGGUCAAUUCCGAUUCAACUAAAGUUGGAGAAACUGACACCCGCGAGUCAUCUUUGAGCAACGGAGUUACUCGUAGCGAUGAAACCAGUCUCUCGUAAGCGUACGAGUAAUGUCGGUCCGAGCCGCUUCGAUCCAACAAUGCCGCGGAAUCAAGAAAAGACUAAGGAGGGCAGCAAAACGCACAUCACCGCCCACAAAAACUUUUGUGUUCUACUUGAGAAGACAUCUACGCAUGAACCCAGCUCAUGAUGCCACUGUUGGGGAACGUCGCAUGGGAAACAAAAAUUUUCCUACGCGCACGAAGACCUAUCAUGGUGAUGUCCAUCUACGAGAGGGGAUGAGUGAUCUACGUACCCUUGUAGAUCGUACAGCAGAAGCGUUAGUGAACGCGGUUGAUGUAGUGGAACGUCUGUUGGAAAUAUGCCCUAGAGGCAAUAAUAAAUUAGUUAUUAUUAUAUUUCUUUGUUCAUGAUAAUCGUUUAUUAUCCAUGCUAUAAUUGUAUUGAUUGGAAACACAAUACUUGUGUGGAUACAUAGACAAAACACUGUCCCUAGUAAGCCUCUAGUUGACUAGCUCGUUGAUCAAAGAUGGUCAAGGUUUCCUGGCCAUAGGCAAGUGUUGUCACUUGAUAACGGGAUCACAUCAUUAGGAGAAUCAUGUGAUGGACUAGACCCAAACUAAUAGACGUAGCAUGUUGAUCGUGUCAUUUUGUUGCUACUGUUUUCUACGUGCCAAGUAUUUAUUCCUAUGACCAUGAGAUCAUAUAACUCACUAACACCGGAGGAAUGCUUUGUGUGUAUCAAACGUCGCAACGUAACUGGGUGACUAUAAAGAUGCUCUACAGGUAUCUCCGAAGGUGUUAGUUGAGUUAGUAUGGAUCAAGACUGGGAUUUGUCACUCCGUGUGACGGAGAGGUAUCUAUGGGCCCACUCGGUAAUACAACAUCACACACAAGCCUUGCAAGCAAUGUAACUUAGUGUAAGUUACGGGAUCUUGUAUUACGGAACGAGUAAAGAGACUUGCCGGUAAACGAGAUUGAAAUAGGUAUGCGGAUACUAACGAUCGAAUCUCGGGCAAGUAACAUACCGAAGGACAAAGGGAAUGACAUACGGGAUUAUAUGAAUCCUUGGCACUGAGGUUCAAACGAUAAGAUCUUUGUAGAAUAUGUAGGAUCCAAUAUGGGCAUCCAGGUCCCGCUAUUGGAUAUUGACCGAGGAGUCUCUCGGGUCAUGUCUACAUAGUUCUCGAACCCGCAGGGUCUGCACACUUAAGGUUCGACGUUGUUUUAUGCGUAUUUGAGUUAUAUGGUUGGUUACCGAAUGUUGUUCGGAGUCCCGGAUGAGAUCACGGAUGUCACGAGGGUUUCCGGAAUGGUCCGGAAACGAAGAUUGAUAUAUAGGAUGACCUCAUUUGGUUACCGGAAGGUUUCCGUGCAUUACCAGAAAAGUUUCGGGCUCAUCGGUAGUGUACCGGGAGUGCCGGGAGGGGUGCCGGGGACCAUCGGGAGGGGUGUCACGCCCCAAGGGGUCUCAUGGGCUAUGGGAAGAGAUAAACCAGCCCCUAGUGGGCUGGAAUAAGUUCCCACUAAGGCCCAUAAGGUUUGAGAAGGAAAAAACACAAGGUGGAAAGAGUUUCCAAGUGGGAAGGUGGAAUCCUACUCCAAGUAGGAUUGGAGUAGGACUCCUCCACCUCCAAUUUCGGCCAAACCUUUAGGUUUUGAGGCUGCCUCCUCCCCUCCCUCCCACCUAUAUAUACGGAGGUAUUAGGGCUGAUUUGAGACGACUUUUCCACGGCAGCCCGACCACAUACCUCCAUAGUUUUUCCUCUAGAUCGCGUUUCUGCGGAGCUCGGGCGGAGCCCUGCUGAGACGAGAUCAUCACCAACCUCCGGAGCGCCGUCACGCUGCCGGAGAACUCUUCUACCUCUCCGUCUCUCUUGCUGGAUCAAGAAGGCCGAGAUCAUCGUCGAGCUGUACGUGUGCUGAACGCGGAGGUGCCGUCCGUUCGGUACUAGAUCGUGGGACUGAUCGCGGGAUUGUUCGCGGGGCGGAUCGAGGGACGUGAGGACGUUCCACUACAUCAACCGCGAUCUCUAAUCGCUUCUGCUGUACGAUCUACAAGGGUACGUAGAUCACUCAUCCCCUCUCGUAGAUGGACAUCACCAUGAUAGGUCUUCGUGCGCGUAGGAAAAUUUUUGUUUCCCAUGCGAUGUUCCCCAACAGUGGCAUCAUGAGCUAGGUUCAUGCGUAUAUGUCUUCUCGAGUAGAACACAAAAGGUUUUGUGGGCGGUGAUGUGCGUUUUGCUGCCCUCCUUAGUCUUUUCUUGAUUCCGCGGUAUUGUUGGAUUGAAGCGGCUUGGACCGACAUUACUCGUACGCUUACGAGAGACUGGUUUCAUCGUUACGAGUAACCCCCUUUGCUCAAAGAUGACUGGCAAGUGACGGUUUCUCCAACUUUAGUUGAAUCGGAUUUGACCGAGGAGGUCCUUGGAUGAGGUUAAAUAGCAAUUCAUAUAUCUCCGUUGUGGUGUUUGCGUAAGUAAGAUGCGAUCCUACUAGAUACCCUUGGUCACCACGUAAAACAUGCAACAACAAAAUUAGAGGACGUCUAACUUGUUUUUGCAGGGUAUGAUUGUGAUGUGAUAUGGCCAAUGAUGUGAUGUGAUAUAUUGGAUGUAUGAGAUGAUCAUGUUGUAAUAGAAAUAUCGACUUGCACGUCGAUGGUACGGCAACCGGCAGGAGCCAUAGGGUUGUCUUUAUACUAACAUAUGUGCUUGCAGAUGCGUUUACUAUUUUGCUAGGAUGUAGCUUUAGUAGUAAUAGCAUAAGUAGCACGACAACCCCGAUGGCAACAUGUUGAUGGAUGAUCAUGGUGUGGCGCCGGUGACAAGAAGAUCGUGCCGGUGCUUUGGUGAUGGAGAUCAAGAAGCACGUGAUGAUGGCCAUAUCAUGUCACUUAUGAAUUGCAUGUGAUGUUAAUCCUUUUACGCACCUUAUUUUGCUUAGAACGACGGUAGCAUUAUGAGGUGAUCUCUCACUAAAAUUUCAAGACGAAAUUGUGUUCUCCCCGACUGUGCACCGUUGCGACAGUUCUUCGUUUUGAGACACCACGUGAUGAUCGGGUGUGAUAGACUCAACGUUCACAUACAACGGGUGCAAAACAGUUGCACACGCGGAACACUCGGGUUAAGCUUGACGAGCCUAGCAUGUGCAGACAUGGCCUCGGAACACAUGAGACCGAAAGGUCGAGCAUGAAUCGUAUAGUUGAUAUGAUUAGCAUAGGGAUGCUUACCACUGAAACUAUUCUCGACUCACGUGAUGAUCGGACUUGAGAUAGCGAAUUUGGAUCAUGUACCACUCAAAUGACUAGAGAGAUGUACUUUUUGAGUGGGAGUUCUUAAGUAAUAUGAUUAAUUGAACUAAUUGUCAUGAACAUAGUCUAAUGGUCUUUGCGAAUUAUGAUGUAGCUUGCGCUAUAGCUCUAUUGUUUUUAUAUGUUCCUAGAGAAAAUUUAGUUGAAAAUUGAUAGUAGCAACCUUUGCAGACUGAGUCUGUAAAACCGAGGAUUGUCCUCGUUGCUACGCAGAAGGCUUAUGUCCUUAAUGCACCACUCGGUGUGCUGCACCUCGAGCGUCGUCUGUGGAUGCUAUGAACAUCCGACAUACACGUUACUGAUGACUACACGAUAGUUCAGUGCAAGAUACUUGAUGGCUUAGAAGCAAGGCGCCGAAAACGUUGUAAAACGUCACGGAACAUAAGUGAUGUUCCGAAGAGAUGAAAUUGUGAUUUCAUGCUUGUGCCCUUGUUAAGAGGUACGAGACCUCCAAACAAGAUUCUUUGUCCACAAAGUAAAGGAGAAAAGCUCAAUCGUUGAGCAUGUGCUCAGAUUGUCUGAGUACGACAAUCGCUUGAAUCAAGUGGGAGUUAAUCUUCCAGAUGAGAUAGUGAUGGUUCUCCAAAGUCACUGCCACCAAGCUAUGAGAGCUUCGUGAUGAACUAUAACAUAUCAAGGAUAGAUACUAUGAUCUUUUGAGUGAUUCGCGAUGUUUGACACUGCGAAAGUAGAAAUCAAGAAGGAGCAUCAAUAGUUGAUGGUUAGUAAAACCACUAAGUUUCAAGAAAGGCAAGGGCUAGAAGGGAUACUUCGUGAAACAGCAAAACAGUUGCUGCACUAAUGAAGAGACCCAAGAUUAAACCCAAAACCCGAGACUAAGUGCUUCUGUAAUAAGGGGAACAGUCGCUGAGGCGGAGCAACUCUAGAUACUUGGUGGAUAAGAAGGCUGGCAAAAGUCGAGAGAAGUAUAUUUGAUAUACAUAAUGUUGAUGUGUACUUUACUAGUACUCCUAGUAGCACAAGGGUAUUGGAUACCGGUUCGGUUGCUAAGUGAUUAGUAACGCGAAAUGAAAGCUACGACAUAAACGAAGACUAGCUAAAGGCGAGGUGACGAUACGUGUUGGAAGUGUUUCCAAGGUUGAUAUAAUCAAACGUCGCACGCUCCCUCUACCAUCGGGAUUGGUGUUGAACCUAAAUAAUUGUUAUUUGGUGUUUGCGUUAAGCGUGAACAUGAUUGGAUCAUGUUCAUUGCGAUACGAUUAUUCAUUCAAAGAGAAUAAUGGUUACUCUAUUUGCUUGAAUGAUCACCUUCAAUGGUUUAUUGAAUCUCGAUUGUAGUGUUACACAUUGGUGCCAAAAGAUACGAGUUAAUAAUGAUAGUACCACUUACUUGUGGAACUGCCGCUUGAGUCAUGUCAGUAUAAAUUGCAUGAAGAGGCUCCAUGCUGAUGGAUCUUUGUACUCACCUGAUUUCGAAUCACUAGUGACAUGCAAAUCAUACCACGUGAGCAAGGCCUUGUUUUCAUUGAGAUGAAAUAAGAUAGUAACUUAUUGGAAGUGAUACAUUUUGAUGUAUGCAGUCCAAUGGGUGCUGAGGCACGCAGUGGAUAUCAUUAUGUUCUUACUUCACUGACCACUUGAGUAGAUACAGGAGUAUUUACUUAAUGAAUCACAAGUCUGAAAUAUUGAAAAGUUCAAUUCCGUUUCAGAGUGAAGUUCGUCGUAACAAGAGGAUGAAGUGUCUACGAUAUGAUCAUAGAAAUGAAUAUCUGAGUUACGAGUUUUGGUACGCAGUUAAGACAAUGUGGAAGUUAUUUCGCAGUUCAUGCCACCUGGAACAUCAUAGUGUGAUGAUGUGUCUGAACAUCAUAGCCACGCACUAUUUGGUAUAAUAUAUACUAUGGUGUCUCUUAUCGAAUUACCACUAUCGUUUAUGGGUUAUGCAUUAGAGACAACCGCACUCACUUUAAAUAGGGCACCGCGUAUUUCCGUUGAAGAUGACACAGUAUAGACUGAGGUUUAGAGAAAUCUAAACUGUCGUUUCUUGAAAGUUUGGGGUUUCGACACUUAUGUGAAAAAGUUUCAGUCUGAUAAGCUCGAACCCAAAGCGGAUAAAUGCAUCUUCAUAGGAUAUCCAAAACAGUUGGGUACAUCUCCUAUCUCAGAUCCGAAAGCAAAGUGUUUGUUUCUAGAAACGGAUCCUUUCUCGAGGAAAGGUUUCUCUUGAAAGAAUUGAGUGGGAGGGUAGUAGAACUUGAUGAGGUCAUUGAACCAUCACUUCAACCAGUGUGUAGCAGGGCGCAGGAAGUUGUUCAUGUGGCGCCUACACCAAUUGAAGUGGAAGCUGAUGAUGAUGAUCAUUGAGCUUCGAAUCAAGUUACUACAAAACCUCGUAGGUCGACAAGGUCGCGUACUGCUGCAGAGUAGUACGGUAACCCUGUCUUGGAGGUCAUGUUGUUGAGCAACAGUGAACCUACGAGUUAUGGAGAAAGCGAUGGUGGGCCCGGGUUCCGACAAAUGGCUGGAAGCCAUGAAAUCCGAGAGAGGAUCCAUGUAUGAAACCAAAGUGUAGACUUUGGAAGAACUACUUGAUGGUCAUAGGACUAUUGAGUAAAGAUGGAUCUUUAAAAGGAAGACAGACGAUGAUAGUGAUAAGUCGCUAUUAAGAAAAGCUCGACUUGUCGCAAAGAUGUUUCCGACAAGAUCAAACAGUUGACUAUGAUGAGACUUUCUCACUCGUAGCGAUGCUGAAAGGCUGUUAGAAUUAUGUUAGUAGUUGCUGCAUUAUUUAUGAAAUAUUGCAUGUAGGAUGUCAAAACAUUGUUUCCUCAACGGUUUCCUUGAGCAAACAUUGUAUGAGAUACAACCAUGAGGUUUUGUCGAUCCUAAAGAUACUAGCAAGUAUGCAAGCUCCAGUGAUCCUUCAAUGGACUGGUGCAAGCAUCUCGGAGUUGGAAUAUACACUUUGAUGAGAUGAUCAAAGAUUUUGGGUUUUUUACAAAGUUUAUGAGAAACCUGUAUUUCCAAAGAAGUGAGUGGGAGCACUAUAGAAUUUCUGAUAGGUAUAUGUGGUCGACAUAUUGUGGAUCAGAAGUAAUGUAGAAUUUCUGUAAAGCAUACAAGGUUGUUUUGAAAGAAGUUUUCAAAGGAGUACCUGGAUUACGCUACUUGAACGUUGAGCAUCAAAGAUCUAUGGAGAUAGAUCGAAAAGCACUUAACGGAAGUUUCAACAAGAUGCAUGCCUUGACAAGUUUUUGAAAGGAGUUCAAAAUAGGUCAGCAAAGAAGGAGUUCUUGGUUGCGUUGUGAGGUGUGAAUUUGAGUAAGACUCAAAACCCGACCCCGGCAGAAUAAAGAGAAUAGACGAAGGUCGUCUUCUAUGCCUUAGCCGUAGAAUCUAAAGUAUGCCAUGCUGUGUACCGCACCUGAUGUGUGCCUUGACUCAAAGUAUGUUGAGAGGUACAGAGAGUGAUCCAUGAUUGAAUCACUAGCAGCGGUCAAAAUUUAUCCUUAGUAACUAAUGGACUAAGGAAUUUCUUUCUCGAUUAUGGAGGUGGUUAAAGAGUUCGUCGUAAAGGGUUACGUUGAUGCAAGCUUUGACACUAAUCCGAAUAACUAUGAGUAGUGAAACGGAUUCGUAUAGUAGAGUAGAUAUUUGGAGCAUUUCCGAAUAGCACGUAGUAGCAGCAUCUAUAAGAUGGCAUAAAGAUUUGUAAAGAACACACGGAUCUGAAAGUUUCAGAACCAUUGACUAAAACCUCUCUCACGAGCAAGACGUGAUCAGACCCCAUAACUAUAUGGGUGUUGGAUUCGUUGGAAUCACAUGGUGAUGUGAACUAGAUUAUUGACUCCAGUGCAAGUGGGAGACUGUUGGAAAUAUGCCCUAGAGGCAAUAAUAAAUUAGUUAUUAUUAUAUUUCUUUGUUCAUGAUAAUCGUUUAUUAUCCAUGCUAUAAUUGUAUUGAUUGGAAACACAAUACUUGUGUGGAUACAUAGACAAAACACUGUCCCUAGUAAGCCUCUAGUUGACUAGCUCGUUGAUCAAAGAUGGUCAAGGUUUCCUGGCCAUAGGCAAGUGUUGUCACUUGAUAACGGGAUCACAUCAUUAGGAGAAUCAUGUGAUGGACUAGACCCAAACUAAUAGACGUAGCAUGUUGAUCGUGUCAUUUUGUUGCUACUGUUUUCUACGUGCCAAGUAUUUAUUCCUAUGACCAUGAGAUCAUAUAACUCACUAACACCGGAGGAAUGCUUUGUGUGUAUCAAACGUCGCAACGUAACUGGGUGACUAUAAAGAUGCUCUACAGGUAUCUCCGAAGGUGUUAGUUGAGUUAGUAUGGAUCAAGACUGGGAUUUGUCACUCCGUGUGACGGAGAGGUAUCUCGGGGCCCACUCGGUAAUACAACAUCACACACAAGCCUUGCAAGCAAUGUAACUUAGUGUAAGUUACGGGAUCUUGUAUUACGGAACGAGUAAAGAGACUUGCCGGUAAACGAGAUUGAAAUAGGUAUGCGGAUACUAACGAUCGAAUCUCGGGCAAGUAACAUACCGAAGGACAAAGGGAAUGACAUACGGGAUUAUAUGAAUCCUUGGCACUGAGGUUCAAACGAUAAGAUCUUUGUAGAAUAUGUAGGAUCCAAUAUGGGCAUCCAGGUCCCGCUAUUGGAUAUUGACCGAGGAGUCUCUCGGGUCAUGUCUACAUAGUUCUCGAACCCGCAGGGUCUGCACACUUAAGGUUCGACGUUGUUUUAUGCGUAUUUGAGUUAUAUGGUUGGUUACCGAAUGUUGUUCGGAGUCCCGGAUGAGAUCACGGAUGUCACGAGGGUUUCCGGAAUGGUCCGGAAACGAAGAUUGAUAUAUAGGAUGACCUCAUUUGGUUACCGGAAGGUUUCCGUGCAUUACCAGAAAAGUUUCGGGCUCAUCGGCUAUGGGAAGAGAUAAACCAGCCCCUAGUGGGCUGGAAUAAGUUCCCACUAAGGCCCAUAAGGUUUGAGAAGGAAAAAACACAAGGUGGAAAGAGUUUCCAAGUGGGAAGGUGGAAUCCUACUCCAAGUAGGAUUGGAGUAGGACUCCUCCACCUCCAAUUUCGGCCAAACCUUUAGGUUUUGAGGCUGCCUCCUCCCCUCCCUCCCACCUAUAUAUACGGAGGUAUUAGGGCUGAUUUGAGACGACUUUUCCACGGCAGCCCGACCACAUACCUCCAUAGUUUUUCCUCUAGAUCGCGUUUCUGCGGAGCUCGGGCGGAGCCCUGCUGAGACGAGAUCAUCACCAACCUCCGGAGCGCCGUCACGCUGCCGGAGAACUCUUCUACCUCUCCGUCUCUCUUGCUGGAUCAAGAAGGCCGAGAUCAUCAUCGAGCUGUACGUGUGCUGAACGCGGAGGUGCCGUCCGUUCGGUACUAGAUCGUGGGACUGAUCGCGGGAUUGUUCGCGGGGCGGAUCGAGGGACGUGAGGACGUUCCACUACAUCAACCGCGAUCUCUAAUCGCUUCUGCUGUACGAUCUACAAGGGUACGUAGAUCACUCAUCCCCUCUCGUAGAUGGACAUCACCAUGAUAGGUCUUCGUGCGUGUAGGAAAAUUUUUGUUUCCCAUGCGACGUUCCCCAACAACGUCUUCACGUCCCUCGAUCCGCCCCGCGAACUAUCCCGCGAACAGUCCCACGAUCUAGUGCCGAACGGACGGCACCUCCGCGUUCAGCACACGUACAGCUCGACGAUGAUCUCGGCCUUCUUGAUCCAGCAAGAGAGACGUAGAGGUAGACGAGUUCUCCGGCAGCGUGGCGGCGCUCCGGAGGUUGGUGAUGAUCUUGUCUCAGCAGGGCUUCGCCCGAGCUCCGCAGAAACUCGAUCUAGAUGUGAAACCGUGGAGAUAUGUGGUCGGGCUGCCGUGGCAAAGUUGUGUCAAAUCAGCCCUAAAACCCCACUAUAUAUAGGAGGAGGAGGGGGAGACCUGCCUUGGGGUCCAAGGACUCCCAAGGGGGUCGGCCGAGCCAAGGGGGAAGGCCUCCCCCUCCCAAACCGAAUUCUACUUGGUUUGGAAGGUGGAGUCCUUCUUCCCUUUCCCACCUCCUUCUUUUUUUUUCCUUUCUUCUUUGAUUUUCUUCCCAAUGCGCAUAUGGCCUUCUUGGGCUGUCCCACCAGCCCACUAAGGGCUGGUUCGCCACCCCCAAGGCCUAUGGGCUUCCCCGGGGUGGGUUGCCCCCCCCCCCGGUNCCCCCCCCCGGUGAACUCCCGGAACCCAUUCGUCAUUCCCGGUACAUUCCCGGUAAUUCCGAAAACCUUCCGGUAAUCAAAUGAGGUCAUCCUAUAUAUCAAUCUUUGUUUCCGGACCAUUCCGGAAACCCUCGUGACGUCCAUGAUCUCAUCCGGGACUCCGAACAACAUUCGGUAACCAACCAUAUAACUCAAAUACGCAUAAAAUAACGUCGAUCCUUAAGUGUGCAGACCCUACGGGUUCGAGAACUAUGUAGACAUGACCCGAGAGACUCCUCGGUCAAUAUCCAAUAGCGGGACAUGGAUGCCCAUAUUGGAUCCUACAUAUUCUACGAAGAUCUUAUCGUUUGAACCUCAGUGUCAAGGAUUCAUAUAAUCCCGUAUGUCAUUCCCUUUGUCCUUCGGUAUGUUACUUGCCCGAGAUUCGAUCGUCAGUAUCCGUAUACCUAUUUCAAUCUCGUUUACCGGCAAGUCUCUUUACUCGUUCCGUAAUACAAGAUCCCGCAACUUACAUUAAGUCACAUUGCUUGCAAGGCUUGUGUGUGAUGUUGUAUUACCGAGUGGGCCCCAAGAUACCUCUCCGUCACACGGAGUGACAAAUCCCAGUCUCGAUCCAUACUAACUCAACGAACACCUUCGGAGAUACCUGUAGAGCAUCUUUAUAGUCACCCAGUUACGUUGCGACGUUUGAUACACACAAAGCAUUCCUCUGGUGUCCGUGAGUUAUAUGAUCUCAUGGUCAUAGGAACAAAUACUUGACACGCAUAAAACAGUAGCAACAAAAUGACACGAUCAACAUGCUACGUCUAUUAGUUUGGGUCUAGUCCAUCACAUGAUUCUCCUAAUGAUGUGAUCCCUUUAUCAAGUGAUAACACUUGCAUAUGGUCAGGAAACCUUGACCAUCUUUGAUCAACGAGCUAGUCAACUAGAGGCUUACUAGGGACAGUGUUUUGUCUAUGUAUCCACACAUGCACUGUGUUUCCAAUCAAUACAAUUAUAGCAUGGAUAAUAAACGAUUAUCAUGAACUAAGAAAUAUAAUAAUAACUAAUUUAUUAUUGCCUCUAGGGCAUAUUUCCAACAUGUCCUUCGUUGCAAACAACGACCAAAAUAUCAAGACAAAUCAACAAGCCGGUGAGGCCGCCCGCCAGCAGGCGGCAGACCUCGCCAGCUUUGGGGACUACUGUCGGGGGGAUAACCCCGGGGUAGGCUCAUCGAGCCUGUUCCUUCAUUCCCGGCCCAAUGGGCAUGAAGGCGCAGAGAUUCUCAAGGCCCAAGUCUACUGACCGGCUAGGCAUCCCCUGCCGGUUGGAAGACGAGGCGGCCACCUUUCUGGCCGGCCAGGCAACCCCUGCCGGCUAGAAUCCAGGCGGCCUCCCCUUCGGACCCGGCCUGGUCCCGCCAACUGGGCUAAGGAGGAGGCGGCCACCCUCAAGCCGGCUGACCAAGCAGACUAGCCGGCCGAGGAUCACCAGUCACAUCAGAUCGUAGUUCAGGAAAGGACCUCACGAUUAAAGGUAGCUACGCAUCAGCAAAGGUAUUGAAUUAGGGUGCCCGGCAGGUACAUGCGUCGACGGCCACACCGCUGACCUACCCCGGCUCUGAUCCAUCACCUAGCCUGAUGUUGGACCGUCACACUCCCACUCCAUUACCGCACUCAGCGUGGGGAACAGUGGAGCCGGUCGUACUGCCUGCCCAUGAAGAAUCUCGCGGGGCAACGCUCGACGUACAACGCGUGCUCAGCGUCAACCUUACGCGGGAGCCCCAUUGGCCAGCCAGCGGGUCCCACAACAAUCGAGACCAUGCAGCCGGCGGGCCCCUCAUCGACAAGAUAAGACCCUUGUGGGCCCCUGGACAACCGGCGAAGCAGCCAGCCGGGUCCCACACAUGUACCCUUUAUCCAUAUUGUAGCCUGGUGGGUUCGUCUAUAAAACUCCCCGGCCGCCCCCCAUGCAAGGGGGCCGAUCACUUACCAGUCAUUCAACACUACACACUCACCAACCAACAGAGAGCGAGGUAGAAACGAGCCGGCUGCUCCCCUCUUCCUCCUCCCAACACAGCUCCAGGAGCAACAUUGUACUCUGUUCCCAUACAUCAAACACACAAGCAAGAUUAGGGGUAUUAUAUCUACGGAGAGCCCUGAACCUGGGUACAUCGUGCGUCCCAUGCGUGUACCAACCUCGUUCCCAGCGCCCACUUUUGUCCCUUCGGUUCUCAUCGACUUUAGCCUACCUAUGGCAUAUGUUGUGAGUAUUCACCCACACGAUGUCUCCUUGAAUCGCUACAAGGCAUGAUGGGUGGUUCGUGGUUUCACACAGCAGGCUGGCGUUGACUAUGUGGAGACCUUCAGCCCCGUGGUCAAGCUCGCUACAAUCCGCGUCGUGCUCAGCCUUGCCACCGUCAACAACUGGCCACUCCGGCAAAUGGAUGUCAAGAAUGCCUUCCUCCAUGGAGAUCUCGUUGAGACAGUCUACUGCCAACAACCCUCCGGCUUCGUCGAUACCACUCAUCCCACGCAUGGCUGCCGCCUCAACAAGUCCCUCUAUGGCCUCAAGCAGGCUCCCCGGACUUGGUUUCUUCUCUUCACUGGGUUUCUCCACACGCUUGGCUUUGUCUCAUCCAAGUGUGACACCUCGCUCUUCAUUCUUCGCCGAGAUUCCUCCAUGGCGUAUCUCCUUUUGUAUGUCGACGACAUCAUCUUGACAGCCAGCAACACCUCCCUCCUUGAGUCGCUUGUGUCAUCGCUUGCUCGCGAGUUCUCUAUGAGCGAUCUCGGAGAUAUUCACCACUUCCUAGGCAUCAACGUGCAUCGCAACACUGCCGGGUUGUUCUUGUCUCAGGAACAUUACGCCCUUGAGGUUUUGGAUCGUGCCAACAUGCUCAAUUGCCAUCUCGGCUCCACACCGAUUGACACCCGCUCUAAGCUCACGAGUGCGGUUGGCACCCCCUUCUCCGAUCCCACCAAAUAUUGUAGUAUCGCCGGUUGUCGGGGGGAUAAUCCCGGGGUAGGCUCAUCGAGCCUGUUCCUUCAUUCCCGGUCCAAUGGGCAUGAAGGCGCAGAGAUUCUCAAGGCCCAAGUCUUCUAACCGGCUAGGCAUCCCCUACCGGCUGGAAGACGAGGCAGCCACCUUUCUGGCCGGCCAGGCAACCCCUGUCGGCUAGAAUCCAGGCGGCCUCCCCUUCGGACCCGGCCUGGUCCCGCCAGCCGGGCUAAGGAGGAGGCGGCCACCCUCAAGCCGGCUGACCAAGCAGGCUAGCCAGCCGAGGAUCACCAGUCACAUCAGAUCGUAGGUCAGGAAAGGACCUCACGAUUAAAGGUAGCUACGCGUCAGCAAAGGUACUGAAUCAGGGCUCUCGGCAGGUACGAGCGUCGGCGGCCACGCCGCUGACCUACCGCGGCUCCGAUCCAUCACCUACCCUUAUGUCGGACCGUCACACUCCCACUCCAUUACUGCACUCGGCGUGGGGAACAGUGGAGGCAGUCGUACUGCCUGCCCAUGAAGAAUCUCGUGGGGCAACGCUCGACGUACAGCGUGUGCUCAGCGUCAACCGUACGCGGGCGCCCCAUUGGCCAGCCGGCGGGUCCCACAGCAAUCGAGACCAUGCAGCCGGCGGGCCCCUCAUCGACAAGACAAGACCCUUGUGGGCCCCUGGCCAACCGGCGAAGCAGCCAGCAGGGUCCCACGCAUGUACCCUUUAUCCAUAUUGUAGGCCGGCGGGUUCGUCUAUAAAACCCCCCGGCCGCCCCCCAAUGCAAGGAGGCCGAUCACUUACCAGUCAUUCAACACUACACACUCACCAACCAACAGAGAGCGAGGUAGAGACGAGCCGGCUGCUCCCCUCUUCCUCCUCCCAACACAGCUCCAGGAGCAACAUUGUACUCUGUUCCCAUACAUCACACACACAAGCAGGAUUAGGUGUAUUAUCUCUAUGGAGAGCCCUGAACCUGGGUACAUCGUGCGUCCCAUGCGUGUACCAACCUUGUUCCCAGCGCCCACCUUUGUCCCUUUGGUUCUCACCGACUUUAGCCUACCUAUGGCAUAUGUUGUGAGUAUUCACUGACAUUUGGCGCCCACUGUGGGGCCGAUCGCGGCAUCAGCUGGCUUCACGCGCUGGGCGGGGCCCCGCACCUACACCACCAGAUUCAUCGCGUCCGGAUCAGUUUGCAUGCCCGUGGAGCUCGCUUUCGACGAGGCGACGCCCAUGAUGAUCGACGUCCCCGUCCGCCAUGCGGAUUCGGACGAAGAUUCCGAUGACGAGGCACUCCCUAGCGUCAUCGUCGCUGCUAUGGGGAACCUGAGUGCUCUUCGCCUCAAUGACGGCCCAUGCUACUUCGGCGAGGACUACGACGUUGAGGCACUCUGCGCCAGCUUCAGCACGCUCUCUAUCGCUGAGACGCCUGCCCAGGACGUUUAGCCCAGUAACGUCCUCAUCUUCGAUGGCCCUCCACCGUCUGUGGGGUUCUUCACCCCAUACCACGUCGCUGCCGUCUCCAACGCCGUGGAGGUGAUGGUUAUCGGCGCCGGCACCAGCACGGCUCCCGGCAAGGCCUCCAGGGAGCUGGCGAGCCCGCUGCAGCCGCCGCAGACACUCUUCGGGACGCCAUCGCCGGCCUGAAGACACCGAUUACCGCUUCUGCCGACCCUGUAGACGCUCGGGCCUCACUGGAGGAGGCUCGCAAGCGUAUCUUGGAGGAGGUCAUCGCCGUGGCCUCGGCAAAACAUCGGUUGGAGGCUACACAUCGUGAGUAUAACUCCGCAUAUGGUCUUACUCCGAUUUACGAGGCCCCCAGUCGGCUUGGAUCGGUCCGCAGUCGCGGACGGUUCGUCGCCGAAGUUCUAGGCGGGGACCUGCCCACCUACGAGACUCCUGCGGCCAACAUGCGGACGGCGCACGCGGCCAUGGAGGAGAUGGCAAGCCUGGAAGGCGAGGAGCGCGCCUUCCAGGAGAAGCGUGUCAAGGAUCUCCUUGACGCUGCUACCCAGCAGCACGCUCGGUUCGACCCUGGCCAGGCUCAUUCAGAGUCCCCGGGACCAAACUCGGGGGCUCGCCGCAACCCUAGUGGCCAGCACCACGCUGAAGGAUCUUCCUCGCAUCGCCCUUCCGGCUGGAGGGGCGAGGGAAGCCAAGGCCGGCACUCGCAGCACCAGAGCGAGCACACAUCGGGCCUAUGUCGCGGAGGCGACGAUGGCGACUCGGAGUACGGGGAUCUUCCCCCGCGAAGAACUCACGCAUCCGGCUCCCAAGGAGCCUCCCCUCUCGCCACCGGGGCUGGCGCCCCCGCCUCCCAGGACGAGCGGGACGCCCGCCGGCGUAUCAUCGCCCUGGCCUAUUCGGACCUCCUAGAGGAAGACGGACCCGUCGAUCCGGCUUGCUUCGGUCCCCGGAUCCGAGGGGAGCCGUUCCCCCGAGGUUUCACCCUACCUCGGGAUACGUCGAAAUAUAACGGCACGGCUAAGCCAGAAGACUGGCUGAUCGACUACACCACGGCCGUAGGCAUCGCGAGGGGCAACAAGCGCGUAGCGGUUCCCUACGUGCCACUCAUGCUAGCCGGCUCGGCCCGGACCUGGCUUAACAGCCUCCCGGCCGGCAGCGUCAACUCCUGGGUGGACUUCGAGGAGGCGUUCGUCCACAACUUCACCGGCACCUACAAGCGCCCUGGUCGGCCUUGCGAGCUGGCCAUUUUCGUCCAGAAGGCCGACGAACCCCUCCGAGACUACGUCACCCGGCCGGUGGACCGAGCUCCGCAACUCCUAUGAGGGGGUGCAUGAGGUACAAGCCAUACAGUACUUCAUUGACGGAUGCCGAGACGGCACCCUCCUCAAGCACAAGCUCAUGUGCGCCGAGCCCAGCUCCUUGGCGGUGCUCAUGGCCAAGACGGACAAGUACGCCACGGCCGACUCCGGAAUGUGCAUCAAGGUGACCGCCUCGGACAAGGUUGUGCCUGCGCCGGCUACUCCCAAGCCGGCUGGGGACAACCGAGGCGGCCAGAACAACUACAAGCGCAAGGCCAAUCAGAUGGCUAACAACAAGCUAGUGGCCAACAUGGAGGGAGAGGCGUCGGCUUCCCAAGCCGGCCCUCCACGAAAGCGUCGCAAUCAGGGCAACCCCAACUGGCUGCCCAAGCAGUCUCUCGAGAAGCUGCUCAACGCCCCCUGCAAGAUACAUUUGGGGGCGGCGCCGUCUACCCAUACCCUUCGAUAGUGCAGCAUCGCACGCCGGCUGUCGCAAGGGGAGGGCCUGCCGGCUCCUCCGGGUGCGCAGGCGGCGCCCUGUGCACCGGCUCCCCAUCACGCUCCGCUUCCACCGCCGCCGCCUCGCGACGACGGCCCACACCCUGACGACUACCCGCAUCAAGACGGAGCGUUCGUUGUCUUCACCAGUGAAGGCGACGACAAGCACAGCCUGCGCCAAAGGCGGCGCGAGGUAAACGCCACUGUCCCCCUCCCCCCGGUUCCCCAGUACAUGCAUUUGUCUGACAAACCAAUUACAUGGAGCCGGGUGGAACACCCUGUGGUGAUGCCCAACCCGGGGUCAUACGCACUUGUCCUCGACCCCACCUUCGCCUCCAAAAGGCUAACCUGCCGAUUCUCCCGGGUGCUGGUCAACGGCGGCAGCAGCAUUAACAUCCUCUACCUCGACACUCUCCGCAAGCUCGGGCUCAAGGAGACGGACGUCCUGCCAACCAGCACUGUCUUCCAUGGCAUCGUGCCUCCACUACAGGAAUCGGGCAUUUUGCCGUCAAGACGCUAAAGACGGCAAAGAGAGAAUUACAGACGGCAAAUUUUUUGCCGUCAGCCCAUGACGGCAAAAAAUGUCGUCAGACCAUGUGCCCGCAAAGGGUAAUUUCGCCGUCAGCAUUUUUUCGGGCAGACGGCUAAAUAUUUUCCGUUAGUGAAAAUGGUUUGCCGUCAUCUAUUAUGAGGCAGACGGCAAAAAACCUAAAAUAACCACCCGGACCGCGUUAACUCUUUGCCGUCAUCCGACCGGAAUGCAAGACGACAAAGAUUACGGGUUUGCCGUCAGUUGUUAUCAAUACCAGACGGCAAAGAAAUUUUCUUUUAAAAAUAAAAUAAACAACAAUCCUCAGUUAUCAAAAAAUGUAUUGCAUAACACAUAAUCUUCAUUAUUAAAAAACCCAAAAUAUAAACAACAAUCCUCAGUUAUCAAAAAGGCUCAAUCAUCAAUUAUCACAAAAUAUAUACACACUAUAAUGUACAUAAUACACACAAUGCAUCAUAAUACAUCGAGCGGAACCAGCCCCUUCUCCCGUCCUGACGCCCCCGCACAGGAGCGUCACUGCCCAACGCCCAGCCGCAUCGCGCUCUCGUCGACCUCGCCGGCCGGUCGCCGGUCGGAGCCCAGCCUCUUAUUCCUGCCCGCCUGGCGCGGUAGCGCUCCCCUGCGUGCGCUCGUGCUCCCGCCCCUGCGUCGUCUCCUGUAACGGAUGGAUGGAUGGAUGCGGAUGAAUGAUUUGUUGCUUGUUGGUAGAUGGAUGGAUGCAACGGAUCAGGAUUUGGGAAAGGUCACUCACGGACCCCAGCGGAGCCUGAGCAACCCACACCAUACGAACGUGCCAAUGGAGAUGGAGCUCUGGCCAUGGCCGAUAUGUGCGACGCUGGCGGUCGCCACGCUCCUCUACUACCUGGCCAGCCCGACACGCAGCCGCAGUGUGGGCACGGGGCUGAUGCGGAUGUCGUCGAGCCCCACGCCGCUGCCCGUCGCCGGCAACCUGCUCAGCCUCCGUCGCGGCAACCUCCACCACAUGGCCCCGUCAUGACGCUCCGUGGUGUCCUCGCGCGACGCGGCCCGGGAGGCGUUCACGAGGCACGACCCGCGCCUGGCCGCGCGCGUCGUGGAUAGGGGCGGCGGGGAGAUGGAUGGGGGCGGCGGGGGAGAUGGAUGGGGGCGGCGGGGGAGAUGGAUGGGGGCGGCGGGUGCGACGGGGGAGAUGGAUGGGGGCGGCGGGGGAGAUGGAUGGGUACGAGAGAGAAGACAGGUGGGGAGAGGAUAAGGUCGGGUGGAGGUGAGUGGUGGGCCAGCUGGGUUUUUUUUUGAGGGGACCAGCCGGGUUGAGUGGGUGGGAGAGCCAGCGACGGUGGGAUGGGCCGUCACGUCAUCGAUCGGUGGGAUCGAUCCGCGUGGUGUGCUUUCUCUUUGCCGUCAUCCGGUUAUUUUUCAAGACGGCAAAUUAAGUAUUUGCCGUCAUCCGGUUAUUUUUCAAGACGGCAAAUUAAGUCUUUGCCGUCAUCCGGUUAUUUUUCAAGACGGCAAAAUAUUUUUUCACCCACGUCCGUGCGUGGUGCGAUGGGGUGGGCUGGUGUGUCUCAGAUCUUUCCACGUCAUUGAUCCGCGUGAUCAAUCUGUGCGUUGUGCUUCUUAUUUUGCCGUCAUCUAGUUACUUUUACAGAGGGCAAAAUUAUUUUGCCAUCAUCCAGUUAUUUUCAAAGACGGCAAAAUAAUUUUGCCGUCAUCUAGUUAUUUUUACAGACGGAAAAAUACAUCUUUGCCGUCAUCCAGUUAUUUUUACAGAUGGCAAAAUAUUUUUUCACCCAUGUCCGUGCGUGGUGGGAUGGGGUAGGCUGGUGUGUCUCAGAUCUUGCCACGUCAUCGAUCCGCGUGAUCGAUCCGUGUGAUGUGCUUCUUCUUUGCCGUCAUCACUUUCUAUUACAGGCGGCAAAUUAUGUCUUUUCCGUCAUCCGCUUAUUUUUACAGACGGCAAAAUAAUUUUGCCGUCUGCAAUUUUUAUUAUAGACGGCAAAAUAAGUUUACGCCGGCAGUCAUUCUUUGCCGUCAGCAGCUGACGGCAACUGACGGCAAAAGUGCUCUUUGCCGUCAUCCACGAAGAAAAGCUGACGGCAAAGAUCUGAACAGACGGCAAAUUACCUGAUUCCCGUAGUGCUCGGCAGUCGUGCUCACCCAUCGGCAAGAUCCAGCUGGACGUCCUCUUCGGCGACAAGGCCCACUUCCGCCGAGAGUCCAUAUGGUUCGAGGUGGUGGACCUCAGCAGCCCGUAUCACACGUUGCUGGGGAGACUGGCUCUGGCCAAAUUCAUGGCUAUCCCGCACUACGCCUACCUGAAAAUGAAGAUGCUGGGUCCCAAGGCCAUCAUCACUGUUGUUGGCGACUACAAGAAGUCGCUCGAGUGUGCCCAAGAUAGCAGCCGCCUCGCCGACGCCUUGGUGAUUGCCGAGGAGAAGCGGCAGAUCGACCGGCUCGUGGCCCAGGCUACCGAGCAGCCGGCGAUUCCUUCUCCUCCGUCCCAAUCGGCCGGCGAGGGCUCUUUCAAGCCGGCUAAAGAGACCAAGCAGGUCCCACUCGACCCUGCCAACCCAAAGUAGUGCAUCACCAUCGGGGCUGGCCUCAGCCCCAAAUAGGAAGGCGAGCUCGUCGACUUCCUCCAUGAGAAUCGGGACAUCUUUGCAUGGUCCCCCAAGGACAUGUCGGGUGUUCCGAGGAAGUACGCCGAGCACAAACUUCACGUGCGACCGGAUGCAAAGCCGGUGAAACAACCUUUGCGCCGCUUCACCGAGGGGAAGCGGCGCACAAUUGGAGAAGAGAUUACCCAGCUCCUUGCAGCCGGCUUCAUCAUGGAGGUUUUCCACCCGGACUGGCUGGCGAACCCAGUCCUGGCGCUGAAGAAGAACAACACAUGGAGAAUGUGCAUCGACUACACUAGCCUGAAUAAGGCCUAUCCGAAAGACCCUUUCGUGUUGCCUAGGAUAGAUCAUGUGAUCGACUCCACUACAGGCUGCGAACUGCUGUCAUUUCUGGAUGCUUAUUCAGGCUACCAUCAAAUCAAGCGGGAUCCAGCUGAUCGCCUGAAGACCUCCUUCAUCAUGCCCUUCGGGGCCUACUGCUACACCACCAUGACGUUCGGUCUGAAGAACGCAUGUGCGACGUUCCAACGCUGCAUGCAGAAGUGCCUACUGUCACAGAUUGGUAGAAACAUCCACGUCUAUGUGGAUGACAUCAUCGUCAAGACGAAGCAGCACUUCAGCCUCCUCGACGACCUGCGAGAGACAUUCGCCAAUCUGCGCGAAUACAAGAUCCGGCUCAAUCCUGAGAAGUACGUCUUCGGGGUCCCAGACGGCAAACUCUUGGGGUUCUUCGUAUCUGUCCGCGGCAUCGAAGCGAACCCUGAGAAGAUCAGCACCAUCGAGCGGAUGGUGCGGCCGGCUCGGAUCCUCGACGUCCAGAAGCUUGCCGGCUGCUUGGCAUCCCUCAGCCGGUUCAUCAGCUGGCUUGGCGAGAAGGCCCUUCCACUCUACCAGCUCAUGAAGAAGACGACGAAGUUCGAGUGGGACGACCAGGCGGACGAAGCCUUCCGUGACCUCAAGCGGGUAAUCUCUAGCUUGCCAAUCUUGGCAGCCCCAUCUGAAAGGGAACCUGUUGGGGAACGUCGCAUGGGAAACAAAAAUUUUCCUACGCGCACGAAGACCUAGCAUGGUGAUGUCCAUCUACGAGAGGGGAUGAGUGAUCUACGUACCCUUGUAGAUCGUACAGCAGAAGCGUUAGUGAACGCGGUUGAUGUAGUGGAACGUCCUCACGUCCCUCGAUCCGCCCCGCGAACAAUCCCGCGAUCAGUCCCACGAUCUAGUACCGAACGGACGGCACCUCCGCGUUCAGCACACGUACAGCUCGACGAUGAUCUCGGUCUUCUUGAUCCAGCAAGAGAGACGGAGAGGUAGAAGAGUUCUCCGGCAGCGUGACGGCGCUCCGGAGGUUGGUUAUGACCUUGUCUCAGCAGGGCUCCGCUCGAGCUCCGCAGAAACGCGAUCUAGAGGAAAAACCGUGGAGGUAUGUGGUCAGGCUGCCGUGGAAAAGUCGUCUCAAAUCAGCCCUAAAACCUCCGUAUAUAUAGGUGGGAGGGAGGGGACCUUGCCUUGGGGCUCAAGGAGCCCCAAGGGGGUCGGCCGAGUCCAAGGGGGAAGGCUCGCCCCCCCAAACCGAGUUGGACUUGGUUUGGUGGGUGGGAGUCCUUCCUUCCCUUCCCACCUCCUUUUUUUUAUUUUCUCUUUGGUUUUCUUUCCUAGGCGCAUAGGGCCCUUUUGGGCUGUCCCACCAGCCCACUAAGGGCUGGUGUGCCACCCUCAAGGCCUAUGGGCUUCCCCAGGGUGGGUUGACCCCCCCCCCCCCCGGUGAACUCCCGGAACCCAUUCGUCAUUCCCGGUACAUUCCCGGUAACUCCGAAAACCUUCCGGUAAUCAAAUGAGGUCAUCCUAUAUAUCAAUCUUCGUUUCCGGACCAUUCCGGAAACCCUCGUGACGUCUGUGAUCUCAUCCGGGACUCCGAACAACAUUCGGUAACCAACCAUAUAACUCAAAUACGCAUAAAACAACGUCGAACCUUAAGUGUGCAGACCCUGCCGGUUCGAGAACUAUGUAGACAUGACCCGAGAGACUCCUCGGUCAAUAUCCAAUAGCGGGACCUGGAUGCCCAUAUUGGAUCCUACAUAUUCUACGAAGAUCUUAUCGUUUGAACGUCAGUGCCAAGGAUUCAUAUAAUCCCGUAUGCCAUUCCCUUUGUCCUUCGUUCUGUUACUUGCCCGAGAUUCGAUCGUCAGUAUCCGCAUACCUAUUUCAAUCUCGUUUACCGGCAAGUCUCUUUACUCGUUCCGCAAUACAAGAUCCCGCAACUUACACUAAGUUACAUUGCUUGCAAGGCUUGUGUGUGAUGUUGUAUUACCGAGUGGGCCCCGAGAUACCUCUCUGUCACACGGAGUGACAAAUCCCAGUCUUGAUCCAUACUAACUCAACUAACACCUUCGGAGAUACCUGUAGAGCAUCUUUAUAGUCACCCAAUUACGUUGCGACGUUUGAUACACACAAAGCAUUCCUCCGGUGUCAGUGAGUUAUAUGAUCUCAUGGUCAUAGGAAUAAAUACUUGACACGCAGAAAACAGUAGCAACAAUAUGACACGAUCAACAUGCUACGUCUAUUAGUUUGGGCCUAGCCCAUCACGUGAUUCUCUUAAUGACGUGAUCCAGUUAUCAACCAACAACACUUUGUUCAUAAUCAGAAGACACUGACUAUCUUUGAUCAACUGGCUAGCCAACUAGAGGCUUGCUAGGGACGGUGUUUUGUCUAUGUAUCCACACAUGUAAAUGAGUCUUCAUUCAAUACAAUUAUAGCAUGGAUAAUAAAGAUUAUCUUGAUACAGGAAUUAUAAUAAUAACUAUAUUUAUUAUUGCCUCUAGGGCAUAAUUCCAACAGUCUCCCACUUGCACUAGAGUCAAUAAUCUAGCCCUCACAUCAUCAUGUGAAUUACAUUGUAAUAAAUCUAACACCCAUACAGUUCUGGUGUUGAUCAUGCUUUGGCCGUGGAAGAGGUUUAGUCAGCGGGUCUGCUACAUUCAGAUCCGUGUGCACUUUGCAUAUAUUUACGUCCUCUCCCUCGACGUAGUCGCGGAUGAGGUUGAAGCGUCGUUUGAUGUGUCUGGUCUUCUUGUGAAACCGUGGUUCCUUUGCUAAGGCAAUGACACCCGUGUUGUCACAGAACAAGGUUAUUGGAUUCAGUGCGCUUGGCACCACUCCAAGAUCCGUCAUGAACUGCUUCAUCCAGACACUCUCCUUAGCCGCCUCCGAGGCAGCCAUGUACUCCGCUUCACAUGUAGAAUCUGCUACGACGCUUUGCUUGGAACUGCACCAGCUUACCGCACCCCCAUUAAGAAUAAAUACGUAUCCGGUUUGCGACUUAGAGUCGUCCGGAUCUGUGUCAAAGCUUGCAUCGACGUAACCUUUUACGACGAGCUCUUCGUCACCUCCAUACACGAGAAACAUCUCCUUAGUCCUUUUCAGGUACUUCAGGAUAUUCUUGACCGCUGUCCAGUGAUCCACUCCUGGAUUACUCUGGAACCUACCAGCCAUACUUAUGGCCAGGCUAACAUCCGGUCUUGUGCACAACAUUGCAUACAUGAUAGAACCUAUGGCUAAAGCAUAGGGGACGGAGCGCAUAUGUUCUCUAUCUUCAUCAGUUGCUGGGCACUGAGUCUUACUCAAUCUCGUACCUUGUAAAACUGGCAAGAACCCUUUCUUGGACUGUUCCAUUUUGAACCUCUUCAAAACAUUAUCAAGGUAUGUGCUUUGUGAAAGUCCUAUCACGCGUUUUGAUCUAUCCCUAUAGAUCUUAAUGCCUAGAAUGUAAGAAGCUUCUCCUAGGUCCUUCAUAGAGAAACUCUUAUUCAAGUAAUCCUUUAUGCUCUCUAAAAACUCCACGUUGUUUCCAAUCAGCAAUAUGUCAUCCACAUAUAAUCUUAGAAAUGCCACAGAGCUCCCACUCACUUUCUUGUAAAUACAAGAUUCUCCAACCACUUGUAUAAAUCCAAAUGGUUUGAUCACCUCAUCAAAGCGUUUGUUCCAACUCCAAGAUGCUUGCACCAGUCUAUAAAUGGAUCGCUGGAGCUUGCACACCUUGUUAGCAUUCUUAGGAUCGACAAAACCUUCGGGUUGUAUCAUAUACAACUCUUCCUUAAGGAAACCGUUAAGGAACGCCGUUUUGACAUCCAUCUGCCAGAUUUCAUAAUCGAAAAAUGCAGCUAUUGCUAACAUGAUUCUGACGGACUUAAGCAUCGCUACGGGUGAGAAUGUCUCAUCGUAGUCAACUCCUUGAACUUGUGAAAAACCCUUUGCCACAAGUCGAGCUUUAUAAACGGUCACAUUGCCGUCAGCGUCCGUCUUCCUCUUAAAAAUCCAUUUGUUCUGAAUAGCCUUGCGGCCCUCAGGUAGUACCUCCAAAGUCCACACGUUGUUCUCAUACAUGGAUCCUUUCUCGGACUUCAUCGCUUCUAGCCAUUUGUUGGAAUCUGGGCCCACCAUUGCUUCUUCAUAAUUUGCAGGUUCAUUGUUGUCUAACAACAUGAUUGAUAAGACGGGAUUACCGUACCACUCUGGAGCAGCACGUGGUCUCGUCGACCUGCGUGGUUCGACAGAAACUUGAACCGGAGUUUCAUGAUCAUCAUCAUUAACUUCCUCCUCAACCGGCGUCGCAACGACACAGGUUUCCCCUUGCCCUGUGCCACCAUCCAGAGGGAUGAGAGGUUCGACAACCUCGUCAAGUUCUAUCUUCCUCCCACUCAAUUCUCUCGAGAGAAACUCCUUCUCGAGAAAAGCUCCAUUUUUAGCAACAAACACUUUGCCCUCGGAUUUGAGAUAGAAGGUGUACCCAACUGUCUCUUUUGGGUAACCUAUGAAGACGCACUUUUCCGCUUUGGGUUCCAGCUUUUCAGGCUGAAGCUUUUUGACAUAAGCAUCACAUCCCCAAACUUUAAGAAACGACAACUUUGGCCUUUUGCCAUACCACAGUUCGUAUGGUGUCGUCUCAACGGAUUUUGAUGGUGCCCUAUUUAAAGUGAAUGCAGUUGUUUCUAAUGCAUAACCCCAAAACGAUAACGGCAAAUCGGUAAGAGACAUCAUAGAUCGCACCAUCUCUAAUAAAGUACGAUUACGACGUUCGGACACACCAUUACGCUGUGGUGUUCCAGGCAGUGUUAACUGUGAAACAAUUCCACAUUGUCUUAAGUGAGCACCAAACUCGAAACUCAGAUAUUCACCCCCACGAUCAGACCGUAGGAACUUGAUCUUCUUGUUACGAUGAUUUUCAACUUCACUCUGCAAUUGCUUGAACCUUUCAAAUGUUUCAGACUUGUGCUUCAUCAAGUAGACAUAACCAUAUCUACUCAAAUCGUCAGUGAAGGUGAGAAAAUAACGAUAUCCGCCGCGUGCCUCCACGCUCAUCGGACCACACACAUCGGUAUGUAUGAUUUCCAACAAGUCACUUGUACGCUCCAUUGUUCCGGAGAACGGAGUCUUAGUCAUCUUGCCCAUGAGGCAUGGUUCGCACGUGUCAAGUGAAUCAAAGUCAAGUGACUCCAAAAGUCCAUCAGCAUGGAGUUUCUUCAUGCGCUUUACACCAAUAUGACCUAAGCGGCAGUGCCAAAAAAUAUGGCGCUAUCAUUGUUAACUCUAACUCUUUUGGUCUCAAUGUUAUGUAUAUGCGUAUCGCUAUCAAGAUUCAAUAUGAACAAUCCUCUCACAUUAGGUGCAUGACCAUAAAAGAUGUUACUCAUAGAAAUAGAACAACCAUUAUUCUCUGACUUAAAAGAGUAACCGUCUCGCAAUAAACAAGAUCCAGAUAUAAUGUUCAUGCUCAACGCAGGCACUAAAUAACAAUGAUUUAAGUUCAUCACUAAUCCUGAUGGCAACUGAAGUGAAACUGUGCCGACGGCGAUUGCAUCAACCUUGGAACCAUUUCCUACGCGCAUCGUCACUUCAUCCUUUGCCAGCCUUCGUCUAUUCCGCAGUUCCUGUUUCGAGUUGCAAAUAUGAGCAACAGAACCGGUAUCGAAUACCCAGGCACUACUACGAGAGCCGGUUAAGUACACAUCAAUAACAUGUAUAUCAAAUAUACCUGAUUUUUCUUUGCCCGCCUUCUUAUCUGCCAGAUACUUGGGGCAAUUGCGCUUCCAGUGACACAUACCCUUGCAAUAGUAACACUCCGUUUCAGGCUUAGGUCCAGCUUUGGGUUUCUUCGUCGGAUUGGCAACAAGCUUGCCGCUCUUCUUUGAAUUACCCUUAUUGCCUUUGCCGUUUCUCUUGAAACUAGUGGUCUUAUUCACCAUCAACACUUGACGCUCUUUACGGAGUUCAGACUCUGCGACUUUCAGCAUCGCAAACAACUCGCCGGGAGACUUGUUCAUCCCUUGCAUGUUGUAGUUCAACACAAAGCCUUUAUAGCUUGGCGGCAGUUAUUGAAAGAUUCUGUCAGUGAUAGCCUCUUGCGGGAGUUCAAUACCCAGCUCAGCUAGACGGUUUGAGUACCCAGACAUUUUGAGCACAUGUUCACUUACAGACGAGUUCUCCUCCAUCUUGCAAGCAUAGAAUUUAUCGGAGGUCUCAUACCUCUCGAUCCGGGCGUUCUUCUGAAAGAUAAACUUCAACUCCUGGAACAUCUCAAAUGCUCCAUGACGCUCAAAGCGACGUUGAAGUCCCGGUUCUAAGCCAUACAAGACUGCACAUUGAACUAUUGAGUAGUCCUCCUUACGUGCCAACCAAGCGUUCUUAACAUCCUGAUCAGCCGUAGAGGGUGGUUCAUCUCCUAACGCAGCAUUAAGGACAUAAUCCUUCUUCCCAGCUUGUAAGAUUAGCUUAAGAUUACGAGCCCAGUCUACAAACUUGCUUCCAUCAUCUUUCAACUUAGCUUUCUCUAGGAACGUAUUAAAAAUCAGGAUGACUGUAGCGUGAGCCAUGAUCUACAACACAAAUAUAUUCAAAGUGGACUUAGACUAUGAUCAAGAUAAUUAGAGUUUAACUUAAUCAAAUUAUUCGCUAAACUCCCACUCGAAAAGUACAUCUCUCUAGUCAUUUGAGUGGUUCAUGAUCCACUUACACUAGCUUAAGUCCGAACAUCACGUGAGUUGAGUAUAGUUUCAGUGGUAAGCAUCUCUAUGCUAACCAUAUCAUCUAUAUGAUUCAUGAUCGACCUUUCGGUCUCAUGUGUUCCGAGGCCAUGUCUGCACAUGCUAGGCUCGUCAAGCUUAACCCGAGUGUUCCGCGUGCGCAACUGUUUUGCACCCGUUGUAUGUGAACAUUGAGUCUAUCACACCCGAUCAUCACGUGGUGUCUCGAAACGACGAACUGUAGCAACGGUGCACAGUCGGGGAGAACACAAUUUCGUCUUGAAAUUUUAGUGAGAGAUCACCUCAUAAUGCUACCGUCGUUCUAAGCAAAAUAAGGUGCAUAAAAGGAUUAACAUCACAUGCAAUUCAUAAGUGACAUGAUAUGGCCAUCAUCACGUGCUUCUUGAUCUCCAUCACCAAAGCACCGGCACGAUCUUCUUGUCACCGGCGCCACACCAUGAUCUCUAUCAACGUGUUGCCAUCGGGGCUGUCGUGCUACUCAUGCUAUUACUACUAAAGCUACAUCCUAGCAAAAUAGUAAACGCAUCUGCAAGCACAAACGUUAGUAUAAAGACAACCCUAUGGCUCCUGCCGGUUGCCGUACCAUCGACGUGCAAGUCGAUAUUUUCUAUUACAACAUGAUCGUCUCAUACAUCCAAUAUAUCACAUCACAUCGUUGGCCAUAUCACAUCACAAGCAUACCCUGCAAAAACAAGUUAGACGUCCUGUAAUUUUGUUGUUGCAUGUUUUACGUGGUGACCAUGGGUAUCUAGUAGGAUCGCAUCUUACUUACGCAAACACCACAACGGAGAUAUAUGAGUUGCUAUUUAACCUCAUCCAAGGACCUCCUCGGUCAAAUCCGAUUCAACUAAAGUUGGAGAAACCGACACUUGCCAGUCAUCUUUGAGCAACGGGGUUACUCGUAGCGAUGAAACCAGUCUCUCGUAAGCGUACGAGUAAUGUCGGUCCAAGCCGCUUCAAUCCAACAAUACCGCGGAAUCAAGAAAAGACUAAGGAGGGCAGCAAAACGCACAUCACCGCCCACAAAAACUUUUGUGUUCUACUUGAGAAGACAUCUGCGCAUGAACCUAGCUCAUGAUGCCACUGUUGGGGAACGUCGCAUGGGAAACAAAAAUUUUCCUACGCGCACGAAGACCUAUCAUGGUGAUGUCCAUCUACGAGAGGGGAUGAGUGAUCUACGUACCCUUGUAGAUCGUACAGCAGAAGCGUUAGUGAACGCGGUUGAUGUAGUGGAACGUCCUCACGUCCCUCGAUCCGCCCCGCGAACAAUCCCGCGAUCAGUCCCACGAUCUAGUACCGAACGGACGGCACCUCCGCGUUCAGCACACGUACAGCUCGACGAUGAUCUCGGCCUUCUUGAUCCAGCAAGAGAGACGGAGAGGUAGAAGAGUUCUCCGGCAGCGUGACGGCACUCCGGAGGUUGGUGAUGACCUUGUCUCAGCAGGGCUCCGCCCGAGCUCCGCAGAAACGCGAUCUAGAGGAAAAACCGUGGAGGUAUGUGGUCGGGCUGCCGUGGAAAAGUUGUCUCAAAUCAGCCCUAAAACCUCCGUAUAUAUAGGUGGGAGGGAGGGGACCUUGCCUUGGGGCCCAAGGAGCCCCAAGGGGGUCGUCCGAGUCCAAGGGGGAAGCCUCCCCCCCCCAAACCGAGUUGGACUUGGUUUGGUGGGUGGGAGUCCUUCCUUCCCUUCCCACCUCCUUAUUUUUCUUUUCUCUUUGAUUUUCUUUCCUAGGCGCAUAGGGCCCUUUUGGGCUGUCCCACCAGACCACUAAGGGCUGGUGUGCCACCCUCAAGGCCUAUGGGCUUCCCCAGGGUGGGUUGACCCCCCCCCCCCGGUGAACUCCCGGAACCCAUUCGUCAUUCCCGGUACAUUCCCGGUAACUCCGAAAACCUUCCGGUAAUCAAAUGAGGUCAUCCUAUAUAUCAAUCUUCGUUUCCGGACCAUUCCGGAAACCCUCGUGACGUCCGUGAUCUCAUCCGGGACUCCGAACAACAUUCGGUAACCAACCAUACAACUCAAAUACGCAUAAAACAACGUCGAACCUUAAGUGUGCAGACCCUACGGGUUCGAGAACUAUGUAGACAUGACCCAAGAGACUCCUCGGUCAAUAUCCAAUAGCGGGACCUGGAUGCCCAUAUUGGAUCCUACAUAUUCUACGAAGAUCUUAUCGUUUGAACCUCAGUGCCAAGGAUUCAUAUAAUCCCGUAUGUCAUUCCCUUUGUCCUUCGGUAUGUUACUUGCCCGAGAUUCGAUCGUCAGUAUCCGCAUACCUAUUUCAAUCUCGUUUACCGGCAAGUCUCUUUACUCGUUCUGCAAUACAAGAUCCCGCAACUUACACUAAGUUACAUUGCUUGCAAGGCUUGUGUGUGAUGUUGUAUUACCGAGUGGGCCCCGGGAUACCUCUCCGUCACACGGAGUGACAAAUCCCAGUCUUGAUCCAUACUAACUCAACUAACACCUUCGGAGAUACCUGUAGAGCAUCUUUAGAGUCACCCAGUUACGUUGCGACGUUUGAUACACACAAAGCAUUCCUCCGGUGUCAGUGAGUUAUAUGAUCUCAUGGUCAUAGGAAUAAAUACUUGACACGCAGAAAACAGUAGCAACAAAAUGACACGAUCAACAUGCUACGUCUAUUAGUUUGGGUCUAGUCCAUCACGUGAUUCUCCUAAUGACGUGAUCCAGUUAUCAAGCAACAACACUUUGUUCAUAAUCAGAAGACACUGACUAUCUUUGAUCAACUGGCUAGCCAACUAGAGGCUUGCUAGGGACGGUGUUUUGUCUAUGUAUCCACACAUGUAAAUGAGUCUUCAUUCAAUACAAUUAUAGCAUGGAUAAUAAACGAUUAUCUUGAUACAGGAAUUAUAAUAAUAACUAUAUUUAUUAUUGCCUCUAGGGCAUAAUUCCAACAGAACCCAUACUCAUAUAUAUCACGGUGACCACUCGCGUGGUCAGCGUAGUGUUGGUAGUUCAGCGUAAAGAGGAAGGCAAGGCCCUGCCAGUACAGCGCCCUGUCUACUACCUUAGCGAUUUCUUCUCCGCCUCUAAGCAGAACUACCCUCAUUAUCAGAAAAUGUGUUAUGGUGUUUACCUUGGUGCAAAGAAAUUAAAACAAUACUUCCAAGAGCGUGCCAUCACUGGGGUGAGCACGGCUCCACUCUCAGAGAUCGUGGGCAAGUAGGUUACCGUGAUGCCACGAGCAGAAUUGCCCAAUGGUCCAUCGCCAUGGCGGACCAUGACUUUCAGUACGAGCCUCGCACCGCCAUCAAAUCACAGGUGGUGGCCGACUUCUUAGUCGACUGAGCCGAGACCCAGUUCGAGCCACCGCCUCCAGACUCCACGCAUUGGCGGAUGCACUUCGACGGCUCGAAGAUGCGGACGAGACUAGGAGCCGGCAUCAUCUUGACGUCUCCGAAAGGGAACCAGCUCAAGUACGCUCUCCAGAUCCACUUCGCCGCCUCCAACAACGUCACCGAGUACGAAGCACUGGCCCACGGCCUCCGGCUUGCCAAGGAGAUUGGCAUCCGACGGCUCAUAUGCUUCGGCGAUUCGGACUUGGUGGUGCAGCAGGUCUCUGGCGAAUGGGAUGCCAGGGACGCCAACAUGGCAAGCUACCGCUUCCUCAUCCAGCAGCUCAGCGGCCCCUUCGAGGGUUGUGAGUUCCACCAUGUUCGCAUGGCAGAAAAUGAGGCGGCACACACACUAGCAAAGAUCGGCUCCACAAGGCAGGCCAUCCGAGCUGGCAUCUCCCUCGAGCAACUCCACAAGCCGUCUCCGGAGUCGGCAUCAAUCUUCGUACCGGUCAAAUCCACGAUACAAGUGCCGUCGGCUCCGCCAGUUAUGCCGGCUGCGGACCCCACGCCGGCUGCACUGACGGCUCCGGCUCCAAAUGCGGCACCGACUGAGUCUACGGUGCAAGCGCCGUCGGCUCCACCAACUACACCGGCUUCGGAUCCUAAUUCGGCUCCAUUGGUCCACCCAACUCCAACAACGACAACCCCGGCUCUGCCCGGGUUCGAAUCCUCCCAGUGGGUGGACGUCAUGGAGAUAGACGAGGAACCGGCUGCAGCAAUAGCACCAAAGAUGCCAUCAAGCUCGGGGGUUGCAGAAGCCCCAAACAGUCAAGACGAAGCGGAGGCGACUCUUGUGUCGGCUCCAUCAUGGGCUCAGGCCAUUCUGGCCUUCCUUCUUCGUGGCGAACUUCCUCAAAAUGAGGCGGAGGUGAGACAGACCCAGUGCACGUCCGCCGCUUACGCCAUCAUCAAUCGUGAGCUGGUGCGACGCAGCACGACCGGCGUGUUCCAACGUUGCGUCGAAUCAGAAAAAGGGCAGGAGAUCCUCAGAGACAUCCACUAGGGGGAGUGUGGGCAUCAUGCCGCCUCCAGAACCCUGGUAGCCAAAGCAUUCCGCCAUGGAUUCUACUGGCCCACGGCCCUCGAGGAGGUUGUGGAUCUGGUGGACAAAUGUGAAGGCUGCCAACGCUUUAGUGCACAGAGCCAUAUGCCGCCUUCAGCACUGAAAACCAUCCCCUUAUCAUGGACAUUCGCCGUCUGGGGACUGGACAUGGUUGGGCCCUUCAAGACGGCUCGCGGAGGGAUGACACAUCUUCUUGUAGCCGUCGACAAGUUCACCAAGUGGAUCGAAGCCAGGCCUAUCAAGAAGCUUGACGGCCCCACUGCUGUGAGGUUUAUCACGGACAUCUCUGUCCGAUAUGGCGUUCCCCACAACAUCAUCACCGACAACGACACCAACUUCGCCAAGGGCGCCCUGGCGCUCUACUGUUCCAAGGUAGGCAUCCGGCUCGACCUGGCCUCGGUGGCACACCCCCAGUCAAACGGCCAAGCGGAGAGGGCCAACGGCCUGAUCCUAGCCGGCAUCAAGCCAAGGCUGGUGGCACCACUGGUCAGGUCAGCCGGCUGCUGGAUCAAAGAACUGCCGGCUGUGCUAUGGAGCCUCCGCACCAUGCCCAACCGGUCGACCGGCUUCACUUCAUUCUUUCUGGUAUACGGGUCUGAGGCUAUCAUUCCCACGGAUGUCGAAUUCGACUCGCCUUGGGUCAACCUAUACACAGAAACGGAGGCAAAGGAGGCCAGAGAGGACGGUGUGGAUCUCCUCGCGGAAGCAAGGGACUUGGCUUUGAGCCGGACGGCCAUCUACCAACAGAAGCUAAGAUACUACCACAGCAAAAGGAUCAGGCCUCUCUCUUUUAGGGAGGGAGACUUGGUCCUCAGAAGAAUCCAGCGCACUGCCGGCCGGCACAAGCUCUCACCCCCUUGGGAGGGACCCUUCAUCAGUAGGGCGUUACACAACAACGCUUACUACCUGAUUGACGCCCAGAAGCCAAGGAAGCGCAAGAAGGACGACUCCGGCCAAGAAACAGAGCGCCCAUGGAACACGGCGUUGCUUCGCCCGUUCUAUUGCUAAAAGGCAGAAGACAAGCAAAGGAAAGAGCAUGCACAUGUAUCUUCCUCCCUCUUCAGGGAACAAAGAAGGCAAUAAAAAGGACAUGCUCCAUGUUUCUUUUUGUCAAGAGUUCUCACUCACGUUUACGGGCUACACAGCGUACCACCUCUUGCUGGCUUGCUCAAGCUCGGAGGCUACGCGGCGCGGCCCCUUGCUAGCUUAUAACAAGCUCGGGGGCUCGCCAGCCGCCUGAACGGUCAAACCCUUAUAACGGACACAUAGUGUACUGGCUAACCCCUGGUCCAUCGCUUGAACCUGCGGGCUGACUCCGGUCGCUCGGUUCGCGAUAUGACGCCAGGUAAGGUCGAAUACAUGCAAAGUCCGGCUAUACUUGGGACGACCGUCUCGUGCGGGCUCGAUCGUAUAUACGAUCUCCUUUAAGACUCAAGACGGACUCUGAUUGCCGAGACUCAAGACGGCCUCUGACUGCCGAGAACCACAAAUAUGGUGAAAAAAGCAGGCUCCAUGCUUUCUCUUGCUAAAAGAGUUUUCACUCAGUGUACGGGCUACACCACGUACCACCUCUUGCUGGCUUGCUCAAGCUCGGAGGCUACGCAGCGCGGCCCCUUGCUAGCUUUAAACAAGCUCGGGGGCUCGCCAGCCGCUCGGACGGUCAAUCCUUGUAGUCGGGCACAUAGUGUACAGGCUGAUUCCCGGUCCAUCUCUUGAACCUGCGGGCAGGCUCCGGUCGCUCGGUUCGCGAUGUGACGCCGGGUCAGGUCGAAUACAUGCACAGUCCGGCUAUACUAGUGACGACCGGCUCAAGUUGGUUCAUUCAAGCCGGCCUUUUAUUGGCUUAUGUCUUGUUCUUUACGUCUUGAUGGCUUCGGAUAAGAGAAGUCAACCAGGAAUCAAAAGACGGGAUCAUAAGACAACACGCUUGGUGACGAAUAUAAUGCUGAAUAUAUACAUUCAUAAAAAGCAUUGGCCCACGGCCCGCGUUCGUUACAUCCCUCCGGGGGUACAACCAAAAACACAAAAGGACAUCAGUCACGGGACAGCGGCCUCAAUGGUCAUCUCGGCUGCUGCUCCUGAUGUGGUAGCAUCGCCGCCUCCGGCUCCUCCCGAGGUGGAUGCGCCGUCUCCCCCGUUGCGGCCCCCGGCUCCGCUGAUCCCGGAGUUGGCAUACUCCCCACCGCUGGAGGCGGCUGCAGAUUUCCGCAGCCCAGGCCGCCUCGUCGGAGCUGCCAUCGGUGUCGUAGGGCUGAAGGCCGUGCACAUCCUCAGCGAUCAUACCGCCGUCUUCAUCCCACUCCAAGACGAAGUCGUCCCAGGCUGCGUACUCAGCCACGGCGCUGGCCCUCACCAGGAGCUCCUCCUCCAGGCCUUGCAGCUCCGCCUCUGAGCCGUCGCGCUGGGCAGCCAGCUUGCCCAUGUUCAGGUUGCGAUACCAUGACUUGGCCAAGCGCAGGGCCAUAUAAGCUCCAGACCACGCUGCGGAGGCUCGCCAGGCGUCGAGGCGCUCUCCACCCGCCGUGAGCCAACGGGCAAGACGGCUCAUGGUCGUCAGCUCCACGCCCUCCGGCCACAGGGCCGCCACCAUUGACGAACCCGCAACCUGGAGCUGAGUCACAGACUCGCCCACGACGUGCAGGCGGGCCCGAAGCCCCCACACCAAUCUCCUCGACGCUCCAGCCGGAGGUAGUAUCUACCUCCUCUCCAGCCACGCGGCGCUCCUCGCGGCACACCUCAACGGCAGUGUCGGCUGCGACCUGGGUCUCGGAGAAGAGAUCUGGGGUAAAGAUAGCCAGGACGUAAGAACACAGCAAGAGGAGGAGACGGCCAAAAAAACGCAAAACAAGGAAAGGAAACCUACGCUGGAAGGCGUUGUCGGUCUCAUGAAAGACCUCGAGGACCUCGCGCUCCCGCACCUCACUCGCAUGAGUGAGGCGGGCGAUUUCCUCCUAGAGGGUCCCGGCGGACUCCAGCGCCUUACCCAGCUGCGCUUGCUUCUGUGUAAGGGCUUCAUCCUUCGCCCUCAAGGCGGCGUCCUUGAGGUUCGCCUCCUCAAGAUGGAGCGACGCGAGGCGGUCCAUGUCAGCAGAGUUGGAGGCCUCCUUCUCCUGCAGCAUGGCCCGCAGCCGCUCCAGCUCGACCCGGCCGGUCGCCUGGAGCUCCUUCUUCUCCGCCUGAAGAAGGUCCAGCUGCUCUUGGAGCCGGCCGCCGGCUUCACGAAGGGCAUCACGCUCCGCGGCGGCCUCGCCUAGUCGGACUUCAAGCUCGGCGAUCUGGCUAUCAGCCCCCAGGUGCUGGUCCCGAAGCUCGUUGUACGCCUGUACCUGAGCAUCGUAUAGCGCCUGCCAAAGGGGAGAGAAAGCGAACAUGAUUAAGAUUCGACCUGGUUAAAAGCAUAACCAGCCCGAUUCUCGGGGGCUACACCGAGUGGGUGCGCUUGCGCGCCCCCACUGAAGAAAAAUAUGCAGAAGAAAAAGGCCUCCAAGAGAUUCGGACCGGUUGGCAAUCAACCCGCCCAAUUCUCGGGGGCUACACCUAGUGGGUGCGCUGUCGCGCCCCCACUGACGUCAAGAGAAGAGAAAAAAGCAAAAGAAAAACCAAAAAAGGCAAGGCCUACCUGGGUACGGGCUUCCAGGCGCUCCAUGUCGCCGCAUACCACGCGGGCCGCCUGCUCCACCUUCGACCGGCCGCUGUCAAACAGCAUCACCAGCUCCGGCACGCCGGAAAGAACGGUGCGAGCGGGCAUUCGCAGGCGGGCUGCGUUUGCCGCCCGUCAUGACUUCAUGGGCCGGCUCCCAGGCCGGCCCCCUGCCCUUGGCGCGACAUGGCCCUGCUGGGGGACGACGAUGGCGCCGGCUCCUGGUGCCGGCUCAACGGCCGGCUCGGGCGCCGCACCAGCCGGCGCUACCUCCUCCACAGGAGGCGGAUGAGCCGCGUCCGGCGCAUCCAUGGUCGCCCCUGGGGCGUCAGGGGCCGCGUCCGGCGCGGCCAGAUCCAGCACCGGCGCAUCAGGAGCUGCUUCGGCCCGGGGAGAAACCGGGAUCGUCUCUAGGUCCACCUGCUCCGGGGCUGCCGGCUCAGGCGGCUGGGUCCCUUCGGUCCUCGGGGUCGGCCUGGAGGCGGCCUCGCUAGCUGGCUCCUCCACACGAGCGUGUGCGGAGGGGUCCUGUCUAGCCUUUGCACGCUUCUCCGCCGGCCUCUCGACCCGGCUGAGGCAAGGCUGAUCUACGGCGGCCUUCCCCACAGCCGUGUCCCACCGGCGCUUGGACUCUAUCUCCAGCUCCCUAUCGGCAGCAACAGCUGCUGCCCAGCCGGCCCGCUCGGCCGCGGAGGCGGUGUCUUCAUCCGCAUCCUCCGCAUCCCUGUCAAGCCAAGCUUCUCAGGAACAAAGUUCAUCUCAAGAUAUGGACGGAAGAAGAGGAGGAAACCAUACCCGACAACUACUGGGACCUGCCUCCGACCACCGCCACGGCGCCUCUUGGCGUCGCCUGCUCGCUGCCUGGCUAGGGGACCCGACGCCGGUCGCUUAGAGGCCGGCCGGGAAGUUGUGGCACCCUUGCCCUUCUUCCCGACUGCCUUGUCUGCAGCGGUCGCUCCGCCACCUUGACGCCGGACGCGAGAUGGUAGUGGGCCGGUGACCUCCUCCACCUCGUCGGAGAGUCCCUCGAAGGCUACAUCAGAGUAGAAUGAGGCUUCCUCAUCGUCGUCCGUCCAGUCUGCUAGGGCGUGCCUCGGGUACUCACCAGACGGCUCGGUACCUUCCGACUCCAGGGGAUCUCCCGAGCCGGCGGAGGAGUCUGAGCGGGGCUCCAUCGCAUCCUCGUCCUCCAUCUCGGAGGCGCCGGACACCUCCACCUCAGGAGCAGGCGGACGGAGGGACCCCUGCAGGGUCUGGAACAUCUACAAGAAAGGAAUUUAACCAGGCUUAGCAAAUGCCACCGACUUCAGAACAAAACGACAGAAAAGAAGGGAGAAAGGCUACCAUCAGAGGCGGAUGCGCCUGGUUGAACGGGGCCAUCCCCCAUGUCCAUUUCCCGCCCUCAUCCAUGCGGGCGGUGGAGAUCAAGUUCACCCUUCACGCCACAGCACCCGGGGUGAACCUCUUGAUGGACAGCCGGUAUGGAUCAAGCCGGCCGCUCAUCUGGCAGACCAGAUGUGGCCGCCUCUGCAGAGGCAGAAUCUGGCGGACCACCAUGGUGGCAAGAAGGUCGCGGCCGAGGAGGCCGCUCUCCCUCAAGACAUCAAGGUAGGCGCGAAUAGGCGCCACCUCAGGAUGCUGCUUGGGAGUCUUCGCGUCCCAGUUUUGCCGCGUCGGAUGAGCGACGGCGAACGGGGGCAUGUUGAGAGCGUCCUGGGCCGGGUCGGUCCUCCUCACAUAGAAGAACCCCUUUUGCCAAUGCUUGGCGGAGUCCUGCAAAGGCAUCUGGGGAAAGCCCUGUUGGGGAACGUCGCAUGGGAAACAAAAAUUUUCCUACGCGCACGAAGACCUAUCAUGAUGAUGUCCAUCUACGAGAGGGGAUGAGUGAUCUACGUACCCUUGUAGAUCGUACAGCAGAAGCGUUAGAGAACGCGGUUGAUGUAGUGGAACGUCCUCACGUCCCUCGAUCCGCCCCGCGAACAAUCCCGCGAUCAGUCCCACGAUCUAGUACCGAACGGACGGCACCUCCGCGUUCAGCACACGUACAGCUCGACGAUGAUCUCGGCCUUCUUGAUCCAGCAAGAGAGACGGAGAGGUAGAAGAGUUCUCCGGCAGCGUGACGGCGCUACAGAGGUUGGUGAUGAUCUCAUCUCAGCAGGGCUCCGCCCGAGCUCCGCAGAAACGCGAUCUAGAGGAAAAACUAUGGAGGUAUGUGGUCGGGCAGCCGUGAGAAAGUCGUCUCAAUUAUGCCCUAAAAGCUCCAUAUAUAUAGGAGGAGGGAGGGGGACCUUGCCUUGGGGUCCAAGGGACCCUCAAGGGGUCGGCCGAGCCAAGGGGGGAGGACUCCCCCCCAAACCGAGUUGGACUUGGUUUGGUGGGAGGAGUCCCCCUCCCUUCCCACUUCUUCCCUCUUUUUUUUUCUUUUCCUUUGAUUUCCUUCUCUUGGCGCAUAGGUCCCCUUGGGGCUGUCCCACCAGCCCACUAAGGGCUGGUGUGUCUCCCCAAAGCCUAUGGGCUUCCCCGGGGUCGGGUUGCCCAACCCCCCCCCCCCCGGUCGAACUCCCGGAACCCAUUCGUCAUUCCCGGUACAUUCCCGGUAACUCCGAAAACCUUCCGGUAAUCAAAUGAGGUCAUCCUAUAUAUCAAUCUUCGUUUCCGGACCAUUCCGGAAACCCUCGUGACGUCCGUGAUCUCAUCCGGGACUCCGAACAACAUUCGGUAACCAACCAUAUAACUCAAAUACGCAUAAAACAACGUCGAACCUUANAUUGUAUUUUUUGCACUAGUUUUGUAUGUACGUAGUUUUAUGUGACAUAAUUUUUUUACAUUGAUUAUAUUAUUUUAUGGUCUCUUUUUACGUAUAAAAUAAGACAAAAAUUAUGAAACGUAAAAUUACGGUGAAUUGAUGUUAAAAUUGUUGGGGAACGUCGCAUGGGAAACAAAAAUUUUCCUACGCGCACGAAGACCUAUCAUGGUGAUGUCCAUCUACGAGAGGGGAUGACUGAUCUACGUACCCUUGUAGAUCGUACAGCAGAAGCGUUAGUGAACGCGGUUGAUGUAGUGGAACGUCCUCACGUCCCUCGAUCCGCCCCGCGAACAAUCCCGCGAUCAGUCCCACGAUCUAGUACCGAACGGACGGCACCUCCGCGUUCAGCACACGUACAGCUCGACGAUGAUCUCGGCCUUCUUGAUCCAGCAAGAGAGACGGAGAGGUAGAAGAGUUCUCCGGCAGCGUGACGGCGCUCCGGAGGUUGGUGAUGACCUUGUCUCAGCAGGGCUCCGCCCGAGCUCUGCAGAAACGCGAUCUAGAGGAAAAACCGUGGAGGUAUGUGGUCGGGCUGCCGUGGAAAAGUCGUCCCAAAUAAGCCCUAAAACCUCCGUAUAUAUAGGUGGGAGGGAGGGGACCUUGCCUUCGGGCUCAAGGAGCCCCAAGGGGGUCGGCCGAGUCCAAGGGGGAAGGCUCCCCCCCAAACCGAGUUGGACUUGGUUUGGUGGGUGGGAGUCCUUCCUUCCCUUCCCACCUCCUUUUUUCUUUUCUUUUCUCUUUGAUUUUCUUUCCUAGGCGCAUAGGGCCCUUUUGGGCUGUCCCACCAGCCCACUAAGGGAUGGUGUGCCACCCUCAAGGUCUAUGGGCUUCCCCAGGGUGGGUUGUCCCCCUCGGUGAACUCCCGGAACCCAUUCGUCAUUCCCGGUACAUUCCCGGUAACUCCGAAAACCUUCCGGUAAUCAAAUGAGGUCAUCCUAUAUAUCAAUCUUCGUUUCCGGACCAUUUCGGAAACCCUCGUGACGUCCGUGAUCUCAUCCGGGACUCCGAACAACAUUCGGUAACCAACCAUAUAACUCAAAUACGCAUAAAACAACGUCGAACCUUAAGUGUGCAGACCCUGCGGGUUCGAGAACUAUGUAGACAUGACCCGAGAGACUCCUCGGUCAAUAUCCAAUAGCGGGACCUGGAUGCCCAUAUUGGAUCCUACAUAUUCUACGAAGAUCUUAUCGUUUGAACCUCAGUGGCAAGGAUUCAUAUAAUCCCGUAUGUCAUUCCCUUUGUCCUUCGGUAUGUUACUUGCCCGAGAUUCGAUCGUCAGUAUCCGCAUACCUAUUUCAAUCUCGUUUACCGGCAAGUCUCUUUACUCGUUCCGCAAUACAAGAUCCCCCAACUUACACUAAGUUACAUUGCUUGCAAGGCUUGAGUGUGAUGUUGUAUUACCGAGUGGGCCCCGAGAUACCUCUCCGUCACACGGAGUGACAAAUCCCAGUCUUGAUCCAUACUAACUCAACGAACACCUUCGGAGAUACCUGUAGAGCAUCUUUAUAGUCACCCAGUUACGUUGCGACGUUUGAUGCACGCAAAGCAUUCCUCCGGUGUCAGUGAGUUAUAUGAUCUCAUGGUCAUAGGAAUAAAUACUUGACACGCAGAAAACAGUAGCAACAAAAUGACACGAUCAACAUGCUACGUCUAUUAGUUUGGGUCUAGUCCAUCACGUGAUUCUCCUAAUGACGUGAUCCAGUUAUCAAGCAACAACACUUUGUUCAUAAUCAGAAGACACUGACUAUCUUUGAUCAACUCGCUAGCCAACUAGAGGCUUGCUAGGGACGGUGUUUUGUCUAUGUAUCCACACAUGUAAAUGAGUCUUCAUUCAAUACAAUUAUAGCAUGGAUAAUAAACGAUUAUCUUGAUACAGGAAUUAUAAUAAUAACUAUAUUUAUUAUUGCCUCUAGGGCAUAACUCCAACAGUCUCCCACUUGCACUAGAGUCAAUAAUCUAGCCCUCACAUCAUCAUGUGAAUUACAUUGUAAUAAAUCUAACACCCAUACAGUUCUGGUGUUGAUCAUGCUUUGGCCGUGGAAGAGGUUUAGUCAGCGGGUCUGCUACAUUCAGAUCCGUGUGCACUUUGCAUAUAUUUACGUCUUCUCCCUCGACGUAGUCGCGGAUGAGGUUGAAGCGUCGUUUGAUGUGUCUGGUCUUCUUGUGAAACCGUGGUUCCUUUGCUAAGGCAAUGGCACCCGUGUUGUCACAGAACAAGGUUAUUGGAUUCAGUGCGCUUGGUACCACUCCAAGAUCCUCAUGAACUGCUUCAUCCAGACACCCUCCUUAGCCGCCUCCGAGGCAGCCAUGUACUCCGCUUCACAUGUAGAAUCUGCUACGACGCUUUGCUUGGAACUGCACCAGCUUACCGCACCCCCAUUAAAAAUAAAUACGUAUCCGGUUUGCGACUUAGAGUCGUCCGGAUCUGUGUCAAAGCUUGCAUCGACGUAACCUUUUACGGCGAGCUCUUCGUCACCUCCAUACACGAGAAACAUAUCCUUAGUCCUUUUCAGGUACUUCAGGAUAUUCUUGACCGCUGUCCAGUGAUCCACUCCUGGAUUACUCUAGAACCUACCUGCCAUACUUAUGGCCAGGCUAACAUCCGGUCUUGUGCACAACAUUGCAUACAUGAUAGAACCUAUGGCUGAAGCAUAGGGGACGGAGCGCAUAUGCUCUCUAUCUUCAUCAGUUGCUGGGCACUGAGUCUUACUCAAUCUCGUACCUUGUAAAACUGGCAAGAACCCUUUCUUGGACUGUUCCACUUUGAACCUCUUCAAAACUUUAUCAAGGUAUGUGCUUUGUGAAAGUCCUAUCAGGCGUUUUGAUCUAUCCCUAUAGAUCUUAAUGCCUAGAAUGUAAGCAGCUUCUCCUAGGUCCUUCAUAGAGAAACUCAUAUUCAAGUAAUCCUUUAUGCUCUCUAAAAACUCCACGUUGUUUCCAAUCAGCAAUAUGUCAUCCACAUAUAAUAUUAGAAACGCCACAGAGCUCCCACUCACUUUCUUGUAAAUACAAGAUUCUCCAACCACUUGUAUAAACCCAAAUGCUUUGAUCACCUCAUCAAAGCGUUUGUUCCAACUCCGAGAUGCUUGCACCAGUCCAUAAAUGGAUCGCUGGAGCUUGCACACCUUGUUAGCAUUCUUAUGAUCGACAAAACCUUCGGGUUGUAUCAUAUACAACUCUUCCUUAAGGAAACCGUUAAGGAACGCCGUUUUGACAUCCAUCUGCCAGAUUUCAUAAUCGAAAAAUGCAGCUAUUGCUAACAUGAUUCUGACGGACUUAAGCAUCGCUACGGGUGAGAAUGUCUCAUCGUAGUCAACUCCUUGAACUUGUGAAAAACCCUUUGCCACAAGUCGAGCUUUAUAAACGGUCACAUUGCCGUCAGCGUCCGUCUUCCUCUUAAAAAUCCAUUUGUUCUGAAUAGCCUUGCGGCCCUCAGGUAGUACCUCCAAAGUCCACACUUUGUUCUCAUACAUGGAUCCUAUCUCGGACUUCAUGGCUUCUAGCCAUUUGUUGGAAUCUGGGCCCACCAUUGCUUCUUCAUAAUUUGCAGGUUCAUUGUUGUCUAACAACAUGAUUGAUAAGACAGGAUUACCGUACCACUCUGGAGCAGCACGUGGUCUCGUCGACCUGCGUGGUUUGACAGAAACUUGAACCGGAGUUUCAUGAUCAUCAUCAUUAACUUCCUCUUCAACCGGCGUCGCAACGACAGAGGUUUCCCCUUGCCCUGCGCCACCAUCCAGAGGGAUGAGAGGUUCGACAACCUCGUCAAGUUCUAUCUUCCUCCCACUCAAUUCUCUCGAGAGAAACUCCUUCUCGAGAAAAGCUCCGUUUUUAGCAACAAACACUUUGCCCUCGGAUUUGAGAUAGAAGGUGUACCCAACUGUCUCUUUUGGGUAACCUAUGAAGACGCACUUUUCCGCUUUGGGUUCCAGCUUUUCAGGCUGAAGCUUUUUGACAUAAGCAUCACAUCCCCAAACUUUAAGAAACGACAACUUUGGCCUUUUGCCAUACCACAGUUCGUAUGGUGUCGUCUCAACGGAUUUUGAUGGUGCCCUAUUUAAAGUGAAUGCAGCUGUUUCUAAUGCAUAACCCCAAAACGAUAACGGCAAAUCGGUAAGAGACAUCAUAGAUCGCACCAUCUCUAAUAAAGUACGAUUACGACGUUCGGACACACCAUUACGCUGUGGUGUUCCAGGCGGUGUUAACUGUGAAACAAUUCCACAUUGUCUUAAGUGAGCACCAAACUCGAAACUCAGAUAGUCACCCCCACGAUCAGACCGUAGGAACUUGAUCUUCUUGUUACGAUGAUUUUCAACUUCACUCUGAAAUUGCUUGAACCUUUCAAAUGUUUCAGACUUGUGCUUCAUCAAGUAGACAUAACCAUAUCUACUCAAAUCGUCAGUGAAGGUGAGAAAAUAACGAUAUCCGCCGCGUGCCUCCACGCUCAUCGGACCACACACAUCGGUAUGUAUGAUUUCCAACAAGUCACUUGCACGCUCCAUUGUUCCGGAGAACGGAGUCUUAGUCAUCUUGCCCAUGAGGCAUGGUUCGCACGUGUCAAGUGAAUCAAAGUCAAGUGACUCCAAAAGUCCAUCAGCAUGGAGUUUCUUCAUGCGCUUUACACCAAUAUGACCUAAGCGGCAGUGCCACAAAAAUAUGGCGCUAUCAUUGUUAACUCUAACUCUUUUGGUCUCAAUGUUAUGUAUAUGCGUAUCGCUAUCAAGAUUCAAUAUGAACAAUCCUCUCACAUUAGGUGCAUGACCAUAAAAGAUGUUACUCAUAGAAAUAGAACAACCAUUAUUCUCUGACUUAAAAGAGUAACCGUCUCGCAAUAAACAAGAUCCAGAUAUAAUGUUCAUGCUCAACGCAGACACUAAAUAACAAUGAUUUAAGUUCAUCACUAAUCCUGAUGGCAACUGAAGUGAAACUGUGCCGACGGCGAUUGCAUCAACCUUGGAACCAUUUCCUACGCGCAUCGUCACUUCAUCCUUUGCCAGCCUUCGUCUAUUCCGCAGUUCCUGUUUCGAGUUGCAAAUAUGAGCAAUAGAACCGGUAUCGAAUACCCAGGCACUACUACGAGAGCCGGUUAAGUACACAUCAAUAACAUGUAUAUCAAAUAUACCUGAUUUUUCUUUGGCCGCCUUCUUAUCUGCCAGAUACUUGGGGCAAUUGCGCUUCCAGUGACCCAUACCCUUGCAAUAGUAACACUCCGUUUCAGGCUUAGGUCCAGCUUUGGGUUUCUUCGUCGGAUUGGCAACAGGCUUGCCGCUCUUCUUUGAAUUACCCUUCUUGCCUUUGCCGUUUCUCUUGAAACUAGUGGUCUUAUUCACCAUCAACACUUGAUGCUCUUUAUGGAGUUCAGACUCUGCGACUUUCAGCAUCGCAAACAACUCGCCGAGAGACUUGUUCAUCCCUUGCAUGUUGUAGUUCAACACAAAGCCUUUAUAGCUUGGCGGCAGUGAUUGAAGGAUUCUGUCAAUGAUAGCCUCUUGCGGGAGUUCAAUACCCAGCUCAGCUAGACGGUUUGAGUAUCCAGACAUUUUGAGCACAUGUUCACUGACAGACGAGUUCUCCUCCAUCUUGCAAGCAUAGAAUUUAUCGGAGGUUUCAUACCUCUCGACCCGGGCGUUCUUCUGAAAGAUAAACUUCAACUCCUGGAACAUCUCAAAUGUUCCAUGACGCUCAAAGCGACGUUGAAGUCCCGGUUCUAAGCCAUACAAGACUGCACAUUGAACUAUUGAGUAGUCCUCCUUACGUGCCAACCAAGCGUUCUUAACAUCCUGAUCAGCCGUAGCGGGUGGUUCAUCUCCUAGCGCAACAUUAAGGACAUAAUCCUUCUUCCCAGCUUGUAAGAUUAGCUUAAGAUUACGAGCCCAGUCUACAAAGUUGCUUCCAUCAUCUUUCAACUUAGCUUUCUCUAGGAACGUAUUAAAAUUCAGGAUGACUGUAGCGUGAGCCAUGAUCUACAACACAAAUAUAUUCAAAGUGGACUUAGACUAUGAUCAAGAUAAUUAGAGUUUAACUUAAUCAAAUUAUUCGCUAAACUCCCACUCAAAAAGUACAUCUCUCUAGUCAUUUGAGUGGUUCAUGAUCCACUUACACUAGCUCAAGUCCGAUCAUCACGUGAGUUGAGUAUAGUUUCAGUGGUAAGCAUCCCUAUGCUAAUCAUAUCAUCUAUAUGAUUCAUGAUCGACCUUUCGGUCUCAUGUGUUCCGAGGCCAUGUCUGCACAUGCUAGGCUCGUCAAGCUUAACCCGAGUGUUCCGCGUGCGCAACUGUUUUGCACCCGUUGUAUGUAAACGUUGAGUCUAUCACACCCGAUCAUCACGUGGUGUCUCGAAACGACGAACUGUAGCAACGGUGCACAGUCGGGGAGAACACAAUUUCGUCUUGAAAUUUUAGUGAGAGAUCACCUCAUAAUGCUACCGUCGUUCUAAGCAAAAUAAGGUGCAUAAAAGGAUUUACAUCACAUGCAAUUCAUAAGUGACAUGAUAUGGCCAUCAUCACGUGCUUCUUGAUCUCCAUCACCAAAGCACCGACACGAUCUUCUUGUCACCGGCGCCACACCAUGAUCUCCAUCAACGUGUUGCCAUCGGGGUUGUCGUGCUACUCAUGCUAUUACUACUAAAGCUACAUCCUAGCAAAAUAGUAAACGCAUCUGCAAGCACAAACGUUAGUAUAAAGACAACCCUAUGACUCCUGCCGGUUUCCGUACCAUCGACGUGCAAGUCGAUAUUUUCUAUUACAACAUGAUCAUCUCAUACAUCCAAUAUAUCACAUCACAUCGUUGGCCAUAUCACAUCACAAGCAUACCCUGCAAAAACAAGUUAGACGUCCUGUAAUUUUGUUGUUGCAUGUUUUACGUGGUGACCAUGGGUAUCUAGUAGGAUCGUAUCUUACUUACGCAAACACCACAACGGAGAUAUAUGAGUUGCUAUUUAACCUCAUCCAAGGACCUCCUCGGUCAAAUCCGAUUCAAGAAACCGACACUUGCCAGUCAUCUUUGAGCAACGGGGUUAUUCGUAGCGAUGAAACCAGUCUCUCGUAAGCGUACGAGUAAUGUCGGUCCAAGCCGCUUCAAUCCAACAAUACCGCGGAAUCAAGAAAAGACUAAGGAGGGCAGCAAAACGCACAUCACCGCCCACAAAAACUUUUGUGUUCUACUCGAGAAGACAUCUACGCAUGAACCUAGCUCAUGAUGCCACUGUUGGGGAACGUCGCAUGGGAAACAAAAAUUUUCCUACGCGCACGAAGACCUAUCAUGGUGAUGUCCAUAUACGAGAGGGGAUGAGUGAUCUAUGUACCCUUGUAGAUCGUACAGCAGAAGCGUUAGUGAACGCGGUUGAUGUAGUGGAACGUCCUCACGUCCCUCGAUCCGCCCCGCGAACAAUCCCGCGAUCAGUCCCACGAUCUAGUACCGAACGGACGGCACCUCCGCGUUCAGCACACGUACAGCUCGACGAUGAUCUCGGCCUUCUUGACCCAGCAAGAGAGACGGAGAGGUAGAAGAGUUCUCCGGCAGCGUGACGGUGCUCCGGAGGUUGGUGAUGACCUUGUCUCAGCAGGGCUCCGCCCGAGCUCCGCAGAAACGCGAUCUAGAGGAAAAACCGUGGAGGUAUGUGGUCGGGCUGCCGUGGAAAAGUCGUCUCAAAUCAGCCCUAAAACCUCCGUAUAUAUAGGUGGGAGGGAGGGGACCUUGCCUUGGGGCUCAAGGAGCCCCAAGGGGGUCGGCCGAGUCCAAGGGGGAAGGCUCCCCCCAAACCGAGUUGGACUUGGUUUGGUGGGUGGGAGUCCUUCCUUCCCUUCCCACCUCCUUUUUUUUUCUUUUCUCUUUGAUUUUCUUUCCUAGGCGCAUAGGGCCCUUUUGGGCUGUCCCACCAGCCCACUAAGGGCUGGUGUGCCACCCUCAAGGCCUAUGGGCUUCCCCAGGGUGGGUUGACCCCCCCCCCCCGGUGAACUCCCGGAACCCAUUCGUCAUUCCCGGUACAUUCCCGGUAACUCCGAAAAUCUUCCGGUAAUCAAAUGAGGUCAUCCUAUAUAUCAAUCUUCGUUUCCGGACCAUUCCGGAAACCCUCGUGACGUCCGUGAUCUCAUCCGGGACUCCGAACAACAUUCGGUAACCAACCACAUAACUCAAAUACGCAUAAAACAACGUCGAACCUUAAGUGUGCAGACCCUGCGGGUUCGAGAACUAUGUAGACAUGACCCGAGAGACUCCUCAGUCAAUAUCCAAUAGCGGGACCUGGAUGCCCAUAUUGGAUCCUACAUAUUCUACGAAGAUCUUAUCGUUUGAACCUCAGUGCCAAGGAUUCAUAUAAUCCCGUAUGUCAUUCCCUUUGUCCUUCGGUAUGUUACUUGCCCGAGAUCCGAUCGUCAGUAUCCGCAUACCUAUUUCAAUCUCGUUUACCGGCAAGUCUCUUUACUCGUUCCGCAAUACAAGAUCCCGCAACUUACACUAAGUUACAUUGCUUGCAAGGCUUGUGUGUGAUGUUGUAUUACCGAGUGGGCCCCGAGAUACCUCUCCGUCACACGGAGUGACAAAUCCCAGUCUUGAUCCAUACUAACUCAACUAACACCUUCGGAGAUACCUGUAGAGCAUCUUUAUAGUCACCCAGUUACGUUGCGACGUUUGAUACACACAAAGCAUUCCUCCGGUGUCAGUGAGUUAUAUGAUCUCAUGGUCAUAGGAAUAAAUACUUGACACGCAGAAAACAGUAGCAACAAAAUGACACGAUCAACAUGCUACGUCUAUUAGUUUGGGUCUAGUCCAUCACGUGAUUCUCCUAAUGACGUGAUCCAGUUAUCAAGCAACAACACUUUGUUCAUAAUCAGAAGACACUGACUAUCUUUGAUCAACUCGCUAGCCAACUAGAGGCUUGCUAGGGACGGUGUUUUGUCUAUGUAUCCACACAUGUAAAUGAGUCUUCAUUCAAUACAAUUAUAGCAUGGAUAAUAAACGAUUAUCUUGAUACAGGAAUUAUAAUAAUAACUAUAUUUAUUAUUGCCUCUAGGGCAUAAUUCCAACAAAAAUAGAGGGGGUGAAGAAUAACUAUUCCUCACCCAGGGUGACGAAUAGCGCGACCCUGGAUUGCAUACGAGCAAUUCAAGAGGAAUUGACGGGAUUCUUUAUUGAGCAUGUCAUACCAUCAGAUGGAGAAUAUCAUCAGGAUUUCUUACCGAUUUUGGUGGGCGAUAGAUAUUAGCUAGUUAGGGAUUGCAAGAGAUAUUAUAUAUUGUAUAUAUGUAUGAUCCUGUACUAUAUGUAGUAGCGUCGAGUUGUUUGACCAAGCACGGAGAAAGAGAGGUCAUUUCACUCUAUAUAUGUUCAUGACGAUGUUGUGUAAUUAAUGGUUCCUUCAUUUACUUACUAGCUAACAUCAAGUUCUCUCUAUAUGUAGUAGGUACCGUCGACCAAGCACGGAGAAAGAAAUGUCACUUCUCUCUAUAUGUAGUAGCUAUCUAACACAAUAUGAAACCCCUAAUAAAACCCUCCAAAACCCCUACGCCCCCCUCAUUUAAAAAAACAAAGAACCCAACGCCUACGAGCUGCUGACGCGUGACUGCCUUUGGGUCCCGGUUGGUGUUACCAACCGGGACUAAAGGUCCUCCUGCCUGGGCGCCUCGCAACGGCCGCGUGGAGAUCCUUUGGGUCCGGUUCAUAAGCCAAUCGGGACUAAAUGUUUGGGCCUUUAGUCCCGAUUGUUUUGUCCCGGUUGAAGAACUGGGACUAAAGCCCCUCUGGAACCGAGACUAAAUCCCAAUUUUCUACUAGUGAUAUAUCAUAUUUGAUGCUUGAUUAUAUACUGUUUCAAUUUUUCAUGAUUUAACAGAAACGCUAAAUAAGGUUUAGAUCCGGUAUAGCUCCGCUAUAGCCUUUCAUAGCUUCUGAUCGAGUCGCUGCUAAAUGGCAUAGCCCACUAUUUAAAGCAUUGAAAAUAAUUGACCUGGCGUUAUGGAAAAUGCUUUUAGUUUGUCCUGUACAAAAAAAACUUCCACUUAAUAGUUUAUUUCAGUAUUUUUCAGUCGGGCGUAGUUUAAAUGAUGUCCAUUAUAAAUUGUAAUCUGCAGGCACUUGGAACCAAGGGAAAUAUCAAUGCAUCUGCCCAUUUAAUCUGCACGUGGUUUGAAGAUAUUCUGGGGAGUUAGUUUCAUAUUAGGAGGGGUUUAGCGAAGUAUUUCAACUAGAACUAGAUAAAAAUGAGGAAUUAGAUAAGCCUUAGUUUUUCAUCUUUGCAAAACAUGCCUUAGGUAAUCUCAAUAUCUCAAAUGAAUGAUAUUUUCUUAUUUUUCAUUUUUUAGUCCCUGAUAUUUGUCAUUUUCUCAAGGCACCAAAUUCCAUCUUACCAUGACUAGGACAGGAUUGGACCAGUACAGGAUGCUAUAGUAACACAAUUGGACUCUUCUGUUAACCAAGAGGUCAUCGGUCAAGAACAUCACCAUCACUUAGAUGAGCCAGUAGGUGGUAUGUAUCCAACUUUAGUUGGCGGCUAGUAGCCAAGUCUCCUAGUCAGCAACAUCACGUUCAUGUAGAGGCACUAGUUGGCAUGUAAUGUCCAUUCUUUGGAGUUCUAUUUUUAACUCUGGCAGCCACUCACUUAUUCAGCCAUUCAUCUGCACGUCUGUGCUUCUUUGUACAAGUCUGCCAUGGCGAUGCCCACUACCCUCAAGGUCUUAACUAUCUUGUAUGUGCUUGUACUUCUUGUUGCAUAUCAGGUUGAAGGGCGAAAUCAUCGGCCUGAUUGUCCUACUUUCUCAUGCGGCCCACUUGGAUACGUAUCAUCCCCAUUUCGUCAGGCAAGUGAUCCACCUGGGUGUGGUCAUCAAUCGUACGAGCUAGUUUGCAGUGAUACUAAGGCUACAAUUCACAUCGACAAUGCAACAUACUAUGUGUCUGGGAUCAACUACAGUGAUUCUACCUUCUGGAUCGUCGAUGCCGACAUAGAUUUAUACAACAGCUGCCCUCUACCGCGGUGGAAUUAUGAUCAGCAUCCAGCUGCUGGUUUCACGCUGAGAAACCGGCAACACGACACUCAUCACGCCAUCAAAGUUGAAUUGGCACCUGCAGCAUAUAAUCAGGCUAUAUUUGUUAAUUGUUCUCGGGAAGUGAAGGACAACGGUAUGUACAGGCCUGUUGCUUGCUUGAGCACCAGCCAUUCUUUUGUUUAUGUGUUAAUAACUGGUGGCCUAGGGAGAGGGAGUACUAUGGCGAACCUUGAGCCUUGUUGCGGUUAUUUGGCCAUGACUCCAUUAGGUGGCCAGGAAAUUGGCAUGAAGGGCACUGCACCGCUUGAGAAUGCAAGCUAUGCAGAUGUCGUAAAAUUCAUGACACACGGCUUCCGCGUUAAAUUUCCUUUCAGACUUCGCCAAUCUGGAGACUUCUUGGGAUGUCUGAUGGAUGAUUUGGCGCCGUGAGUUUGAGAUCUUGAUACCUCGUACUUGUAAGCUCUGCUUUUGUUUUUGCACAUGCACACCUGAUCAUUCUACAUUUUUCGUUUUUUUUUUUGCAGCACAUUCACUAAAGAUUGGAUUCUAACAAUUCUUUCGAUUGAUGUAAGUUUCAUGGGUUGCGCAGCUAAAGCAGUUCCAGAACCAUUUGAUAUUUGCUUGUAUAUAAUUAUGGCGUCAUUAGCAUAUGCCAGGCUUAUUGCUGGUACGUGAGAAUUACAUAUUCCAGUAUGGUUUACUGCCUGUGUCUAUAAAUCAGAUCACAAAUAAACCUGUUUUGUUUUAUGCAGUGUUCUGGAGGUUUGUAUUGGUGCCCCUGGUCGUAUUAAUCUUCCUUGCCCACAAGUAUUGGAAAACAAGGAUCACGAUGGAUGCUGUUGAGAAGUUCCUCCAGAUGCAGCAAAUGAUCGGCCCGUCAAGGUACGCCUAUACAGACAUCACCGCAGUCACCAGCCAUUUCAUAGAUAAGCUGGGUCAGGGAGGCUAUGGCUCCGUGUACAAGGGUGUGCUGCUCCCAGGCAAUGUCCAUGUCGGGGUCAAGAUGCUAGAGGGUAACUCCAACUGCAAUGGAGAAGAUUUCAUUAGUGAGGUUUCAACCAUUGGCAGGAUCCACCAUGUCAAUGUGGUGCGUUUAGUUGGCUUCUGCUCGGAGGAAAUGAGAAGGGCGCUUGUCUACGAGUACAUGCCUCGAGGUUCUCUGGACAAAUACAUCUUCUCGGCUGAGAAGACUUUCUCCUGGGACAAGCUCAACGAGAUCGCUUUGGGCAUUGCGAGGGGUAUCGACUACCUGCACCAGGGUUGCGAGAUGCAGAUUCUCCACUUUGACAUCAAGCCGCACAACAUCUUGCUAGACAGCAAUUUCAUCCCUAAAGUUGCUGAUUUCGGUCUCGCUAAACUAUACCCAAGGGACAAAAGUUUUGUGCCAUCGAGAGCCCUACGGGGAACAAUUGGGUACAUAGCUCCUGAGAUGAUAUCUCGUAGCUUUGGUGUCAUAUCGAGCAAGUCUGAUGUUUAUAGCUUUGGGAUGCUCCUGCUAGAGAUGGCCGGAGGAAGAAGGAAUGCUGAUCCAAAUGCGGCAAACACGAGCCAAGCGUACUAUCCGUCGUGGGUGUAUGACAAACUAACUGCUCCAGUGGUGGAUGCGAUAUGUCCAGUUGCUAGCAUGCAUGAAUUAGAGAGGAAGCUGUGCAUCGUUGGAUUAUGGUGCAUUCAGAUGAAGUCACAUGACAGGCCAACGAUGAGCGAGGUCAUAGACAUGUUGGAAGGUGGCUUUGAUGGCCUGCAGAUGCCUUCCAGGCCAUUCUUCUGCGACGACGAUCACACCGCUGUCCCGGAUUCUUACCCUUUGUUGUCCGAGCUGACAGAGAUCUCAGAGGAGGAUAAUGAGUAGCAUAUGUGUGUGUGUGUGUGUGAUUUAAUGUCUCAAGUCUUACGAAAUAACCUACUAUUAUGUUUUCCCAGACAUGUGAAGUUUUAUGUGGAAAGAUGUAAUAAUAUUUAGCAGUUAGAGGAUGUAGAUCUCCAACUGUUAAUUGAAACGUAUUUAUCUUCUUGAAAGACACACACAAA
This 91675-nucleotide long non-coding RNA is filed under the name Hordeum vulgare. RNAcentral describes it as "long non-coding RNA (HVUL_LNC006172)". The record is from RNAcentral. Lineage: Eukaryota; Viridiplantae; Streptophyta; Magnoliopsida; Poales; Poaceae.